RNAcentral lists this long non-coding RNA (91161 nucleotides) under Vitis vinifera (wine grape). Its description in RNAcentral is "long non-coding RNA (VVIN_LNC001392)". The record is from RNAcentral. Lineage: Eukaryota; Viridiplantae; Streptophyta; Magnoliopsida; Vitales; Vitaceae.
ACUCAGUUGGGAUGGGUGGGAGUAGGAGGUUUGUGGGGUGGCUUGUGCGGAGGAGUUGGCAGCUUCUUUCCAGGACCUGGUGGCUUCUCUCCCUUAGGUGGUUUGCCAACUGGGGUUGGUGGCUUGUAUGAGUCUUCAGCAUUCUCUGCAGGAGGGUGACCAGGGUUGUGACCAUAAUGUGGUGGCUUCUCUCCCUUAGGUGGUUUGCCAACUGGGGUUGGUGGCUUGUGUUCUGGGAGUGGCUUCUCCCCCUUGGGAGGUUUUUCCAAUGGGGUUGGUUUGUGUUCAGGAGGUGGCUUCUCCACUGGAGGCUUGUGUUCAGGAGGUGGCUUCUCCACCGGAGGCUUGUGUUCAGGAGGUGGCUUCUCCACCGGAGGCUUAUGCUCUGGUGGUGGCUUCUCCACCGGAGGCUUAUGCUCUGGUGGUGGCUUCUCGAAUGGGGGAUGCUUAGGGUAAUCAGCAAGUGAGGGGGCGGUGAGAACCACCAGGCCAAGCAAGACCACUAGCAAGUAUGUAGGAGACAUCUUUGGGUUUAGACUCAGAUGGUGCAAAACUAGGAGAAUUGUCUUUUAUAGCGGAUCGCACCCAAUAAUGAAAUGACACGUGUCUUUAUGACCCAUGUGUAAUGGGGUCGAUUUGGGUCCUACAGUGUUGAAAACUUCGACAUCCACUUUUGGCCUUUUGCUUUCUCUACAGCCGCCUUGCUUUUUCCCUCUUUCCUUUUGUUUUCCUCCUGCCCCAUUCUAUCAACUAAACACAAUUAUGUAGUUGUUUAAUUCUUAAAUGAGAUAUUAUCCGUCAAUCGUAUCAUAUUUUAUCAACAGAGAACGGAGUGCAAUGUGGCAAUCCAAAGAAAGAAGAUCCAUAAUGCAGCUGUAAUUUUAUCGUUUACUUUUAUCUCUUGGACCACUGCAUUUUUGUUAAGAGGUGCAAUAAUACACGUCUUUAUCUGCCAUUCAAUGUUUACAGUAAAGAGAGGGCACAAAACUCUUCACUGCUCUGCAUGUGUCCCAAAAAUGCAAUUGGACAAAUUAUGAUUUGCAUGCUAAAAAGAGGCAAAUGAGGUUAAUUCGCACCAUAAUUAUUUUGUUUUCUGGACCCCGGGGCCCUUUGGUUGGUUUGGGGGUCAGAAAAUGAACAUCAUAGGGGGUUUUUCCCUUAUGUGCAUUUGUAUCUGAUGGCUUUAACUCGCCUUGUUACUACAAAGAAAUUGUCACAUAUAGGAACUUAUUCCAGGCUGAGUAUCUCCGCAUAGACCCUAUAAAAGAAGACAAGUCAUAAUGAACAUCUAACCUUUGUUCAAUUUGAUUCAAUGCCCCAUUGUGUCCACCUCACAAAUCUGAAUUAUUAUAUCCAUUGAAUACAUAAAUUAAUGAAGAAAAUAUGAAACCCAAGAUACAUCUCUGCACAACCUCAACCCUGGUUGCUAUGUUUCCCUUCUAUUCACAUGAGGAUAUUGAUUACGGAAUAGGGAAACCUAGCAAGGGUUUACUCGGCUCUGGUUUGAUGCUAAUUGCCAAACUUGCAACAAGCCCUGAGUUUGAAGCUCACAGAAGAUGUUAUACAGGCAGGGAAAAACCUUCAGAGUUCGCUGCCAAAGAUAAUUAUUAAGGAGAUAUCACCAAGAGAAUUCCAAGGAGUCUGAAUCAAAGACAAAUUGGUCGUUCGUGGAGGUUCUUACUUUCUUUUGGGUAUAACUCACUGAGGGCACUGUCUUUUUUAUUUUCAUUUCACAUUUAGAGUUCUGUUCUGGAAACAUAUAAAAGGAGCAUCAGUUUGUUCUUGGGUAACCCAUAGUCGUGAGUGGGUCCAUUUGCAUGCUACUUAGUUGAAAAGUUGGACCAUUUGCUCCGACGCCUACCUCCUGGAUUCCAUGCUCGGAUAAAACAAGAAUAAAAAAAUAUUUAUAAUUUACAAAUGGGGGAAAGAAAAAAAUGUCAACAACAAACUAGGAAAAAAGAGUAGUAAAAUUCAUGUCACAUGCUAGUGAGAGAAGGGGUUGUUACACUCACUCGAAGUUCUUUUCAAAAUAUCGCAUGGUAUUUUAUUUUAUGUGUGAGCGCAGUUGUGAAUGGAACGUGCAAAAGUCCAAAUUGGUGACCUUUAAUAAAUAUUUAAAACAAAAAACGAAAAAAAGGAGGGAAAAGGGAUCAGAAAAGAUAAAACAAUGUGUACAAAAGCUCAAUUAGUUUGCAAAUUACUGUUUGGAUUUUGAUAGUAUUUUAUUUGAUGUAAAAGAGAAUUUAAGAUAUUUCCGAAACAAAAGCAUUAGUUUGCUCCAUGUCAAUUUCGGCAUUUCUCAUAUGUUUCACACAUACACAGAAGAGCAUCGUUUUUUAAAGCAUGCAUUUAUGUUGGAUUAAUUUGGAUUUUGUGGGAACUGGGGCAAGGAUCACAUGGAAGAGAGGUUGACUUUUUUCAGUACUUCAAUGGUUGAGACAGGUGAAGGCCUGAUUGAUACUGAAGCCUGAAAUUGCGACUCCGUCAUUUGUCAAAACAUAUGACAGCUUCCAUGCUCUCGUUUGGUUGCAUUGUUCUGUGGUCAUGCAUACAUGCCACUUAGUGAUCAGUCUGUAACUGUCAAUCAUUGGGCUUUGACUGAACAACAUCAGCCAUGUAUAAAUACUUGCAAAUCAAACGGUCUUCUUCCUCCCAUAAGGAAUUUCGGUUUAAUUAUGAAGCAUGCAUUUGGCUGACCAUCAUAAACCACUUCUUUAAAUUGAUGAAUGAUAGUUUUUCAUUCAUUCUUUCAUUCGUUCAUAUACAGAGUAUAUAUAGAGGGUAAUCAUCAUUCUAAGAAUGGGAAAGAAUGAUACAAGGAAAUAAUGAUAUAAAGAAAUAACAACUAAUAUUCUAAUAUCUCAACUUUCCUAAUAUCUAAACAUUCCUAAUAUCUCAACACUAAAUGAUAUAAAGAAAGAAUGAUAUAAGGAAAGCAUUCCUAAUAUCUCAACACUCCUCCUCAAGUUGGUGCAUAGAUGUCAAACAUGUCCAACUUGUCUAAAAAUUUUGAGAACAGUUGACUUGAGACAUCUUUGGUGAGGAUAUCGGUCAAUUGAUCUUCUGAUCGAAUCUUAGGCAAUUCCACAAUCUUAUCAUCCAACUUUUCCUUAAUGAAAAAUCUAUCCAUCUCGACAUGCUUUGUACGAUCAUGUUGUACUAGAUUAUGAGCAAUGUCACAUGCUGCUUUAUUGUCACAAAACAAUCGGAUUGGUUGCCUAGAUAGGUAACCUAAAUCCUAUAAGAGGAGUCUUAGCCAUAAUGCCUCACAAAGUCCUAAAGUCAUACCUCUAAAUUCCGCUUCUGCACUUGAACGAGCGACGACAUUUUGCUUCUUACUUUUCCAUGUCACAAGAUUACCACCUACAAAGGUAAAGUAACCAGAUGUAGAUCGCCUAUCAUCCACUGCACCGACCCAAACAGCAUUAUACUUCUAUACUCUGAUGAUCAACAUUUUUAGCGAACAAAAUUCCCUUCCUAGGAGCAUUCUUCAAAUACCUCAAAAUACGCAUGACUACAUUCAUAUGUUGCUCUCCAGGAUUAUGCAUGUAUUGACUCACUACACUCAAUGUAUAAGCAAGAUCUAGUCUUGUAUGAGCUAAGUACAUUAAUCUCCCCACAAGUCUCUGGUAUCUUCCCUUAUCGAUUGAUACUUGAUUAGGCUCAACACACAAUUUCAGACCUUCUUCUAUUGGUGUAUUAAUAGGUUGACAUCCCGACAUUCCAGUUUCCUGUAGAAGAUCUAAGGCAUACUUUCUUUGAGACAGAAAAAUUCCUUCACUUGAUCGAGAAACUUCAAUCCCAAGAAAGUAUUUCAGACGACCAAGAUCUUUCAUUUCAAAUUCUCUAGAUAGAUACUUUUGCAAAGCUUUUCUUUCUUCAGGAUCAUUUCCUGUAACUACAUGUCAUCCACAUAUAUCAUAAGUGUCGUAAUCUUACCAUGUUGCUUUUUCAAGAACAAAGUGUGAUUUGAAUUACUUUGAUGAUAGCCAAAAGCUCUCAUUGAUUUUGUGAACCUUCCAAACCAUGCUCUCGGGGAUUGCUUCAACCCAUACAAUGACUUCUUCAAUUCGCACACCUUCUGACAUUGCUUUUCUGACACCAUGCAUCCUGGUGGAAGAUCCAUAUAUACUUCUUCAGAUAAAUCGCCAUGCAGAAAGACAUUUUUUACAUCGAACUAUUGUAAUGGCCAAUCUAGGUUUGCAGCUAAAGACAAUAAUACUCGAACUGUGUUGAUCUUAGCUACAGGUGCAAAUGUCUCUGUGUAGUCAAUUCCAUAAGUUUGAAUGUACCCACUAGUCUUGCUUUAAAUCGUUCAAUACUACCAUCUGCCUUGUACUUCACAGUAUAGAUCCAACGACACCCAACUAGCUUCUUUCCUGGUGGACAUUCUACGAGUUCCCAUGUUUCAUUUUUCUGCAAUGAUUUCAUCUCUUCAUUCAUGGUUGCUUUCCACUUUGGAUCAGCUAAAGCUUCCUGCACACUAUUAGGAAUAGCUACAGUAGAUAAUUGAUUUACAAAUGACUUAUUUGAUUCAGACAAACCAUGGUGUGGACCCGCAUUUUUCACGUGCGCCUCUACUCGAUCGGCGAGACUCGCUUUCUAUUUGUGAAAAAUUAAUUUUAGAAAAGUUGGAGUCGCCACCUAUUUUAUUUUUAUUUUGAAGGGAAAAUAAAACAAGAAAGAAAAACCCUAAAAAGUGACUCCAUAGUUUUGGAAAAAGCAUGUCUUUGGGAAACCUGAGUCUAGGUCCGGGGAUCAUGUUACUUAUUGGGAAGGUACCUCUAGGAGGUAGCACCCCUCUAAGCCUUAUGAAGGUCUCUACUAACUAAAUUAAGGGAAGUGUGGCAAUAAAUCGAUUGAUCAUAGAUACCUAAGUAGACUAGGUGAUUUUAAAGUGUGGCAUGUCAAACACAAUCAAAUUGCAAUAAAGGAGAGUUAGGGCGCGUACCUGAACCGCUUCUCAAGCGCUAUCAUAAAACAUCAAUGGUUAAUUUAAAUAAUAUAUCAUCCAGCAUGUAUUUUAUUAGAAAUAAUCAAACAAUGAAACAUGUAUAUCAGAACACUCAAGCAUUAUUAGACAUAAGCAUUAUUUCACUAUUCACAGAAUUCAGAAAGUAGGUGAUAGAGGACAUACCUGGAUAGCAUAGAUAAUUUGUAAUGUGCUUCCUCAAGUUGUAAGGGGUUAGAUAACAAAUAAUAAAAUAUAGAAAUCCUAGCAUGCUCGUUAUCUAAUUAGCAUAGCAAAAGUGAUCACAGUAUACAGAAUCAUCAAUUAUCACAUACAUCUUGUAUAUAAUUCCUAAAAAAAAUAGAUAGACAUGAUUUCAACAAGUGUCAAAUGUGGCAACAAAAAUAAAUUUUGAAAAGAUUUUCUUAUGUAGGGGUUUCACCAAUUCCCCAAAUUAAUAUACACGAAUUUAGCUUAGAAUUAUCCCAUUUAUUUGGGACUACAAGCUUUGAUUCGUGUUUUUGUUCAAAACCAAAAAUUUUUGUUGAAAAUCAAGAAGGAUGCGAACCGAACAAGAUAUGGUUGCAUAUUAUUUUUAAAUAAAUAAAUAAAUAAAUAAAGGAGAUUUUGAUCCUGAGGACUUUAAUGAGUUUUUUUUUUUAAAAUAGAUUUUUAAAAUGAUUUUUUUGAGAAAAGUAUUUUAUUUUAAAAUAAAAGGGAUUAAUUUGGGAAAAAAAUAAAAUAUAAGAAAUAAAAUACCAAACAAAACAAAAAUGAAACCUCAAAGUAAAAUUUUUUUAGUAAUUAACAAAAAUGAUAAUGGUGAUGGUAGAGGGCAAUCUUCAUGAUUUUCCAAUGGCCUCAGAAAGAAAAUCAAAUUAAAUGAAGGAUCACUAACAGGCAAGACAUUCUAAAUUAGACAAACUAACAAAGUAUCAAUUCAUGAACUAACCGCUAGGAUUUUGAAAGCAUAUAAGCUAAGAUAAGGGUGAUCAGGAACUAAUAUUAAUGAUUUUGAAAUAAAAACUAAAAAAAAGGAUCAAUUCGGGUAAGGAACUAAAAUUAUAAAAGUACCUAAACUAAUUAUGACGAGUUUGACUAAAUUAAACUAAAAACAUGAACUUUCAAACAUAGAAUUAAUUUUACUAAUGAACCAAAGCAAACUAAAAAUAUGUACUUUCAAGCAUAGAAUUAAUUUUAUUGAUGAACUAAACUAUAACAAAUAUCUAAACUAAAUAUAAUGAAUCAAAUUAAAUUAAAGCAACUUAAAAACGCAAACUUUCAAACAUAGAAUCAAUUUUAUCAAUGAAUUAAAACUAUAAAUGUAUUUGAACUAAAUAGAUGAAUCAAACUAAAUCAGAGCAAAAUUAAAAAAAAAAAAGAACUUUCUAACAUGAAAUCAAUUUUAUCAACAAAUAAAUGAAUGAAUAACAAGUAAUUAAAAGAAUAGCUACUACAUGAAUAACUGAAUGAAUAAAAUUCAAAUGUUUUCAAUCUGAAGCAAUCAAUCAAAAUUAAAUAGGGAUCAAAUCAAAAUAAUCGAAAUCGGAAAAACAAUAUGCAAUCUUUCUAAAGGUUUAACCAGACAAUUGAAUUAAAAUUAUGAAUAGAAUAAAUUAAUAAACCAAAUCGAAACCUAAAUUGUACCUAAAAAGAUUAAUUAAUUAAACUAAGAAAUCAAAAUCAAUAACAAAACUAAACUAAGGAGUAAAUUAAGACAAGACUAAUUAAAUUAAACUCACAAACACGUUUUAACUAUCAUAUGGAUUAAAACAAAAUUAGCAUGGACUUAUGAAUUACGAACAAAAAUAAUCAAAACUAUUUUAAAAAACUCACCUCUAUUAUAAGAAAAAAUCUGCCUUUGAUGCGUUGAGGUGGCUCCCCUCUCUGUGUGGAUCUCUCUGCUCCCCAGAAAAAAAAUGUCUCUUCCUCCGUUCUCUUUUGUUUCAGCAAAAUAAUAUAUCCCCUGCUGUGGAUCUCUCUACUCCCAGAAAAUAAUAUAUUCUCUCCGUGUCCUAAAGUGGACCUAGGGUGCCUAAGUGGACCUAGGGUGCCUAAAUGGGCCUAGGGUGCCUAAAUGGGCCAAGUGUAUCUAAAUAGGCUUAGGGUGCCUAAGUGGGCCUAAGUCUAAGUGAGCCUAAGUCUAAAUCAAGACUACCAAGGAUCAUAAUAAGGGGUUAGGCAAUCCCUUAACCAAAGUCUCCAAGGUGGCUAAAAAAAAGUAAGUAGUAUGAGUAGCUAUGGGUCACCAAGGAACUACUGUGGAGCAUUGAAAACGAAUUUAAAGACAUGUGCCAAAGGGACAAAAUUGAGGGUCUACAGAUGGUUAGACACAUAGUUGCUCAUGGGAUAUUUGACUUUGGUAAACAAUUCAGAUUCAUAUGUGGGUUUAGGAAUACCUUUAUUAUGACGGUGUGGUAAUCGUUUCAUGAAUGGAUCAGGUUGCAAAUUAAGAACACCCUCAGCAAACAACGAUUGGUUUGGUAUUUCAGUGAAGACAUCUUCGAACCCAAAUUGUUGACCACUCAUAUCCAACUCACCCGCUUCCUGGUUCACUAGUUCAGAUUGUCCAAAUUCAUCAUUCUCAUAGAUAUGAUAAUCAUAAUCGAGAGUCUGAAUUUCCUUAUGGUACUCCCCCUGAAGUUCAGACUUAGAUGAAAAAUACAUCGAAUAUUCAUGAAACAGCNNNNNNNNNNNNNNNNNNNNNNNNNNNNNNNNNNNNNNNNNNNNNNNNNNNNNNNNNNNNNNNNNNNNNNNNNNNNNNNNNNNNNNNNNNNNNNNNNNNNNNNNNNNNNNNNNNNNNNNNNNNNNNNNNNNNNNNNNNNNNNNNNNNNNNNNNNNNNNNNNNNNNNNNNNNNNNNNNNNNNNNNNNNNNNNNNNNNNNNNNNNNNNNNNNNNNNNNNNNNNNNNNNNNNNNNNNNNNNNNNNNNNNNNNNNNNNNNNNNNNNNNNNNNNNNNNNNNNNNNNNNNNNNNNNNNNNNNNNNNNNNNNNNNNNNNNNNNNNNNNNNNNNNNNNNNNNNNNNNNNNNNNNNNNNNNNNNNNNNNNNNNNNNNNNNNNNNNNNNNNNNNNNNNNNNNNNNNNNNNNNNNNNNNNNNNNNNNNNNNNNNNNNNNNNNNNNNNNNNNNNNNNNNNNNNNNNNNNNNNNNNNNNNNNNNNNNNNNNNNNNNNNNNNNNNNNNNNNNNNNNNNNNNNNNNNNNNNNNNNNNNNNNNNNNNNNNNNNNNNNNNNNNNNNNNNNNNNNNNNNNNNNNNNNNNNNNNNNNNNNNNNNNNNNNNNNNNNNNNNNNNNNNNNNNNNNNNNNNNNNNNNNNNNNNNNNNNNNNNNNNNNNNNNNNNNNNNNNNNNNNNNNNNNNNNNNNNNNNNNNNNNNNNNNNNNNNNNNNNNNNNNNNNNNNNNNNNNNNNNNNNNNNNNNNNNNNNNNNNNNNNNNNNNNNNNNNNNNNNNNNNNNNNNNNNNNNNNNNNNNNNNNNNNNNNNNNNNNNNNNNNNNNNNNNNNNNNNNNNNNNNNNNNNNNNNNNNNNNNNNNNNNNNNNNNNNNNNNNNNNNNNNNNNNNNNNNNNNNNNNNNNNNNNNNNNNNNNNNNNNNNNNNNNNNNNNNNNNNNNNNNNNNNNNNNNNNNNNNNNNNNNNNNNNNNNNNNNNNNNNNNNNNNNNNNNNNNNNNNNNNNNNNNNNNNNNNNNNNNNNNNNNNNNNNNNNNNNNNNNNNNNNNNNNNNNNNNNNNNNNNNNNNNNNNNNNNNNNNNNNNNNNNNNNNNNNNNNNNNNNNNNNNNNNNNNNNNNNNNNNNNNNNNNNNNNNNNNNNNNNNNNNNNNNNNNNNNNNNNNNNNNNNNNNNNNNNNNNNNNNNNNNNNNNNNNNNNNNNNNNNNNNNNNNNNNNNNNNNNNNNNNNNNNNNNNNNNNNNNNNNNNNNNNNNNNNNNNNNNNNNNNNNNNNNNNNNNNNNNNNNNNNNNNNNNNNNNNNNNNNNNNNNNNNNNNNNNNNNNNNNNNNNNNNNNNNNNNNNNNNNNNNNNNNNNNNNNNNNNNNNNNNNNNNNNNNNNNNNNNNNNNNNNNNNNNNNNNNNNNNNNNNNNNNNNNNNNNNNNNNNNNNNNNNNNNNNNNNNNNNNNNNNNNNNNNNNNNNNNNNNNNNNNNNNNNNNNNNNNNNNNNNNNNNNNNNNNNNNNNNNNNNNNNNNNNNNNNNNNNNNNNNNNNNNNNNNNNNAACCAAAGGAAGCAUGUUCCAGACGUCGAUGCCACAACCAAAUUUCAGACUUUUUCUUCUCCUCCUUAGAUCCAUCUGCCAUCAAGGCUUGUUGCAACUUAUUUGAAUCCUUUGAUUGCAAGUCCAAGUAUAGAGUUUCCCCCGCUUAAUACGACAACCAAUCGUCUGUCUUGUUUGAAUGUCCUUAAUCACACAAAAUUCAGGCCAAAAAAUGACAAUACAAGAUAAGGCUGCAGUGAUUUGAGAAACUAACAAAAGAUUGUAAUCUAAAGAUGGAACAACUAAAACAGAAUCCAAAUUCAAAGUAUCAGUAAGAGUUAAGGAUCCUUCCCCAAUGACUGGGGUUGUGUUACCAUUGGCUGUGGAAACAAUUUUUUGUGAGGAAGGUCUAAGGGGUGAAACCUGUCUAGAAUCAAAAGUCAUAUGAUCUGUAGCACCAGAAUCAAUUAUCCAUGCACUAUUAAUAACAGGUGUAAAAGUAUUUAAAAACUUACCACAAUGAUCUGUAGCGGCUACUAAUGCAGAGACUUUCUCAACAACAUUAGUCUUUGUUUUUAUUUCGGUAACAGUUGCAAUCAAGGUUUUCUUGGAAUUCUUCUUCCGUUGAUCACGAUUAUUAUCAUUAAUAACAAAGUGUUGAUAGCCUAAACAUGAUCUAAAGGUCCAUGGUGCAAACCCUCGGUUCCUCAUUGUUUUCCUGGUCAUACCAAGAGUUGUUGCUUUGAAAUUGUGGGAUAUCCAGACUGGUGGGAUCAGUUUUAUUGCAGUGAGUGCAUUUGAAUGUUGACUUAUCAAUAUUAGGGCUUGUCUUCGGAUGGUUGAUUGCUGUUGGACUACCAUAGCGACAAAAUAUCCAGGAUUUCAAUUCCAGGGCUCUGAUACCAUCUUCAAAUUGAUGAAUGAUAGUUUUUCAUUCAUUCUUUCAUGUACAGAGUAUAUAUAGAGGGUAAUCACCAUUCUAAGAAUGGGAAAGAAUGAUACGAGGAAAUAAUGAUAUAAGGAAAUAAUAACUAAUAUCCUAAUAUCUCAACUUUCCUAAUAUCUCAAUAUUCCUAAUAUCUCAACUUUCCUAAUAUCUAAACAUUCAUAAUAUCUCAACACUAAAUGAUACAAGGAAAGAAUGAUAUAAGGAAAACAUUCCUAAUAUCUCAACACCACUUCAUGAUAUAUAUAGUUUCUUACCCUUAAUCAAUGGUUUCUAAGUGAAUUUAUAUAGAAAGAAAUCCAAACUGUAGACAGCAGUAUUGGUAACACUCAAUAUUCUGUAUAUAAUAGAAUAAAUAGCGUCACAGUGAUCGUCGCCUACAAGCAAGGUACAAAUACCACAAAGAGUGACCCACAUAGACAUUCCCCAACAAGAUGUAGUAGUGACUGACACAUAGCCACAAUUAACACGUAGAAAAGGAUAAGACCGGUGCACAGUAGCUCUUAUUUUACAUACUACUUAUGCCAACCAAAGUCACUCAGUUGGGAUGGGAGGGAGAUGGAGGUUUGUGCGGUGGCUUGUGGGGCGGAGUUGAUGGCUUCUUUCCAGGAGCUUCUGGCUUUUUCAUCGGAGCUGAAGGAGGCUCAAUCUUAUGAGGCGGCUUGUACGAGUCUUCUUUGCUCUCGAAAGGAGGGUGGCCAGGGUUGUGACCAUAAUGUGGUGGUUUCUCUCCCUUGGGAGGUUUACCAAUUGGGGUUGGUGGCUUGUGUUCUGGGAGUGGUUUCUCUCCCUUGGGAGGUUUAGUGGGUGACUUGUGUUCUGGAGGUGGCUUCUCCACCGAAGGCUUGUGCUCCGGUGGUGGCUUUUUGGUUGGAGGGGGCUUGGGGUAAUCAGCAAGAGAUGGGGUGGUGAGAACCACCAGUCCAAGGAACAACACUAGCAAGUAUGUGGGAGACAUUUUUGAGUUUGGGCUGAUCAGAUGAUGCAAAACUAAAGCAUUACGUGACCUUUUAUAGCAAGUAGCUCCCAAUACCUACUUGACACGUGUUACUGUGACCCAUAAAUAUUAUGGGGUCUAUUUGUGCCCUACCGGGUUGAAAACUUGGACAAUUGGGCAAGGACCCGCCUGACUAUGGAGGACUACUGAGGUGUGAUCACAGCUUUAGGAUUUUUCUUCCUCUGCAGCCGUCUUGCCGUUGGCAUGAUUUUCUUAAUCUCAAAUAAAGGCAUAGUUAUAGAGUUGUUUAAUCUCUAAAUGGGAUUUUAUAUAUCUUCAGAUAGCCAUUAAUACAUUUGAUGAAGAAAGAAAGACAAGUGCAUACAACAUGUAUACGACUAGCUUUCAUGGAGUUCAUUUAUGAUCAGUUUUCCUGUACAUGUAAACCAAGAUCAUAUAUGUUUUUGUUCCACAACAAUUUUGGAAUCUUGUUUAUCCGUUUUUAUCAUUAUAAUGUCACAUAGGCUGCCAACUUGGGCGCUAAAUUAAAGAUCCAGUUGGGCAAGUUCGUUUCAGAAUUUCAAUGGUGGAUUCAGGAAUUGUUUUAUAAGAUAUGCAAAAUAGUAGAGGGAUGAAUAGUGUUUCAUUAAGAAAAGAGCCCUGUAAAAAUAUUGUUUAAAGGUGCCAUAGAAACUAUAAUCAAUAAAUAACUUUUUUUCCCCAUGGGUGGUGUUUCUUGUGGGGAUCAGUGACUGGUUUGAGUCAACGCCGUGUCUCUUUAGUCCAGAAAUCAACUAUUUUAUGCAUUGAAUACAUCAACAAAGAAAAUAUGAAAGCCAAAUGACACCUCCCCCGCAAAAACUAAACCCUGGUUGCUAACUUUCUAUGUUUCAGUUCCAUUCACACAAGAAUAUUAGUUCAAGUUUGAGAAAAAUGGCGACUUACCUAGUGAUAACUCGGUCUUGGUUUGCGAUUUGACUUUAACGUCAUGGGUUGAAGCCUCCUACAAUCAUCGUGUAUGCUAGUUCAAAGCUCGUGGAAGAAGUUAUACAGGGAGGGAGAAACCUCCACAGCAAGCUCCAAAAGAGAAUUAUCACAUUGAAAGCUCCAGUUGAACACUGGGUGAAAGCCAUAACAAGAUUGGUUUUCUAUCGCUCUUUUAAGUAAUGGAAGAUUAUUAUCUCUGCUUGUCACUACAACCGUGCAUGCUGCUAGAUCUUUCUAGACACUUCAAACAGUGAAACCAAGUAUGAUUCUUUUUCUCUUGAGUGGGUCCACUUGCAUGCCAAUGAACGAGUUGAAAAGUUGGACAAUUGGCCACAGCGCGCACUUACCUUCUGGAACCGAAGGUCAGUGAAGUGGGGUUCCUUUUGGCCCCUUGUGUUUCUGUUCCAACCUACUCCAGGAACCGAAGUUCAGUGAAGUGGGGCUACUUUUGGCCUCUUGUGUUUCUGUUCCAACCAAACAAAAAUGGGAGGGAAAAAUAGCAUUAUGCUUGUGCUAAAGAUCAACGCAUGAUAGCUGAAUAAGGGAGAAAAAGGCAUUGCUAUCUCAAUUUCAUAAACUUGAUAAGUAGUGACAUUAAUAGUCUUCCUCAUAGAUGGAUACAUGGUUUUAUUUUAUUUAUUUAUUUUUAUUUUUUUGUUUUAUGUCAAUGCUAAUGAAUGAAGUGCAUUAGCUUGUUUUGUGACUAGAACUACAAAUGUCCAAAUUGGAGCUUCUCCAAUAUAUUUCUCAGUGAGUUAUUGAUUAGAACUCUUGGAUUGAGUUCCAAGAUUUGAAUCAGACCCCUCUAGCAGCUUCAGGGGUACGUAGCAACCUAUAGCAUAUUAAUGAAGACUUAGGAUUUAGACUUAGGAAUACAAAUUAAUAUGUACCUCAUGCUCUGACUAGCUUCCCUGCGUAUGCACAAAAUGGAGAUGACUCCCAAAAAAAUAGCAGAAUCGCCUUAGUAUGUUUUUGUGGUUAAGAUGAUUCUCCACUUUAUAUAUCCACAUUGGUUCAUUAUGCAAAUUAAUCAACUAAGCUAUUUUUAUUUUUUCUUAAAUGUGAAAUAGGAGCUCCAAAUUAACCUAACCAUUGGCCUGAUUGAAUUGAUUUCACUUGCAUAAUGUUAUAGUAGAAGUCCGUAAUUUGAAUUUUAUUUUUGCAAAAGGUAACGUAAAUGAAGCAUUGUAAUUAAAUUUAUUUGUAAUUACAAACUAAUUUUAUUUUAUUAAGAAUUAAUUUAAUUACUCAUUUAAAAUAAAAAUCAGUUAUACUUUUACCAAGAUGAUAAUAUUCAUAUUUUUCUAGUUAACAUAUAUAAAAUAGUACACUUUUUCAUAUAAAAAAAUAAUUUAUGAUUUAUUAUAAUGUUACUAUUCACAUUUUACUAAAUUGAUGGUACAUGAUAGUGAGAGAAGGGGGUGUCACACUCAGCUAAAGUUCUUUUCAAAAUAUUGCAUGGUGUUUAAUUUUAUGUGUCGGCGCGCGUGUGAAUGGAACCUGCAAAAGUCCAAAUUGGCGUUUCUCCAUUUUCCACAUAGGAUGGUGACGUUAAUAGACAAAGAUACAAUAUCUGUAGACAUUGCUUAAAAAUCGAUGUGAAGUAUUAGAAAUUACAGGGCACUGUACUGGGGGAGCGGCUGCCCCGCCAAAGGAGGAAGAAUGUAGCAAUUUCUUCUGUUAGCCAGGCCUUAGGAUUUAUGCAUGGGAUGCCUAAUAACAAACAGAGAAAAUAUACUUUUGGGGAAGGUAUCCAACAACAGACACCAUCAUUCAGAUGGUGGGAAGGUAUCCAACAGAUGCCAUCAUUCAGAUGGUAACAUAUAUAUACAUUUAUUAGUGAGUUUUUUUAAUACCUAUAAAAAAAAAUAUACACUUUGAUAUUGUGGCUGAAUCCAUUACAUACUCAACUAACCUUGCUCAUUAGGGAUUUGACUUAACAAGGGCAACGUUGCAGUACAAGCUCAAAACUUUAUGCAGGUGACAUUACAUUUGGUAAAGAAGAGGAAAAUAACGAAAGCCAUCCAUAAAAGCAAAAUUCCACAUGGGAUGAAAUUCACAAGCUUCAUUUACGAUAGAGUCGCAUCCAGGCAAUUAAUUCCACAUUAGACCGCCUGUUGACAUGUGUACCAAUCUUUUUUCAAAAAAUAUUUAUAAAUAAUUGAUACUCACAAAAAUAAUUUAAUAUUUAUAAAGGAUAAAAAAAUAUUUUCAAAUCUAUAACAAUUUAUAAAAUAUUAAUAAAAAAUUAUCUCUUAAACUUAGUAUAGUUUUAUCAGAUUAAACUUUUAUUUUGAACAAAUAAUUUUAAUCUAAGUUUUAAAUUCUAAAAUUAUUUCCUUAAAAUAAAAUUUUAAAAUUCAACACUUCAAUUGAAAUUGUCUUUUUAAAAAAUAUCUUCUUAUUUUAAUCCUUAUAAACUAUAGUUGAUUGAAAAUACUAUUGAAGUUCUCUCUUAAAAAAAAGUCUUAUUUUAAUCUUCAUAAAUUGCCCUUGAUUUGAAAAUAAAUUUUCAGUUAUCAUAUUUUAAAUAAUAUCUAUAUUUAAAAUACUCUAUUUAAAAAAAAAUGAACUAAUUUUAAUUAUAUUAUAUUUUAUUUUUUUAUAUAUUUUUAAUGAUAAACCAAACAUAGAAAAUCAUUUUUCUAAAUAUUUUAAAAUUUCUAAGCAACCAAACAUAAUCUUCAAAAUAAAAGGAAAAUAAGGAGGGACAUUUGAGAAAUGGCGAUUAAAAAAAAGUGUACAAAAGCUCAAUUAAUUUUCUUCUAGUCUUUUAUAUAAAAAAGUAAAGGAAUUGAAAAGUAUUGAUAUGUAAAUUAAUAUUUGGAUUUUAAUAGUAUUUUAUUUGUCUUUCUCUAUCUCAUGUAAAAGAGAAUUUAAGAUAUUUCCUAAAGCAAAGCAUUAGUUAUCUGCAAUCAGUGGUGAUCAUGCCCCAUGUCAAUUUCGGACCCAUAUCUUAAAACUGUAUAAUUUGCAUUCAAACAUUACUGAUUUCUCAGAUGUUUCAUACUCCACAGAAGAGCAUUGUUUGUGAAAGCAUGCAUUUAUGUUGGAUUUUGGAUGAUGUGGGAACUGGGGCAAGGAUCAUAUGGAAGAGUGGUCGAUUUUGUUCUGUACUUUAACAUUUGAAAUAGGAGAAGCUCGGGCAUUUGUGGGGCUUAAUUGAUUUUGAAGCCUGAAAUUGCGUUUCUGUCAUUUUGUAAAAAAUAUGGCAGAUUCCAUGCUCUCAUAUGUUUGGUCUGUGGCCAUGUAUAGAUGCCCCUUAGUGACCAGUUUGUAACUGUCAAUCAUAGUGUUUUGACUCUGGCUCAACAACAUCAGCCAUUGACGGAUUUUCAUACUUGCAAAUCAAAUAGUCUUCUUCCUCCCUUAGGAAUUUCGGUUUAAAUGUUAUUAAGCAUACAUUUGGCUGACAAUUAUUAACCACUUCAUGAUAUGGUUUCUUACCCUUAAUCAAUGGUUUCUAAGUGAAUAUAUGCAGAAGGAAAUCUGAACUGUAGACAGCAGUAUUGAUAACUCUCAAUAUUCUUUAUAUAAGAGAAUAAACAACGUCAUAGUGAUCGUCGCCUACAAGAAAGGUACAUUUCCCAACAAGAUGUAGUUGUGACUGGUACAUGGACGCAAUUAACUCGUACAAAAGAAUAAGACCAGUGCACGGCAGCUCUUAUUUUACAUGCUAAUUAUGCUAACCAAAGUCACUCAGUUGGGAUGGGAGGGAGAUGGAGGUUUGUGCGGUGGCUUGUGGGGCGGAGUUGGUGGCUUCUUUUCAGGAGCUUGUGGCUUUUUCGGAGCUGAAGGAGGCUCAAUCUUAUGAGGCGGCUUGUACGAGUCUUCUUUACUCUCGACAGGAGGGUGGCCAGGGUUGUGACCAUAAUGUGGUGGCUUCUCUCCCUUAGGUGGCUUGCCAACUGGGGUUGGUGGCUUGUGUUCAGGAAGUGGUUUCUCUCCCUUGGGAGGUUUACCAAUUGGGGUUGGUGGCUUGUGUUCUGGGAGUGGUUUCUCUCCCUUGGGAGGUUUAGUGGGUGACUUGUGUUCUGGAGGUGGCUUCUCCACCGGAGGCUUGUGCUCCGGUGGUGGCUUCUCCACCGGAGGCUUGUGCUCCGGUGGUGGCUUCUUGAUUGGAGGGGGCUUGGGGUAAUCAGCAAGAGAUGGGAUGGUGAGAACCACCACUCCAAGGAACAACACUAGCAAGUAUGUGGGAGACAUUUCUGAGUUUGAGCUGAUCAGAUGAUGCAAAACUAGAAGAAUUACGGGACCUUUUAUAGCAAGUAUCUCCCAAUACCCACAUGACACGUGUUACUAUGACCAUAAAUAUUAUAGGGUCCAUUUGUGCCCUACCGGGUUGAAAACUUGGACGCUUGGCCGAGGACACACCUGACUAUGGAGGACUAUUGACGUGUGAUCACAGCUUUUGGAUUUUUCUUCCUGUGCAGCUGUCUAGCGGUUGGCAUUAUUUUCUUAAUCUUAAAUAAAGGCAUAGUUAUAGAGUUGUUUAAUCUCUAAAUGGGAUUUUAUAUAUCUUCAGAUAGCCAUUAAUAUAUUUGAUGAAGAAAGACAAGUGCAUACAACAUGUAUACGGCUUGCUUCAAUCGAGUACAUUUAUGAUCAGUUUUCCUGUGCAAGUAAACCAGUUUUUUGUUCCACAACUAUUUUGGAAUCUUGUUUAUCAGUUUCUAUCAUUAUAAUGUCACAUAGGCUGCAAACUUGGGCACCCAAAGAUCUAGGUGGGCAAAUUUGUUUCAGACUUUCAAUGGUGGAUUCAGUAAUUGUUAAAAGGUGUUUCUUCAUUAAGGAAAGAGUCCGGUAAAAAUAUUGUUAAAAGGUGUCAUAGAAACUAUAAUAAAUAAAUAACUUCUUUUCCCCAUGGGUGGUGUUUCUUCUGGGGAUCAGUGACUGGUUAGGGUCACCCAAAAUGAGUCCAGAUUAAAAUUGGUUCGAGUCAAAGCAGUCUCUUUUGUCCAGAAAUCAACUAUUUUGCGCAUUGAAUGAAUCGAUAAAGAAAAAAUGAAAGCCAAAUCACACCUCCCCUGCAAAACCUAAACCCCGGUUGCUAACUUUCUAUGUUUCAGUCCUAUUCAUAUAGGAAUAUUGGUUCAAGUUUGAGAAAAAUGGCAACUUACCUAGGGUUUACUUGGUUUUGGUUUGCGACUAUUUACGCAACCAACCAUGAGUUUGACUUUAACGUCAUGGGUUGAAGCCUCCUACAAUCAUGUAUGAUAGUUCAAAGCUCGUGGAAGAAAUUAUACAGGAAGGAAGAAACCUCCAAAGCUAGCUCCAAAAGAGAAUUAUCACAUCGAUAGCUCCAGAGAUUCCCAAGGGAACUGAAUCAAAGACAAGUUCCUCACUUUUUCUUCUUUUGAGGCCAAAUAUGAACCAAGGAUCACACGACCUCAUUCAACUUCAUAAGUUUGAUUUCAUGCAGUUGAACACUGGGUGAAGGCCAUGACAAGAAUUGAUUAAAAAAUUCUACCACUCUUUUAAGUAAUGGAAGAUUAUUAUCUCUGAUUGGCACCACAACAGCACAUGCUGCUAGAUCUUUCUAGACACUCCAUGCAAUGAAAGCACAAUGGAUCUUGUAAUGAUAGAAACUAAGCCAUGCUACAGUACUAGAUGAGGGGGUAAAACUAGUAGACAUCUUUCUAGACACUCCAUGCAAUGAAAGCACAAUGGAUCUUGUAAUGAUAGAAACUAAGCCAUGCUACAGUACUAGAUGAGGUGGUAAAACUAGUAGACAUGGCUGGCAGUUGAUUACUACUCAAAAAGUACUCUUUUAUAGCUUGAAACUAACUGUUUUAAACACUUUUGAGUAGUAGUUAAUACCUUUUAACUUAAUUGGCACAUUAAGGAACCUAGCAAGGGUUACUAAUCAACAUUUGGCAAGUUUUGAUGUUUUUGGUAGCUAUUUGAUCAUUGAAACAAGCCAAGAAUGAGGGGGAAUUUUGUGAAGUCCAUGGCAAUGCAAGUUAAAGCUCAAAUACAUGAAGAAUCCAAGCUUUGGAGCACUUCAUAGCCCUUUGCCAAGCCAAUCAAAGAUGCAAGGAAGAAAACCAAAGGAAGAAAUCCAACAAUCAGCAUUUUGGCAUGGCUAUGUGAAAUUUCGCACACCAUGCGAAACCACAAGAGGCAGCCAAAGAAUUUCGCAUGGUAUGCGAAAUCUUCUUGUGCACUGACUCUGUUAGAUUUUUAUCUUCAGAUAUUUUGUGUAAUUUCCUAGUUUCUCCUUGUAACCAACUUAGAUAUUUUCUUUUAUAUCUUUUUUUAUAUUUUUUAGGUAACAUCAUAUAUAAGAGGAGAGACAUAAGGAGGAUAUGGAUGUUUUUCAUAGAACACUUGUAAAUUUUUGGUAGUAAGAAAUAUACAAAGCUUUUUGCUCUGCCUUACCUUCUCAAGGGAUGAGUGGCUAGGUUUUCUUGGAGUGAGGGAAGCUAGGUGAAGGACCUGAAUGCAAAGGUGGGAGUUUUCCUUACUUUAAAUGAAAGUAGUUGUUAAACAUUAAUGGUUUUUAUUUUAAGGUUUAGCUUUAAAUCCCUGAAAAACACCUUGAAUGGCCAAUACUUGGUAAGCUUUUUAGAUUCUAUGGAUGCUUAUUGCUAGAUCCAUGGAUGUCUAUUAGUUAUCAUUUACGAGCCAUUGGAAGGUGAUUCAAGGUGAGGGUCUUUAGUGUUUGAAGCCAUUAAUGGGAAGCAAUUACCAUUUUUUCAUGAAUCCUUUGGAUCAAAUCUUAAUUGCUAAAUAUAAAACCGGUUUCGAGAGAUAACCACCAUCCUUUAUGUUAUUAUCCCCAACGCGAGGAGAAGAUCCGAAAUCUUCCUUUUUAUCUAAGGAACCCGAUCCUAGUGACCUAAAGCUCCAAGAUACCUUUUCUUUGUAGUUAACUUCAUUUAUUGUUUUUGCUUAACUUAAAAUCAAUCUUUGCAACCACAAUUCCAUUUUCUUUAAAAGCUAAUUUUUAUAAGGAAAAACACCAUUUUAUUUCCUUCACUAAGUCAACUGUACGAUGAAAACCCAUCCCUGUGGACGAUCCUAGAGCCACUAUACUAUGUUAGCUAUGCUACCCUAGUGUGAGGUGAUUUAGGUUUUAUAAAUUUUUUUGAUAACACCCAUCUGAGCCAGAAUCAAAUGGCACGACUGAACCAGGGACGAAUCAAAUGACGCCGCUACCAAGGAUGGUGCCAAAGUACAUUGACAUGACUUUUGGUGAACACUUGUGAUCUUCACCACAAGUUUGGUGAUUUUUCUUUUACUAAUUUUUUUUAUUUUAGCUUAUCUUUUAUUUAGUUUUUAGUUAACCUUAAAUUUUUCCUAGAAUUGUAUUUCUUUUGUUUUCUUUGUUUUUGUUUCAGUGAUCUUUAGUUGUGCAUGCCCUAUUGGAUAAGAGAUAUUGAGGGAAUACUUGUGAAGAUUGAAACUCCUCGAGAAACUGAGUUAGAAGUGUGCUUGAACAUCAUGGAUGUUCCACCUGAAGACCAGAAUAGCCAACAUGGUUAAGAGGAUAAUUUCAACACAUACCGAUCCAUGAGGAACCGCAUACAUCCACCUUGUAUGAGUGCACCGUCAGGCAUAAUGCCUCCCACUGAGCAGCUAGUAAUCUGACCUCACAUUGUGCCACUCCUACCUACUUUCCAUGGGAUGGAGAGUGAGAAUCCCUACUCGCAUAUUAAGGAAUUCGAGGAGGUUUGUAAUACAUUCCAAGAAGGAGGAGCUUCAAUUGACUUGAUGAGGCUCAAGCUAUUUCCUUUCACUUUGAAGGAUAAGGCCAAGAUUUGGCUUAAUUCUUUAAGGCCAAGAAGUAUCCAAACUUGGAUUGAUUUGUAAGCCGAGUUUCUUAAGAAGUUCUUCCCUACCCAUAGGACCAAUGGUUUGAAAAGGCAAAAUUUGAACUUCUCAGUUAAAGAGAAUGAGAAAUUCUAUGAGUGUUGGGAGAGCUACAUGGAAGCUAUUAACGUUUGUCCUCACCAUGGCUUUGACACAUGGCUCUUAGUGAGCUAUUUUUACAAUGGUAUGUCUUCUUCAAUGAAGCAACUCCUAGAAACUAUGUGUGGAGGAGACUUCAUGAGUAAGAAUCCGGAGGAAGCCAUGGACUUUUUGAGUUAUGUGGCUGAAGUUUCAAGAGGAUGGGAUGAACCAAAUGCUAGAGAGGUGGGAAGAAUGAAGUCUCAACCUAAUGCUAAGGGUGAGAUGUAUGUUUUGAAUGAAGACAUUGACAUGAAAGCAAAGGUUGCAGCUAUGGCAAGGAGAUUGGAAGAGCUAGAAAUGAAGAACAUACAAAAAGUGCAAGCCAUUUCUGAGACAUCAAUGAAAGCUAUGCCUUGUUCCAUUUGUCAAUCUUAUAAGCACCUAGUGGAGGAGUGUCCUACAAUUCCAGCAGUGAGAGAGAUGUUUGGUGAUCAAGCAAAUGUUAUUGAUCAAUUCAAGCCUAAUAACAAUGCUUCAUAUGGCAACACCUACAAUUCAAAUUGGAGGAACCAUUCAAAUUUCUCUUGGAAACGAAAGCCACCUCAAUACACACAACCUACUCAAGCACCUUAGCAAUCCUCGAAUCUUGAACAAGCUAUUGUGAACCUUAGCAAGGUUGUGGGAGACUUUGUGGGAGAUCAGAAGUCCAUCAAUGCUCAACUGAAUCGGAGAAUUGACAGUGUGGAGAGUACAUUGAACAAAAGGAUGGAUGAGAUGUAAAAUGAUCUGUCUCAAAAGAUAGACAAUGUCCAAUACGUAAUCUCAAGGCUUACCAACCUCAACACAGUGUAAGAGAAAGGAAAGUUUCCUUCUCAACCUCAUCAAAAUCCUAAGGGUAUCCAUGAAGUAGAGGCUCAAGAGGGAGAAUCUUCAAAGGUGAGGGAAGUCAAAGUAGUUAUCACCUUGAAGAGUGGUAAAGAGGUUGAUCAACCCACAUCCAAGCCAAAGCAUAAUGAAGAGAGUGUAGCAGAAAAAGAAAAGAGAGGAAAAUAAAGGAAUUAGAAUAGAGAAAAAUACAAAGAAAGAUGACCAUGAGUCUAGUGUGGAUGAAGAGCCCGAGAGGAUGGUGAUCAAGGAAGAUAUGAUGAAGAAACACAUGCCUCCACCUUUCCCCUAAGCUUUGCAUGACAAAAAAAGAACCAAUAAUACAUCAGAAAAUUUUGAAGUAUUGAGGCAAGUGAAGGUCAAUAUCCCUUUGCUAGACAUGAUCAAACAAGUGUCGACAUAUGAAAAAUUCUUGAAGGACUUGUGCACUGUAAAGAGAGGGUUGAAUGUGAACAAGAAAGCUUUAUUGACCGAGCAAGUGAGUUCCAUCAUACAGUGCAAGUCCUAGUGAAGUACAAAGAUCCGGGUUGCCGUACCAUCUCAGUGAGUAUUGGAAGGACUUGUGUGGAGAAAGCUUUGUUGGACUUGGGAGCAAGUGUGAAUUUGCUAUCCUACUCUGUCUAUAAGCAGUUGGGAUUUGGAGAGUUGAAGCCAAUAUCCAUCACUCUAUCUCUAGCGGAUAGAUCAAUGAAGAUUCCAAGAGGGAUGAUCGAAGAUGUCCUGGUUCAAGUUAACAAAUUCUACUAUCCAGUAGAUUUUGUUGUUCUUGAUAUGGAUCCGGUUGUCAAAUGAACUAAUUAUGUUCCUAUCAUACUUGGAAGACCCUUCCUAGCUACAUCAAAUGCAAUCAUCAAUUGUAGGAAUGGAGUCAUGCAACUCACAUUUGUCAACAUGACAUUAGAGCUCAACAUCUUCCAUUUGUACAAGAAGCAUAUCCAUCAGGAGGAAAAAGAAGGUCUAGAGGAAGUGUGAAUGAUUGACACUUUAGUGGAAGAGCAUUGUGAUCGAGAAUGCAAAAAGAUUUAGUUGAGAAUUUUGGGGAUCUUGAUGAAAGGUUACUUGAACCCUCAGAUUUGCUUGCUACCCUACUCCAUUGGAAGAGAAGAGAAGAAAUUCUACCCUUAUUCAAUGAGGAGGAGACGCAAAGAGCUGCAAAGGAGAAACCCCCAAAACUUAUUCUUAAGCCACUACCCACAGAGUUGAAGUAUGUAUACUUGGAAGAAGACAAGAAGUGCCCUAUUGUUAUAUCUUCAACUCUUACCAUUCAUCAGGAGGAUUGUCUACUUGAAGUCCUUAGAAGAUGUAAGAAGACAAUAAGGUGGCUAAUUUCUUAUUUGAAAGGGAUCAGCCCUUUAGUCUGCACCCAUCAUAUUUACAUGGAGGAUGAAGCUAAGCUAAUUCAUCAACCUCAGAGAAGGUUGAACCCUCACAUGCAAGAGGUGGUUCGAGCUGAAGUUCUGAAGCUACUUCAGACCAGUAUUAUUUACCCCAUAUCAAAUAGCCCAUGGGUGAGUCCUACUCAAGUUGCGCCAAAGAAGUCUGGGAUCAUGGUGGUGCAAAAUGAUAAGGGAGAAGAUGUCUCUACACGCCUCACUACAGGUUGGAGGGUGUGUAUCAAUUACAGGAGGUUGAAUGCAGUGAUAAGAAAGGACCAUUUCUCAUUGCCCUUUAUUGAUCAGGUGCUUGAGAGGGUCUCUGGGCUUUUUUUUUUAUUGUUUCUUGGAUGGCUACUCCGGGUACUUUCAGAUAGAAAUUGAUGUUGAAAACCAAGAUAAGACCAUUUUCACAUGCCCAUUUGGAACCUAUGCAUAAAGGAGAAUGCCUUUCGGCUUAUGCAAUGCACCCGCAACUUUCCAAAGAUGCAUGUUAAGCAUUUUCAGUGAUAUGGUGGAGCGUAUUAUGGAAGUCUUUAUGGAUGAUAUCACCAUUUAUGGAAGUGCAUUUGAUGAAUGCUUGGUCAACUUAGAAGCUGUUCUGAACCGAUACAUUGAGAAAGACUUAGUGCUUAACUGGGAGAAGUGCCAUUUCAUGGUACACCAAGGGAUUGUCCUUGGGCACAUUAUCUCCAAGCAAGGCAUUGAAGUUGACAAAGCAAAGGUUGAACUCAUUGUUAAGUUGCCAUCCUCAACAAAUGUCAAAGGAGUAAGGCAAUUCUUUGGCCAUGUCGGGUUCUAUAGGAGGUUUAUCAAGGAUUUCUCUAAGCUUGCAAGGCCUCUUUGUGAAAUAUUGGUGAAUGAUGUUAAAUUCAUAUGGGAUGAUGGAUUUGAAAGGAGUUUUGAAGAAUUGAAGCUAUUUUUGACAACCGUACCAAUAGUGAGGGCUCCCAACUGGCAACUGCCCUUUGAAGUAAUGUGUGAUGUCAAUGAUUUUGCUAUAGGAUUUUUUCUUGGGCAAAGAGAAAAUGGAAAACCUUAUGUGAUCUACUAUGCGAGGAAGGCAUUGAAUGAGGCACAAAGAAACUACACAACCACCGAGAAAGAAUUGUUAGCUGUAGUUUUUGCCUUGGAUAAGUUUCGCGCUUACUUGGUGGGGUCCUUCAUCAUGGUUUUUACUGAUCACUUUGCUUUGAAGUAUCUGUUGACUAAGCAAGAUGCUAAAGCAAGGCUGAUUAGAUGGAUUCUCUUACUUCAAGAGUUCAAUCUCCAUAUCAAAGAUAAGAAAGGAGUGGAGAAUGUGGUAGCAGACCACAUUUCAAGGCUAGCUAUCGCACAUAAUUCCCAUGCUUUGCCCAUUAAUGACGAUUUUCUAGAGGGGUCUCUCAUGUUGGUGGAAGUUGUCCCUUGGUACGCUCACAUUGCUAACUACCUGGUCACGGGAAAAGUUCCAAGUGAGUGGAAAGCACAAGAUAAGAAGCACUUCUUUGCAAAAAUUCAUGCCUACUAUUGGGAAGAGCCAUUUCUAUUCAAGUAUUGUAUGGAUCAGAUAAUAAGGAAGUGCGUUCCUGAAGAAGAGCAACAGGGGAUCCUUAGUCAUUACCAUGAAAAUGCAUGUGGAGGCCACUUUGCUUAUCAAAAGACAGCCAUGAGGGUGUUGCAAUCGGGUUUCUGUUGGCCAUCACUUUUCAAAGAUGCCCACACCAUGUGCAAGAGUUGUGAUCGAUGCCAGAGGCUUGGGAAGUUGACACGCAGGAACAUGAUGCCUUUGAACCCCACUUUAAUAGUUGAUAUUUUUUAUGUUUGGGGCACUAACUUCAUGGGACCUUUCCCUAUGUCUUUUGGCUACUCUUACAUCUUGGUAGGAGUAGAUUAUGUUUCUAAGUGGGUUGAGGCAGUCCCAUGCAAACACAAUGACCAUAGAGUGGUUCUCAAGUUUCUUAAAGAGAAUAUCUUCUCAAGAUUUGGGGUGCCCAAAGCCAUAAUUAGUGAUGGGGGUACUCAUUUUUGCAACAAGCCUUUUGAAACUCUCCUAGCCAAGUAUGGGGUGAAGCAUAAGGUAGCUACACCUUACCACCCUCAAACUCAUGGACAAGUUGAGUUAGCAAACAGGGAGAUUAAAAACAUAUUGAUGAAGGUGGUGAACACAAACAGAAAAGAUUGGUCAGUCAAGCUUCUUAAUUCACUAUGGGCAUAUAGAACAACUUACAAGACCAUUCUCGGGAUGUCUCCUUAUCGCCUAGUUUAUGGCAAAGCAUGCCAUCUCCCUGUGGAAUUGGAAUACAAAGCUUGGUGGGCAAUCAAGAAGCUCAACAUGGAUUUGAGCAGAGCUGGGUUGAAGAGGUUCUUAGACCUUAAUGAGAUGGAGAAAUUGAGAAAUGAUGCCUACAUCAAUUCAAAAAUUGCAAAAGAAAAAUUGAAGAGGUGGCAUGAUCAGUUGAUUUCCCGCAAGGAUUUUCAAAAUGGACAAAGAGUCUUACUUUAUGACUCUAAACUCCACAUCUUUCCGGGCAAGCUGAAAUCAAGGUGGAUAGGUCAUUUUACCAUUCACCAAGUGCAUUCAAAUGGAGUAGUGGAACUACUCAACUCCAACAAUAUCGAGAACUUCAAAGUGAAUGGCCACCGUCUCAAGCCCUUUGUGGAGUCUUUUUCUCACAACAAGGAGAAAUUCAUCCUCCUUGAUCCACAUCAAGCUUAACAAGACCAAUUUUCUUGAUGGACUUAGUCUUUCUAAAGACUAUCGAGUCCAUAACUUUUUGUUUUAUUUUUUAUUUGAGAUUUUUUCGGUAUUGUUACUUGUUUUGUUUUUUAUUUUUCGUUUUAAUUUUAUUUGGUUUGAUUUAACUUAGGUUUUUGAUGAUCAAUUACAGGGGGGAUUUCAAAUAGAGGAAAAACCAAGAUAAUUCGCACACCCUACGAAAAUUUCGCAAGGCAUGCGAAAUUUAUGGCUUAUUUUGCAUGGGGUGAAAAUUUUCGUACAUCUUACGAACCAAUUUCGAACACUUUGCGAAAAUAAACCAACCCUGCGAAAUCAUUUCGAUUACUCUACGAAAUUUUCGUAGAGCAUGCGAAAAAUUUAGCACACCAAACACCAUUUCGCAUACUAUGCAAAAACCUAAGGGGUCUGCGAAACCAUUUCGCACCUCCAAAUCCAUUUCGCACAUUGUGCGAAAACCAAGAGGCGCUGUGCGAAAAUGAAAAGUCGCCCUGUCAUCCCUUUUUAAACCCCUCGAGCCCUAAAAUCUCCAUUUCGCAAGCACCCCUGUCCUUGCGAAUCCCUCAUUUUCCUCUACUACCUUGCAACCUCGUCCCUUUCCAUUUGAUAUUGUGCCCCGCGCACAUCUCAUUUCAGAGACUCGCACUCCGCGCCCCCUCAAAGCAUGGACUCGAGACCCACCUUCCAUUUCCGACGUGGCACGGACCCAAGGAGCCCUUUCUGCCCCUUCACUAAGACACACACCAAGGCAGAAAGCCUCCUUUGCUCAAGUGCCUAGUGAUUCUCCAUCUUAGGCCUCAGAGGCCUCGGAGGCCCCGUGGAUUCCACCUUCCGAGGGUAGAGCAGCCAUUGGUCCUUCCUCUUCUACUCCUUAGCGUAGAUACGAGACGAGGAGACCACCUACUACACAAGGGGCGACUACUUCGAGCCUUGAGAAUUCAGUACGAUGCCUUCCUGCCAAGAGGGUCAAGACUUCAGGUCCAAGUGAGUCAUCCAGAGCUUCAUAGCCUAAGCCUCCUGUAGAUUCCAAGGUUCCUACUGACAUAUCACCGGAGUCUAUUAUCAGAAGCCCGAUGCUCAUAGCACCGCCCAUUGAGGGCAACUCAGAUUAUAGAGCGAGAUCUUUCCACUUGGAGCUAUAUUUUGAUCAGGAGGCCAUACGACAGCAGCCUGAGCUCCGAGACUCUUAUGGCUUACUGCAGAGGUACCAUCUUGAGGAACUUAUGACUCCUCGUGAGUUUUUUUAUCCCAGAGUAGCACUAAACUUUUACCAGUCCAUGACUACUCGUGGCGUCCCGAGUCCUACCACGAUUCACUUCACCAUUGAUAGACGUCAUGGUAUCCUCAAGGCCAGACAUAUUACAGAGGCUCUACAAAUUCCUUUCGAGCUAGAGGAUCCAUCUGUUUUUCGCUAAUGGUCCCCAGUAUCUCAGAGGGACAUGGUCCGUAUUUUAUCUAGGGGAACAUCUACAGAUUCGAUCUUUCUACGGAAGGAGCUUCGACCUGGGAUGCUCCUCUUAGAUGUGGUGCUAUGCUCCAACCUCUUUCCCUUACAACAUUCGGUACAUAGGUGAUGAGCUAUUUUGGACGCUUUAUUCCGUAUAUCAGAGGGCUUCUACUUUGGCCCGCACCACUUGAUCAUGGUCUCCCUCAUCCACUUUGAGGAGAAGGUUCAUAGGAAGAAGCUUCAGAGGGUGGACACCAUUCCAUUACUAUUCCUGAGGUUACUUUGCCAGGUCUUGGAGUACAUGGGCUUUCCUACUGAGCCUCGGCUCGAGCUUUGCCGCCUUUGUCGAGAGUGAUCCACUCUCGACAAAUGGAAUUAGUUGGCGGGCUAUUCUGCACCUCCAGGAGCCCCUCCCAUGGUAGCACCUCCAAUGUCCCCACAGGCAAAGUAGGGCGAGCUCCCGGCAAAGACUGUACCACCAAUGCCCACACUUGAGGCUAUUUCUGCUGCUCUGCCUAUGACUCCUACUGUUCCACCAGUUGGUCCUUUUACAUCCGAGCCUUCCAUCACCAUCUCGGCUUCGGAGUUUCGCGCCCUUGUGCAUACCUUUCAGACACUCACCACCACACAUACUCCUCUCUUCUAGCAAAUGGUUGAGAUGUGUGCCCAUCAGGACCGGAAGACUACUAUACUCUGCCAAAUUCAGCAGCACCUAAGACUUUUGCCUCAACCUCAACCUAACCAUCCCAUAUCAUCAGAGCCUCUAGCUCCAACUGAGGAUACUAUUCCACCUGAGAACACUACCACAGUAGAGGUCCGGUUUCCACCACCUUAAGAGGCCACCACAGCUACAUCAGAGGAUGUGUCAUCUCCACUUGAGGCUCCCACUACUUGAUCAUAGGACAUAUCUUUAUCUUAUUGUAUUUACAUAUUAUAUUACUAGAGAUUUGUCCUUGUUUUGAUACUUUAUAUUCUGGGAUUGGAUGUAUUGCCUGAUGAUAUCUCAAUUGUACUUUCUCAUAUUAAUAUAUAGACAUCAAUUUUUUUUAGUAUACUUAGCAUUUUUCUAUUUCCUCUACUCAUUACUCUUUUGUUUUUUUUUACUCAUGUGGUUUCUCUUAUACAACUCAGACUCCAUUUCACUCAGGAGGUACCACUUCCUCCCUUUAUUUUCAAUUGCUCUUGAAAUAUUGAGUGCAAUGUUGAUCUUGGUUGGGGGGAGAGUUGAGGAAGGAAGUUUUGUUAAUAAUGCUAGGUUAAUUUGUUAAUUUAGUUACUUUCUGCUUAAUUUUAAAAGUUUUCACUCUACUUUCCAUGGUUAUUAAGGAAAAAUUCUCAAAAUGAAAUGGGAGAAAUCGAAUUCUUGCAUUUUUACUUGAAUCUUAGAAUUUGUAUCAUGCUUAUUAAAGUUGAUGAAUUAUUGAAACUCCUAUUGAAUUCAACCUUAUUUUUUCCACUUUAAUCUUACCACACACGGUGCACAUUAGGUUCCAGUUAUAAGAUAAAAAACUAUCUCACCCCCUAAACUUAGAAAAAUUUACACUUGGUACCUUUGACAUCGUUUUAAUAGUGUUGGGACACCUUAUAAAAGGCCAAUGAGCCUUUAAAAAAAAAAAAAAAAAAAAAAAGAGAAAGAACAAAGUAUUGCACUUGCCUUGAAACCUGAGCAAGAUCCGAGGGGUAUACAGUGAAAGUCUUUAAAACCUGGUGCCCUAAGCCUUGAUUGGUUGGGAGUCACCGACCUCAAUGCUCGUUAUAAGGGUGAAUAGGUGGAGUUUAACAUAUUGUAGGUGCUUGGGUAUUGAAUUUCAAUCUCAAAAGUCCGGGAAAAAAUCUAAGGAGUUAGUGGUCAAAAGAUCCUUAAAGCUUGAUGCCCUAAACCUUGAUUGGUUGAGAGUCAUUGAUGGAUCCCCGCUACAUGGACAUUUUAGAAAACAAUACCUUUAGCAUUGCACGCCUACAAUGAAAAAAAAAUGUGAAAUAAAAGAGGUGCGUUCUUAGCCUAUUGGAGGUUGGUCAGUUUGCUAAAGUUUGAGAAAUCUAGGUUGGGGGGAGAGAAUAGUCCGACAUACUAUAAUAAAAAACUAAUAACCUUAACACUUAGAUUUUUGUGGAAGAGUAAGGAUUGGACCUUUAGGGGUGGAAAUUCUUUUGAUGCUUAAAUUUGCAUAAUGCCUACUCUUUAUAAAUUAUGAUUAGGCAAGAGAUUUGAUGACUCUUGUUCAAAGUUGGGUUUUUCCUCUUUGAUGUUCCAUGAGAGAGUAUAAUCCUCAUCAUGCCACUUGAAAUCUUUUUGGAGUGAUUAACAUGAUUUUGUAAAUUAUUUUACUGUCUAUUUUUCUUUAUCUCUCUUUUAUUGCUAAUGGACUAGCAAUAUGUCAGUUGGGGGGAGUGAUUACUACUCAAAAAGUACUCUUUUAUAGCUUGAAACUAACUGUUUUAAACACUUUUGAGUAGGUGUUAAUACAUUUUAACUCAAUUGGCACAUUAAGGAACCUAACAAGGGUUACUAAUAAGUUUUUGGCAAGUUUUGGUGUUUUUGGUAGCUAUUUGAUCAUUGAAACAAGCCAAGAAUGAGGGAGAAUUUUGUGAAGUCCAUAGCAAUGCAAGUUAAAGCUCAAAUACAUGAAGAAUCCAAGCUUUGAAGCACUUCAUAGCCCUUUGCGAAGCCAAUCAGAGAUGCAAGGAAGAAAACCAGAGGAAAAAAUCCAACAACCAGCAUUUUCGCAUGGCUGUGCGAAAUUUUGCACACCAUGCGAAACCACAAGAAGUAGCCAAAGAAUUUUGCACACCAUGCGAAAUUUCGCAUGGUAUACGAAAUCUUCCUAUGCACCAACUCCGUUAUAUUUUUAUCUUCAGAUAUUUUGUGUAAUUUCCUAGUUUCUCCUUGUAACCAACCUAGAUAUUUUCUUUUAUAUCUUUUUUUUAUAUUUUUUAGGUAACAUCAUAUAUAGGGGGAGAGACAUAAGGAGGAUAUGGAUGUUUUUCAUAAAACACUUUUAAUUUUCUGGUAGUAAGAAAUAUACAAAGUUUUUUGCUCUGCCUUACCUUCUCAUUUUGUUUUCACCUAUCUUUCUAGCCAAACAACCUCUGAGAAUGAUUUCUCAGGGGAUGAGUAGUUAGGUUUUACGUUUCUUGGAGUGAGAGAAGCUAGGUGAAAGACCCAAAUGCUAAGGUGGGAGUUGUCCUUGCUUUAAAUGAAAGUAGUUGUUAAAUAUUAAUGGUUUUUAUUUUAAGGUUUAGCUUUAAAUCCCUUAAAAACACCUUGAAUGGCCAAUACUUGGUAAGCUUUUCGGAUUCUAUGGAUGCUUAUUGCUAGAUCCAUGGAUGUCAUUAGUUAUCAUUUAUGAGCCAUUGGAAGGUGGUUCAAGAUGAGAGUCUUUAGUGUUUGAAGCCAUUAAUGGGAAACAAUUACCAUUUUUUCAUGAAUCCUUUGGAUAAAAUCUUAAUUGCUAAAUAUAAAACUGGUUCGGGAGAUAACCAUCCUUUAUGUUAUUAUGCCCAAUGCAAGGAGAAGAUUUCGAAUCUUCUCAUUUGUCUAAGGAACCCGAUCCUAGUGACCUAAAGCUCCUAGAGACCUUUUCUUUGUAGUUAACUUCAUUUAUUGUUUUUGCUUAACUUAAAAUCAAUCUUUGCAACCACAAUUCCAUUUUCUUUAAAAGCUAAUUUUUAUAAGGAAAAGCACCAUUUUAUUUCCUUCACUAAGUCAACUGUAUGAUGAAAACCCAUCCCUGUGGACGAUCUUAGAGCCACUAUACUAUGUUAUCUAUGCUAUCCUAGUGUGAGGUGAUUUAGGUUUUAUAAAUUUUGUUGAUAACACCCGUCUGAGCCAGAAUCAAAUGGAACCACUGAACCAGGGACAAAUCAACAGCCUAUAUGGGAGGGACACAAGUUUAAUUGAUUUGCAUUUCAGCGUUAUAGAUAAGUAUGUUUUGGAAGAUUUGUUCUGGAAAUACUGCACCAAGUACGAUUCUUUUUCUCUUGAGUGAGUCCAUUUGCAUGCCAAUUAACGAGUUGAAAAGUAGGAGCACCUACCUCGUGCUCAUGGAACCGAAUGUCAGUGAAGUGGGGCUCCUUUUAGCCUCUUGUGUUUCUGUUCCAACCAAGGCGGCGUAGGGAAAAACAACAAUAUGUCUGUGCUAAAUAUCAACGCAUGAUAGAUGUUUUUUUUUUUUUUUUUGGUAUGUCAAGGCUAACGAAUGAAAUGCAUUAGCUUGUUUUGUGACUAUAACUGCAAAUGUCCAAAUUGGAGUAUCUCCAUUUCUCACUUCGGAUGGUUAACUUUAUAAACAAGAUAUAGGAAACAUGUGAACAUCUUGAGGAACAAUUCAAAUUAUUCAUUAGAAGUCCUGGGUUAAGUUCCAAGAUUUAAAUCAGACCCUUCUAGCAGCUUCAAGGGUACUUAGCAACCUAUAACAUAUUAAUGAAGAUUUAGGAUUUAGACUCCGGAAUACAAAUAAAUAUGUAUCUCAUGCUUUGACUAGCUUCCCUACAUAUGCAUAAAAUGGAGAUGACCCAAAAAAAAUAGCAGAAUCUAGCUUCCCUACAUAUGCACAAAAUGGAGAUGACCCAAAAAAUAGCAUAAUCGCCUUAGUUUCUGUGGUUAAGGUGAUUCUCCGCUUAAUAUCCACAUUGACUCAUUAUGCAAAAUCAACUGAGCUAAUUUUAUUUAUUUAUUUAAUGUCAAAUAGGAACUCCUAAUUAACUGAUUACUGUCGAAAAGUGCUAUUUUGUAGACCUAAUUAUAAGGGUUUUAAGCACCUUUGAGUAGUAAUCAUAUUCAUUUAACCUAAUUAAUUCAUUAAGCUCCUUAGUAAUUAGUUCUAACCAUUUUUAGUGGCAAGUUUACAUGUUUUUCAUCAGCUUAUGAACCAAUUCAAGCAUGCCAAUUGAUGGAGGAGCUACUUGGGCGAGUUAAGCAAGGAUUUUGGACGUUUACAGGCUUGAAUUUCAAGUGGAAACACGAGCACAAGCAAUGGGAACACCAUUUCGCAAGGGGAGGCAAUUCACCUUGCCAAAUGACCAAUUUCGCAAGGGGAUUUUCCUCAUGGUGCAAAAUUUGGUCAUUUCGCACCAUGAAGAAACCACCUUGCAAAAUUUCGCAAGGUGGAUUUAGGCACCUUGCGAAAUGCCAAAUUUCACAAGGUGGCUUUUCACCUUGCGAAAUUUGGACCUUUCAUCUUCCCCCCUUGCGAAAUGCCUUUGAAAUCCCCUGUUUUGAGACGCUGUUGAUGAUAUUCCACUGCCGGUUCUCCAAGAUAUUUUGCUUGACUUUUAGCUUUAUAAAUACCUAUUUUACCCUUGUAAUCAACCAAUGAAAAGGUUGCUUUUGUAAUAGCUCUUGUAAUUUAGCUUUUUAUUGUCUUUAAAUAGAGGUGAAGAGCCUCAGACACGAUCAUCUUGUAACCUGUAACUUUAUAAGUUAUAAGAGCACUUUUGUUCAUACGCUUCUUUUCUCUUUUCUUUCUCAUUUUCUUAGUAGCCAAACAUCCUUGGAGGAUGAAAUCCCCAAGGAUGAGAGGCUAAAACCUUUUAGUUUCUUGAAGUAAUGGAUGCCAUGUGAAGCUCCCGUGUCAGGAUGGAGAUUUCCAAGCCAUAAAUGUAAGUAGCUGAGCGUCAUAAAUGUUUUCAUUCAAAGUAAAGCUUUUAAUCCCUCUGACUUGCUUUGAAUGGCCAAUACUUGAUAACCUUUUGGUCUCAAUGGAUUCUUAUUGUUAGAUCCACUGACGUUCAUUAGUUAUCUCCUACGAGCCAUUGUAUUGCAAGUCGAGGAGAUGACCUAUACCAAUAAAAGAGCAUUUAUGAGGUUCAACUACCCUUUUUGUAAGUUUUCAAGGACUAAAACUCAGUUGUUAAACUCAUACCGGUUCGAGAAGUAAGCAUCACCUUAGUUGCUUCCCCAACUCGAGGUGAAAAGUCCCAAAAUCUCCAUUUUUACACAGUGAGUUAAGCAUGGCUAUCCAAAGCUUUAAGAAACUUCUUUUUCCAUCUUUUAACCUAUUUUCAUGUUAGUUUAGUUUACAACACCUUCAUCUUUUUAUGUUUUCAUCUUAACCUAAUUUUUAUUAAGAAAAGUUCACUCCAUCCUCCGAACUUCACCAGUUAAAGUAAAAACCCUUCCCAGUGUUCGAUCCUAGAGCCACUAUGCUAUAGUAGCUUUGCUACUUUAGUGUAAGGACCUUAGGUAUAAAUUUUGUUGAUACCCUUACAUGCCAAGCUACCAAGAGUCGGGUUAUCAUUAACCUAACCAUUGGCCUGUGUAAAUUGAUUUCACAUGCACAAUGUUGUAGUAGAAGUCCAUAUUUUGAAUUUUAUUUUUGUAAAGGUAAGGAAAAUGAAGCAUUGUGUAAUUAUAAAAAUAACUUCAUUGGAAUUCACAAGGUUCACCCAAAAUGGAGCUACAUCUGUAUUCUAUCCUACAGUAGACUAUAUAGAUUGUACAAUAGUAAAUUGCAAAUACAAUUAAUAAGUCUUGUGCUUCCUUACUAAUAAUCCUUUGACAUGAACAUUGCAGCACUAAGGUCCUCUUGGGAAGACACCUUGCACCCAUGAGAGCACUAAGAGGAAGCAAGGCAGAGUCAUGGGUGCAAUGUCAUGACUUGUUGUUGCACCAAGAGAGGCUUGGUGAUGCCAUGGUGUUGCAGUAGCAAGAAUGUUGCCUUGGCAGGGACACGAUCUAGGGAUAGAUGCCAAGAAAGGCUUAGCACUCACAUGAGUUGCACAAAGAUGAAUGUAAUAGAGCAUCAGAGAGACGUCUUGGCAAGUAAAUGAAUGGAUCCAAGAGACAACAACAUGAGGAGUUUCAAAUGGAUAAGGAAUGACUCAAAGACAUUUGAAAGCUACAAGUUGGAUUCUAAUUACGAUUGCAAUUUGAGUUUGAGUAGGAGUUUAGAUUUUGAUUGUAAUUGUAGUAUGAGUUGGACUAGGAUUGCUUAUCCUUAGUCAAUAUAGGAGCGGUUCGUGUCACCCUAUGAAAAGAGUUUGAGUAGGGACUAGGAUUGCUUACUCCUAGUCAAAUAUGGAGUAGGUGGUGCCACACCUAUAAAAAAAAGGGACAACAUGAGAGAGAGAGAGAGAGAGAAAGAGAGAGUGAAUUCACUAAAGAUAUUGUGGGAGUUUUGCUUUGUUACGUCUUGUAUUAUUACUUAGAAUAGGAAUAAAAUACAAGUUGGGGCUAGAGCCCCAUAAUUAAUCUCGUGUGCCUUUGUGGUUAUUCUUUAUUUGUCAUCUCGUGUGGAUUGGAUUAGGUUGACUUAGAGGGCUUCUAAGCACCACCUUUGUGGGUUAUUAUUUAUUUUCCAUCUCUUGUGGAUUAGAUUAGGUUGACUUAGAGGGCUUCUGAGCACCACCUUUGUGGGUUAUUAUUUAUUUUCCAUCUAUUGUGGAUUAGAUUAGGUUGACUUAGAGGGCUUUUAAGCACCACAUUUGUGGGUUAUUCUUUAUUUUCCAUAUCGUGUGGGUUGGAUUAGGUUGACAAGGAGAAAAAUUAUGUGGGAAAUUUGUGUUGGGACACUUACCAUAACCAAGUAAAAUCUACCAAGUCCUUUGUAAUAUCUUCAACAAAUAUUUUAGACUAGUUCUUUCAGUUAGUGUAAAGGAGGAAGAAGUGGUAUUGAUUCUAGAAAUAGGGUGUGUGUAUUUGAACUACAAUCCUUAUGAUCCUUAGGUCUCUAAACCUUCGUGAUGGGCUCCCUGACAUUUCAUAGGUUGUGCUACACAUGCGUUUGAAAUUUAGAGUGCGUUUGACAGUGAUUCCGGGAAGUGUUUUUGGCCUUUCUUACACUUGAAAAUUUUUAUUUUUCAAGUAUUAGAAAUGCUACAAACACUUUUGAAAAUUACUGUCAAACACACUCUUAGGAGCGCACAUAUAUAGUAGAAAACUAGAAAUUGUGGUUUUUUUAGGAUUUACUGUAAUGUCAUUAGGAGGGUAGUAAGUUGAAAUUGAGUAUGAACAAAUAUUUCUUUCUUUGGGAUGUUCUUCUAGUAGGUGCUGAUGAAACUGUUCUUUCUACUGCCAAUGUCACAUAUCAGCCAGAAAUUGAAAAUUUCAGUCAAGGUGUCCUCUGUUUUAGUGGUGAGGAAAGCUAGAAAUUUUAAGGUGAAGUUUUGUUAAAAACCUUAAGUAGCUGGGAUAUCAGGCCUGUUUUGCUUGAAAAAAAAAGUUGCAAGAUAACUCAUAUGCCAAACAGGUUCUGAUAUUGUGAAUCUAUCGGCAGACAUCAGUAAUCUCAUCUUCUGAGAUGGAUGUUGGGGGUGCAUGUGGUGGUGGAGGGGCAAGGUUUCAUUUGGUUUAUUUUGUUGAUGGAUAUUGUCUAGCCACCUGCGCCAAGUUUGAGGGGUGGUGGGUUGUGAUGACCCUACAAUUACUAUUAAUUUCUUCAUCUUUUACCGAUUAAAGUGUCCGAACAGUCGAAGUUACCCUUAUGCAUGUCAACUUGAUCACUUACCUCUUCAAUGGAGUUUAUGCUGGUUCAUUUAGGAACUGAUUUUUAUUGUUAUGUAUUAUAUGCUGAUGUUUAGGUCUCUCCAUCAUCACUAUAUACAAAAAUUCUAGGUUGAUACUAUAGGUUGAGAUUUAUUUUUUAAAUAAAAAAUAAUAAAAAUAAAAAUUAUGGUGAUGUUUAGUUGUUUUAUGGAAAAUUUUAACAAGUAAAAGUUAUUUUUGGGCAAGUUUUCAAACAAAAAGAAAAGUAAAAGUUGUUUUGACAAAAACAUAUAGAAAAAAAAAUCAUAGAAAAUAAAUAAUUUCCCCAUAUUCUAACUUUUUUGAAUUUUUCUCAAUGGGCAAAGGAAUAUCAAAUCAAGUUUGAGUAGGAUUUCUUAAUUUUUAAAAUAACUUACAAUUAAAAAAUUUUGGUGUUUUCAUUUUUGGACAAUUUUUUAUUAAGCAAAUGGACUCUGAGUCAUGCAAGAGAUAUGGUUCAUUAACCGGUCGAACAAUUUUUUUAAAUUAAUUUAAAAGUCAAAUACAUAAUCAAUUUCACAAAAUUUAUAAACAAAAAUAGGUUUAGAGAAGAUCUACACAUAAUUUUACUUUUCUAAUUUUAUUUUAUUUUAUUUUUUGUUGGAAAAUAGUCUUCAAAUCAUGUAAGAUUUAAUAGGUUAAAUUUGUUAACAAUAAAUUUUAAAUUAUAAAAUAUAAUCUGGAACUCAAAAAUCAAUUCAAGUAAUGCUAAAAAAAAAUCAAAUUUGGUAUAGAAUGACUUUGUAAAUUUUUUUACAAAACAAAUGAAUUUUAAAUCAAGUGAGAUUUAAUGCAUUAGAUUUUUAUCAAAUAUAGUAAUUUUAAAAAUAAAUUUGGAACUCAACAAUAGACACAAUAAAUACCAAAAAAUAAUGAACCAAAAUUGGUUUGGAAUAACUCCACAACCUUUUUUUUUUUUUUUUGGUGCACACGAAUUUUCUUACUAGGUAUAUUGCUUUCAAAUUGAGAAAGAUUUACCAUUUAGAUUUUUUUUUAAUGAGUUUAAUGGUAUUUUAAAAUAAUUCAAAAUUUAAAAAAUUGACUAAUUAAUAUUAUAAAUUGAUAAACCAAGACUAUUUCAAAAUGCAUUGGGGGCUAAGGGGGUUGAAAAUAGGGACAAUGGGAUGGGUUUGGGACAUGACACUCAUAUCUCAUUUCCAUUCCAAUUACACAGUUAUCUCCCAUCCUUAUCCCAAACUUGUGUUGGAGCAAGUUGAUUUGUUCCCAUCUUUGUUGACGAAAUGACUAAUAACCUCAUCCCCUCCUUAUCUUAGAUGUACAUUUUGUCAAAUUUGAUCAGGUAUGAUUGAUCCAAGCCCUAACCCUAAUUGGUAAUGAGUGAAUACUACACCUAAUUGCAUUCUUCUUUCAUUGCAAAAUAAUGAGAUUAUAAUAAUCUAGCAAAUAAGAAAAAAUAGUAUGGAAGUUCAAAUUAACACCAUAACUAUCAAUAAUUUUAAGCUUAUAGAUGACUUAAAUGAUUAAAAACUAAUGCAAAAUCCUAAAAAAAAUAAAAAUCAUAUAAAGAAUUCACAAGAGAACAGAAUGAACAAAAACCAAAUAUGAACAUGGGUCAACAUUAGUUAUGGAUUUGGAUUCCUUUCAAGGCCAAUCUUUGAACCAAGACUUCAUCAAAUCAACUACUUCAAAGGCUUUUGUGUUCUUCUUGGGUUGUGCUCUCAAACAAAGACUUCGAGGUGAUGUUCUAGAUGAUUGAAUUACACAUAUUUAGGGUGGAGAGAUUGGAGAAGCUUGAAGAUGCCAACGAUGGGUACAAUUGAGUGGUCAAUAAGAACAAUGUAGCCUAUGACUAGUUUGAUGUCAUGGUACAAGAGUUUUAGGCAUUGAGGUUAAAGCAAGAGCAACAUGGAAUUGAUUUCGGAGUCUUUCAGUUAGUGUAAAGGAGGAAGAAGUGGUGUUGAUUCUAGAAAUAGGGUUUUAAGUGGUGCGUGAUUACUACUCAAAAAGUGCUAUUUGAUAGCCUUUAAUUAAUCCUUUUUAACACUUUUGAGUAGUAGUUUAGGCCUUUUAACUCAAUUGGCAUGUUAAGGAUCCUUUAAAGCAAUUUUGAUCACUUUGUGCAAGUUUUGGUGUUUUUGUUAGUAUUUUGAUCACCAAAGCAAGUCAAGAAUGAGGAGAACUAUGAGGAAUCAUGGGCAAAGCUUAGAAUUCAAUUGCCAAGAGUGAAUCCGGAUUGCAAGGAGAAAAAGCAAAGAGAAUCUGUCAUGAAGCCUAUUCUUGAUGACAGUCGUAGCAGCCACUUUUGGAGCACUUUCUGAAGUCCAAAUGAUGCAAGCUAUAUACCAUUUCAAAGAUCAGGAAGUCAACAAUCCAAUGCUUCAAACGGUGCGCGAUUCGGAGUUGAAACGAAGAAGUUGCAGCCAUUACAAGCCAGUCACUCUAAAGUGUUGCGGAAUCAGCCUUUUGUUGCGAGAAUUUCGCAGCACUUUUGUACAGUAAGGUGUUUCUCCUUCUGACGAUGCACGAACCAUGCCGCGAGAGGGAAGCUAGGAACUUCAAGAUGGAAGCCAACUUUGCAGCCUGGUGAAGAUAGCUUGGUCUUGCGAAAUAAUUUCGCAGCCCUCUUGGGUGUCUGCGAAAUUUCGCAGGCACCACUUUUUUCCUGCGAAAUGGCUCCGGAAGCCUCCCGAAGCUUGCUACCGACAUUGGGAGAUAUUUUCCAUUAGAUUUUUGUUGUCUAAAUUCCAAAAUACUCCUUGUAAACCACCAAUUACAUGAUUCCUUAGUUUUUAAGUUAGUAAAAAGACCAAAUAUCUAUGUAAUAAUUAGUUUUAUAUUAGUUUGCUAUAAAUACCUCUCGGGAGCAUGUUCUCAGAGAGGAGUUCCUUCUGUAACCAUUUUGGUAAGCAAGUAAAGUCUUUUCUUUCUACUGCCUUACCUUCUCACUUUGUAUUUUCAUUUUAUUUCUAAGUUAUGAAUUCUCUGAGGAGCUUUCCCCAGAGAAUGAGUAACUAAACCUCCAAUUCCUUGGAGCUAAGGUUGCCGGGGAAGGUUCCAAGUGCAAGAAUGCAAAGCUCUGUGGUUUUAGCUAGUAAUGAAGAGGAAGUGAAAUCCUUUAGUGAUUUCAAUGUUUUUAGUUAACUUAAAACACCUUGGAGUCACCUGGGCCAACACUUGGUAAGGCAAGUGAUUUCCAACCGUGGAAAUGCACUAGUUUACCCCUUGCGAGCCUCUGGUAGGUGACUUCAAGGUAGGAUUUUCUGGAAUUACCAACACUUGGUAAGCUUUUGGACUCCUAGGAGACAUCCAUUAGUUAUCUCUUGCGAGUUUGUGAAGGGGAAUCCAAGGUUAAAGAUCACCUUGAAUGGUAAGUGCUCGUGAGAGGCAUGAACCAUUGCAAGUUGUAUCAGUGAGAGAAUUAAAGUGAAAUCUAAUUGAAGGAGUCUCUGUACAUCACCGGUUAGAGAAUUGACUAUAAGUUGAAUCUCUAAUGCGAGGAAAUGAACCAUCUGACCGGAGCUAUGUCUUUUGCAUGAGGAACCACCCCAGUGAACCUAAAUCUCCAAGGAAUGCUUUUCUUCCUAAAUUAUUCCAAACUUCUGUUAAGUUAGUUAGUUUAAGUCUAAACCUUUACCAAUCAAACUUUGUGUUUUAUUUCUUAAGCUAACCGUGAAAUGAAACAAAACCAAUUCACUUGGAAUUGGUAUCCUUGAUUGCUUGCAAAUCAUUCCCAGUGAACGAUCCUUAGAGCCACUAUACUAUAGUAGCUUUGUAUUUGCUACCCUAGUGUAUGGUGUUAUAGGUAUAAAUUUUGUUGAUCACUUCCUCAAUCAAGGAACACCAGCUGAACACAAAUCAGCUGAGACACCAAUUGGGCAUGAGUCAAAUGGCGCCGUUGCCGGGGAAUGAGUGUCAAGAUCAUUGUGAUACCAUUUUUGAGCACUUGUGAUUUUCAUCACAAGUUGGUAAAGUUUCUUUCACUUUACUAAUUUUCAUUCUCUCUUUGUUUAUUUACAAUCUAAGUUUAUCUUUUUAAAAUUUAGUCUAGUUUAAUUUUGCUAUUGUAGCCUUGUUUCUCUUGUUGUCCUCUGUUCUUGUUGUCCUCUGUUUUCAUUUUAGUUGCAGCUGAAUACUAGUUGUGUAUGCCAAAGUGGAUACGAGACAUUGGAGGUAGGCUUAUUAAGUGUGAUACACCUCAGAGAGGAGAAUUGGAAGUAAUCUUGAAUAUCAUGGAGGCUGCACCUGAAGAUCAGCAUAGUCACCAAGGUCGUCAAGACAAUCUCAAUGAAUUCAGAUCAAUGAGGGACCGUAUGCAUCCACCUCGUAUGAGUGCACCAUCAUGUAUAGUGCCCCCUACAGAGCAACUAGUGAUCAGACCAUAUCUUGUUCCACUUCUACCAACUUUCCAUGGGAUGGAAAGUGAGAAUCCGUAUGCACACAUCAAGGAAUUUGAAGAUGUUUGUAAUACAUUCCAAGAGGGAGGAGCUUCAAUUGAUUUGAUGAGGCUUAAGUUAUUUCCUUUUAAUUUAAAGGAUAAGGCCAAAAUUUGGCUUAAUUCUUUAAGGCCAAGGAGUAUCCGCUCUUGGACUGAUUUACAAGCUGAAUUCCUCAAGAAAUUUUUUCCUACUCAUAGAACAAAUGGCUUGAAAAGGCAAAUUUCAAACUUCUCAGCUAAAGAGAAUGAGAAAUUCUAUGAGUGUUGGGAAAGAUACAUGGAAGCUAUAAAUGCUUGUCCUCACCAUGGCUUUGAUACUUGGCUACUGGUGAGUUAUUUUUAUGAUGGUAUGUCCUCCUCAAUGAAGCAACUCCUCGAGAAAAUGUGUGGAGAAGAUUUCAUGAGCAAAAAUCCAGAGGAAGCUAUGGAUUUCUUGAGCUAUGUAGCUGAUGUUUCAAGGGGAUGGGAUGAACCAACUAAAGGAGAAGUGGGAAAGAUGAAGUCUCAGUUGAAUGCUUACAAUGCAAAGGCUGGGAUGUAUACUUUAAAAGAGGAUGAUGACAUGAAAGCAAAGUUGGCAGCUAUGACAAGAAGAUUGGAGGAGCUGGAGCUGAAAAGAAUGCAUGAAGUGCAAGCUGUUGCUGAAGCACCAGUGCAAGUGAAGUUGUGUCCCAAUUGUCAAUCGUUUGAACAUUUGGUAGAGGAAUGCCCUGCAAUUUCAGCUGAAAGGGAAAUGUAUAGAGAUCAAGCAAAUGUUGUUGGACAAUUCAGGCCCAAUAACAAUGCUCCUUAUGGAAAUACCUACAAUUCAAGUUGGAGGAAUCAUCCAAAUUUUUCAUGGAAGGCCAGAGCAACUCAAUACCAACAGCCGGAUCCACCAUCUCAACAAUCUUCAAGUAUUGAACAAAUAAUAGCUAAUCUCAGCAAGGUAGUGGGAGAUUUUGUGGGAAAGCAAGAAGCCACCAAUGCUCGAGUGGAUCAAAGAAUGGACAGAGUGGAUCAAAGAAUGGACAGAAUGGAGAGUAUGUUGAACAAAAGAAUGGAUGGAAUGCAAAAUGAUAUGAAUCAAAAAUUUGAUAACAUCCAAUAUUCAAUUUCAAGGCUUACAAAUUUGAAUACACUGCAAGAAAAGGGAAGAUUUCCUUCUCAACCUAACCAAAAUCCCAAAGGUGUCCAUGAAGUGGAAAGCCAUGAGGGAGAAUCAUCACAGGUGAAAGAUGUGAAAGCUUUGAUCACUCUAAGGAGUGGUAAGAAAAUUGAGCAGCCAACACCCAAGCCACAUGUUGAGAAAGAAGAAGAGAUGAAGAAAGGGAAGGAAAUGGAAGAUAAAGGCAGUGAGAUCAGUGAAGAAAAGAAGGACUCUGAUGCAACAAUGAAAGUAAUUCCAGAGAAGGAGCUUCUGAAGGAAGAAAUGCUGAAGAAAUCAACUUUUCCACCUUUUCCUCAAGCAUUACAGGGGAAAAAGGGGGUUAGAAAUGCAGCUGAAAUCCUAGAAGUAUUGAGGCAAGUGAAAGUUAAUAUUCCACUGCUGGAUAUGAUCAAACAAGUUCCAACGUAUGCAAAAUUCCUAAAGGACUUGUGUACUAUCAAAAGAGGGUUGACUGUAAACAAGAAAGCCUUCUUGACUGAGCAAGUAAGUGCAAUCUUACAGUGUAAGUCUCCUUUGAAGUACAAAGACCCUGGAAGUCCUACCAUUUCAGUCAUGAUUGGAGGAAAGGUAGUGGAGAAAGCCUUGCUAGACUUGGGAGCAAGUGUGAAUUUGCUUCCAUAUUCUGUCUACAAGCAACUGGGACUUGGAGAGUUGAAGCCAACAGCAAUCACUUUGUCUCUGGCAGAUAGAUCAGUGAAAAUUCCAAGAGGGGUAAUUGAGGAUGUAUUGGUUCAAGUAGAUAAUUUCUACUAUCCUGUAGAUUUUGUUGUUCUUGAUACAGAUCCUACUGUAAAGGAAGCUAAUUUAGUUCCUAUCAUCCUUGGAAGGCCAUUUCUUGCAACUUCAAAUGCAAUCAUCAACUGUAGAAAUGGGCUUAUGCAACUCACUUUUGGUAACAUGACACUGGAUCUAAAUAUUUUCUAUAUGUCUAAAAAGCAAAUCACUCCAGAAGAAGAAGAGGGUCCAGAAGAGCUAUGUAUUAUUGAUACUUUGGUGGAGGAGCACUGCAAUCAACAUAUGCAAGAUAAGUUGAAUGAAAGUUUUGUGGAUAUUGAGGAAGGUUUUUCUGAAUCUCCUAAUGGGCUUGCUACUCUACAAAGUUGGAGAAAGAUAGAAGGAAUUCUACCUUUGUUCAAUGAAGAAGAGGAGGCAGCUGUUGAAAAAGAAAUUCCAAAACUCAAUCUGAAGCCUUUACCUAUGGAGCUGAAAUAUACAUAUCUUGAAGAAAAUAAUCAAUGUCCUGUCGUAAUAUCUUCAUCUCAAACCAAGUCUCAAGUGAAGGAUGCAAGCUUCAAAUGGGAUCCGGGCAAACUGAAUCAGGAAGGGCAAAAAGUUUUGAUGUAUGACACAAGACUCCAUAUCUUUCCUGGGAAGCUCAAGUCAAGGUGGAUUGGUCCAUUUGUUAUUCACCGAGUAUAUUCCAAUGGAGUGGUGGACUUAUUGAAUUCCAAUGGCAAGGACAGCUUUAGAGUCAAUGGAUAUCGUCUUAAGCCGUUCAUGGAGUCAUUCAAAUCAGAAAAGGAGGCAAUCAACCUCCUUGAACCUCAAAAAGCCUAAGUGAAAUGGGUUUGCUGGACGUGGUUUUACCACAGUCCAAAAAUUUUUGUAAAUUUUGUAAAUUUUCAAGUUGUUUCCAUGCUUUUAAUCUUAGUUUUUGAUUUUAAAUCAUGUUUUUAGGUGUGUUUUAAUCGUUUUAUAUGAUCCCAGGCGGAAGAAAUUUCAAGGGGAUUGAAAAGAAAAAAAUCGGGUCGAAAUUGGAGCCGAAACAGAGCAAAAACAGGGGAAAAACAGAGCUCUGCGAAAUUUCGCAGGGUGAAGGAAACUUCUGCGAAAUUGGCAUUUUGCUGCCAAACCAUUCCGCAGCACUGUAGAAGCCUCUGCGAGUGUAUUUCGCAAUUGCGAAAGUGGAUUUGGCACACGAGUGCCACUUCGCAGCACAGUGACAUCAAUUUCGCAGCUGCGAAACUCACUGCGAAGUUGCUGCGAAAAUGGCAAGUUGCUGCGAAAUUGGCGUUUUGUUGCGAAACGUAAUCUGACCCCUGGGCUUCCGUUUUUCCUAUUUAUACCUGUCAAAAGUGCUGCGAAAAAGGUUUCAAAAAUUAGAGCACCAUUCUCGCAGCCCUUUCAUCUUCUUCGCCAAGCCACGCCGUCCGUUUCUCCGGUCGUCUUCUCCGUUUAGCAGCGCCGGCCAAAGAUCGAUAGCCCAAAAAUGGCACGAACGCGAGGGGCAAAGUCUUCAUCCCCUUCGAACCGCAAAAGGAGUCUGCGAAAGGAGCCAAGUUCAGGCUCUGUUCCAGAACCUGCUCCAAAGCCUUCGCCGUCGAGACCACAACCUUCUCCAGUGAAGCCGGCGCCACCAAAGCCGCCGGCAAGGCGAUAUUUAACCAGGUCAGGUGGUCAGCCAUUGAAGAAGAAAGCCAGAGUUGAGAGCUCUGAACCAAUCGAUUUGACUGAGCAAUCCCCUGAGAAAUCACCAAAUCCUUCACCGGUACAAAUUCCAGUGCCAUCACCGGUUCCCUCGCCAAUUCCCUCACCAGAAGCAACUCCAAUUCCAUCGCCGGUACCAUCUCCGGCACCCCAAGAAAAAGCUCAGGAGCCUCAAGCGCCAAUUCCAGAGCCCCAAAUUGCAGCUGAAGCACCUCUGGAAGAAGUGAUCCGAAGGCCAAUGCUGCCUCAGCCCCCAAUCGAAGGAAACCUGGAUUGCCGAACUCGGGCAUUCCAUUCUGAGCUUUGCUUCGAUUUAACAGCAUUCAGAGUGAGGCCAGAGCUUGCCCAAUCCUUCCAACUGCUGAGGAGAUAUCAUAUGGAGCAUCUGCUAGCUCCAAGGGAUUUUUUCUAUCCCCGGGUAGUCACGGAUUUCUACCAAACCAUGACAACCAAAGAAGUAAGAAAUCCAACUCUGAUUCAUUUCAUAAUUGAUGGAAGGCAUGGUAUUUUGGGAGCAAGACAUAUUGCUGAAGCCCUGCAAAUUCCUUUUGAGCCAACUCAAUUCGACAAUUUUAAAGCUUGGACAAAUCCUACUGAGUUAGAGAUGGUUAGCACACUAACCAGAGGAGCUGCAAAUCGAUCGCAUUUGUUGAGGGGGGAGCUACCUCCAGUUAUGUUUUUGAUUGAUGCCUUUUUGAGGCAUAAUAUCUAUCCCCUGCAGCAUUGGACCCAAAGAAGGGGAAUUCUCCUAGAAGCCUUGUACAAAAUGUCUGAAGGAUUCUUCUUUGGGCCUCAUCAUCUGAUCAUGGCAGCCCUUCUAUACUUUGAGGAGAAGGUUCACAAGAAGAAGCUUCAAAGAGCAGAUUGCAUUCCACUCCUCUUCCCAAGGCUGCUAUGCCAAGUUUUGGAGCAUCUCGGAUACCCCUCUGAGCCUCAGCAGGAAAGAAAGAGAAUAUGCCGUGAGCCUUUUACCCUUGAUAAAUGGAAUAAUAUGACGGCCUACAAAAUUGAUCAGCCUGGGCAGCCUCAGCCAGCAGCAAGGAGAGUCUCCCCAAGACAUAUACCUGAAGGUAUAACACUUGCUACUCCUGCCAUCCCUCGAGCUCCACCAGCUGCACCUGCUCCAUCACAGCCAUCCACAUCAGCUGAGCCGAGGAUGGCCAUCCCUAUAUCCGAAUAUCGAGAGCUGUGCCGUGCAUUGGAGACUCUUACAGCUUCUCAGAGCAAUCUUGCUCAGGAGUUGGCAGCCAUUAAAGCAUGCCAGGAGCAGAUGUUAGCCUCUCAGACUCAACAAGCUGCCAUCCUAAGGCAGCUUCAAGUCCAUUUCGAUCUGCCACAAGCUGUAGAGCCCUCUAUUCCUACUCCACCAGAGCCACACUCUCAGCCUUCAGAGUCUCAUCCUCCAGAACCCGAAGCACCAGCUGAUCCACCUACUGAGGAGGCAGAUCCUUCUGCCUAGCACCAUCACCCCCCUCAUCAGACAUUAUAUAUAUAUUUGCUGUUUAUGUUUUUAUGCAUGUUUGUUUUGUUUUAGUUGAAAAGAAAUCCCAGUAUUUUGGUACUAUAUAUGGGAUUCCUUGUGUUACUUGUCUUUAGUAUUGUAAUCACAUGAACUCAAAGUAAUACAAGUUGACUAUUUCUUGUUAAAAGUUAGCAUUAAAGUUUCCUUAUUUCCUUUUCUCACAUAUUCUAUUCUUUUUGAAACAUGUGGUUUUCCCCAAUCAAUAUUCGAAUUUGAUAUCAGCAUGGAGGUACCACUUCCUCCCUUUUAUUACAGUCACUCAAAUCACAUUGAGGACAAUGCUCAGUUCGGUUGGGGGGUAUGAGGAAGGAAGUAUUCUAAACCUUUUUGGUAUUGCAAUUAUAUUGGUUAAUUAGUUGUAGAUUUUACUUUUUACUAGUGUUACUCUAUUCUCCAUGAAUUUUGAGGAAAAAUUUUCAAAUUAAACCAAGAGAAAUUGAACUGUUGUUUUUCACUUGACUUAGAGUAUGGAUUAUGCUUACUAAAGUGGUUCAAUUGUUGAAACUUCUACUGAAAUUGAAUUGAGUUCUUCCACUUUAAGCUAUCCACACACUGUGCACAUUAGUUUCCGAUUAUAAGAUGAAAAGCUAUUUCCCUCUUGACUUAGUAUAUUUUUGGGACUUGGUAUAUUUGACCUCAUUUGAUAAAAAUUGAAACACCCUGCAAAAGGCCAAUGAGCCUUUGAAAUAAAGAAAGUUGUUUGCUUGCCUUGAAACCCGAGCAAGGUCUGAGGGGUAUAUGGUGAAAAUCUUUAAAGCCUGGUGCCCUAAGCCUUAAUUGGUUGGGAGUCACCGACCUCAAUGCUCGUUACAAGGGUGAAUAGGUAGAGUUAGCAUAUGGUAGAUGCUUGGGUAUUAGAAAUUCAUUCUUAAAAGUCCGGGGAAAAAUCCGAGGAGUUAGUGGUUGAAAGAUCCUUAAAACUUGGUGCCCUAAACCUUAAUUGGUUGGGAGUCAUCGAUGGACCCCCAUUACAUGGACAAGUCAGAAAGAGUACCCCAUAAAGCUACCUUAAAAAAAAAAAAAAAAAAAAAAAAAAAAAAAAAGAUGAAAGUGUGUUCUUUUCUUAUUGAUUUUGGUCAGUUUGCUAAAGUGUUGAAAAGAGAUAGGUUGGGGGGUGAGAUUAGUAGCAUAUUAUUCUCGGAACCUAAGGAACCAAUACACAUAGAUUUUUGUGGAAGAUUGAAGUUUAGUUCUUAGAAAAUGAAAUGAUUUUAAAACUUCAGUUUGCAUAAUGCACUCCCUUGAUUGACAGUGUUUAGCAUAGGUGUUAUGACUCUUGUUGAGAUUUGGGUUUGUAUUUCUUUAAUGAUUCAUGUGAGAAAUAGAUCAUCAUGCCACUUGAGAAUUAUUUUCCUUUUAGCAUGAUGUUGUAAAUUUUAGAUUAGUUUGCUAUUUAUUUUUUAUUUUCUCUCCUAUAUUGCUAAGGGACUAGCAAUAUGUCGGUUGGGGGGAGUGAUUACUACUCAAAAAGUGCUAUUUGAUAGCCUUUAAUUAAUCCUUUUUAACACUUUUGAGUAGUAGUUUAGGCCUUUUAACUCAAUUGGCAUGUUAAGGAUCCUUUAAAGCAAUUUUGAUCACUUUGUGCAAGUUUUGGUGUUUUUGUUAGUAUUUUGAUCACCAAAGCAAGUCAAGAAUGAGGAGAACUAUGAGGAAUCAUGGGCAAAGCUUAGAAUUCAAUUGCCAAGAGUGAAUCCGGAUUGCAAGGAGAAAAAGCAAAGAGAAUCUGUCAUGAAGCCUAUUCUUGAUGACAGUCGUAGCAGCCACUUUUGGAGCACUUUCUGAAGUCCAAAUGAUGCAAGCUAUAUACCAUUUCAAAGCUCAGGAAGUCAACAAUCCAAUGCUUCAAACGGUGCGCGAUUCGGAGUUGAAACGAAGAAGUUGCAGCCAUUACAAGCCAGUCACUCUAAAGUGUUGCGGAAUCAGCCUUUUGUUGCGAGAAUUUCGCAGCACUUUUGUACAGUAAGGUGUUUCUCCUUCUGACGAUGCACGAACCAUGCCGCGAGAGGGAAGCUAGGAACUUCAAGAUGGAAGCCAACUUUGCAGCCUGGUGAAGAUAGCUUGGUCUUGCGAAAUAAUUUCGCAGCCCUCUUGGGUGUCUGCGAAAUUUCGCAGGCACCACUUUUUUCCUGCGAAAUGGCUCCGGAAGCCUCCCGAAGCUUGCUACCGACAUUGGGAGAUAUUUUCCAUUAGAUUUUUGUUGUCUAAAUUCCAAAAUACUCCUUGUAAACCACCAAUUACAUGAUUCCUUAGUUUUUAAGUUAGUAAAAAGACCAAAUAUCUAUGUAAUAAUUAGUUUUAUAUUAGUUUGCUAUAAAUACCUCUCGGGAGCAUGUUCUCAGAGAGGAGUUCCUUCUGUAACCAUUUUGGUAAGCAAGUAAAGUCUUUUCUUUCUACUGCCUUACCUUCUCACUUUGUAUUUUCAUUUUAUUUCUAAGUUAUGAAUUCUCUGAGGAGCUUUCCCCAGAGAAUGAGUAACUAAACCUCCAAUUCCUUGGAGCUAAGGUUGCCGGGGAAGGUUCCAAGUGCAAGAAUGCAAAGCUCUGUGGUUUUAGCUAGUAAUGAAGAGGAAGUGAAAUCCUUUAGUGAUUUCAAUGUUUUUAGUUAACUUAAAACACCUUGGAGUCACCUGGGCCAACACUUGGUAAGGCAAGUGAUUUCCAACCGUGGAAAUGCACUAGUUUACCCCUUGCGAGCCUCUGGUAGGUGACUUCAAGGUAGGAUUUUCUGGAAUUACCAACACUUGGUAAGCUUUUGGACUCCUAGGAGACAUCCAUUAGUUAUCUCUUGCGAGUUUGUGAAGGGGAAUCCAAGGUUAAAGAUCACCUUGAAUGGUAAGUGCUCGUGAGAGGCAUGAACCAUUGCAAGUUGUAUCAGUGAGAGAAUUAAAGUGAAAUCUAAUUGAAGGAGUCUCUGUACAUCACCGGUUAGAGAAUUGACUAUAAGUUGAAUCUCUAAUGCGAGGAAAUGAACCAUCUGACCGGAGCUAUGUCUUUUGCAUGAGGAACCACCCCAGUGAACCUAAAUCUCCAAGGAAUGCUUUUCUUCCUAAAUUAUUCCAAACUUCUGUUAAGUUAGUUAGUUUAAGUCUAAACCUUUACCAAUCAAACUUUGUGUUUUAUUCCUUAAGCUAACCGUGAAAUGAAACAAAACCAAUUCACUUGGAAUUGGUAUCCUUGAUUGCUUGCAAAUCAUUCCCAGUGAACGAUCCUUAGAGCCACUAUACUAUAGUAGCUUUGUAUUUGCUACCCUAGUGUAUGGUGUUAUAGGUAUAAAUUUUGUUGAUCACUUCCUCAAUCAAGGAACACCAGCUGAACACAAAUCAGCUGAGACACCAAUUGGGCAUGAGUCAGUGCGUUAGAGGAUCAAGAAGAAGAAAAAGAAGGAACUGUUGGAAUUAGUAUGAGUGUGAAGAGAAAAGUAUAUAAAUAAGGGGAAGUAAAAGCAAAGUUCAAAAAGCUAUAUUUUUUUAUUGUUGGUGUAUGGUUGCAUGAUUAUCCCUAUAAAUAAUAGGAGUUUUUUGGUAUUCUACUAGUAGUUGAAGCAUAAUUUCAUAAAUUAAUAUUUAGAGCGGGGUGGGGUGAGUUGUGACAAAAUUCAUACCCGUCCCAAACCUUGGUUCAGAUUUUUAAAAUAUUCUCAAACUUAUCAUAUACCCAACUUUUAUAUUUCAUACUUGUCCUAAUAGAGGCACGUUAGGCCGGGUUACUUGAGUAACCUACAUAAUUGUCAUCCCUAGUUGAAAUACACUUUUUGGCAGUGGCCACCAACUGAGCUAGAAGCUUGAUUGAUUGACCUACAAGAUUAGUUCUCAUCAUUUUAAAAAAAGUUCUGGCUUUGGUUGUGAGUGCAAUUGAAUCUAAACUGGCAUUUGCUUAAUGCAUCUACUUCAAUCCUAAACUUCUUACUUCUUAAGCCUCAAUUGUUGUUAGGAUUUUGGAAAACCCAUUUCCUUAAAUUGUAAAUUUAAGAUAAAAUAAAAUAAAAGUGAGACAUUUCUUGAUUGAAUAUUGUUAAAGGUCCCUUGGCAUUAAGACUUGGUUGAAGCCUUGGAAGAUUAGUGGAACUCUCAACAUGUGUUUGAAUCUUGAGGAGAGUGGAUGUAAGCCAAAAUUUUGUCAAACCAUUAUACAAAUUGAGUUUGAAUCCUCAUUUCUUGAUUUCUUAUUUAUUUGCUUUUUCUUAUUAUUACUUGAAUUGUCAUUUGCAUUCAUUAAUGUUAAAAUUGGUUAUAAUUAACCAACACUAAUUCUCUUUCCCCUUCCCUUUCUUGGGUGUAAACCUAGGUUGGAUUAACUAGAUAAAUCUAUUAAGAUGGUAAAAGAAUAAUUAUUCUUAACAUACAUAAGAUCAUCUUCAAUCAAAUGACUCAUUGGCUAAUAUGUUGAAUUUGCUUAUUACUUGCAACUCAAAAUUGUGUUCUAGUUGUGUCAAGUCCCCAGUGUAUGGACAUUAAAUUUGUAGUACGUGAUGAGUAAUUAGAUGGUCCAACUCCAAGAAAGUGAUUGAAAAGUAGUUCAAGAAAGGUGCAAAAGGGAAUUGUUUUGGUAUUUUCGUUUUUAUUCUUGAAGGUGGCAGAGCUAAAAUUUGAGAAAUCAAGCAAAACAUACUGAAAUUACAUUGAAAGAAAGAAGAUGGGAGUUAAUGUCUUGCAGUACAUGAUAAGGACUUCAUGCAUGUAGUGUGACCCAUGUCUUGGACUGAUGCCAACUCACGGUUACACUUAUACCCUUGGUUCUCUCUUUACUACCUUGGCUAACCUAGAUCAGGCUAUGAGAUAGGCUCCUCACCACACCAUUACUUGCCCAUUAAUUAGAGACAUUUUCAAGCAAUGAGGUAACAUGGUGACACCAAGAGGGUCUAUUCCUCGCCCGGAACAAGUCUAGACUUGGUCUCAAAAAAAUGGAGAAAAAUGAGGUGUCGUUAUGUAGAAAUACAACAACCAUGCCUUCCUCAUUACUUAGAUUCAGAAUGUGAAGGUGAAAUUGAGAAACAGAAACUCUUGAAACCAAAAUGAAAAUUGAUACUUUUACGAAGAAUUACAACAACAUUAGAGGAAGACUACAUUCUUCCUCUUUAUUCCUACAUUUCUACACUACUUCUACUCCACUCCAUAUUUCUACAUACAUCUUUAAUCAGUCUUCCCUCCUUUAUAUAGAGCCAUCUUCACACAAAUUUCGCAAGGUAGAAAAGAGGAAUGAAACUUGGAGCAAGGUUCGACUACUGGUUGUAGCUUGUCAAGGCUGGAAGUGAACUUUUCUUGGCUUUCUGGGCAUGGGUAGUAACUUGUGGGUUCCUGUUUGGCAUAAAAAUGGCUAGAACAUGUGGCACUAUCUUGUUGGAUGAUGUGUCAAGCAUGUGGCAGCCAUCUAGUGGCGAUUAUGUCAAUUUUGGGAUGGAGAGUUGGCAUCCAAUUGCAAAGAAAUAUGACGUCUACCAACAUGCAAUGUAAACCUAUGUAGAUCAUAUGAAGAUAGAGAGGAAAAAUAUAGAAAUGGAUAUAUACCUAGAACUAGCUUUUUAUUAAAUGAAACGGAGAGACAACAAUGAAGGAAAAUAAAAUUUUUUGGCUUAUAUCAAAGAGUUCACAUUGUGUUACCCUAGGUUUUCUUAAAACUUACUUUUAUGAUAACAAAAAAGAAAAAACCAUUAUUGUUUAAUCCUUUGUUUUAAACGCAUGUAAGGUGUAAUUAAGUUAGUUCAAUGCAUUAAUUUAAGAAACUUGACCUAUCAAAAGUACAAAAUUAGAUGAAAUCCAUUUCAAUGGUUAAAAUGAUCAAAAUCAAACUUUUUCUAAGUAUUUUUUAAAAGCAUCAAUAGUGAAAGACAAUUUUAUAUUUAGUCGGAGUUUGGACAAAACUGAAAAACACACAAAAUCCAAGCGACCAUCUCUAGCUUGGAUGGUCGCUUGAUCCCACCUAGAGAUGUGCAUGAGUAAAAGGAUUUGAAAAUGGAAAUUGACUAUGUAGUCGAUCAAUUAACUUUGCAACAUCAUAUGCAAUCCUAAUUGCUAGUCAUCUAAUCAAUUAGGUAGUCAAUCAACAGGCCAAAAAUAUGUUUAUAAUGACUAUUUUGUACAAAAACCACCUGUAUAGUUAAAUAUAAUGCAUUUCAUUUAUAAAUCUUCUAAUUCUUGAAUAACGAUCCUAUCAUCCUUUGAAAGUUUUUAUUACACUUUUUUUACUUUUGUUCUAAAACUUACACAUCACCCUUAAUUGUACCAUGAGAACCUAGCUAUUUUUUAUUUUUUUUUUUGUAAUUCAUCAAAGUUAGCUUUUGUAUUCAUUGUUGUAUUAUUUUUAGUAUAACUUAGAAAGCUAGUGUUUUCAAGUGAGUAAAAUUAACUUGUAAAUAUUGUAAAGAUUCAUCGACAUGUAUCUUAAACUAAGUGUACAAGUUAAAACAUUUGCUAGUAGAUUUUCUCAAAAUUUAGAAUAGAGCUUGAGACUAUUGAAAUAGGUGGGGUUGCACCAAACCACAUCACAUCGUUGUUUGCACCUUUUUUCACUCUCUUUUACUUAGUUGCUCUAUAUUUGUUGUCUAGUAAUAUCCUAUAGGCUUGAUGGGUUAGGGAGCAUCCCUUUGUGAAAAAAUUUUAUUCAAUCCUUAGUUGUAUCACGCAUAUAUAAAAUGCCUCAUUGUUUUAAUGGUAUUCAGUCGUGGCAUCACAGAUAUGGGCAUCUAAAUUUUAAAAGUUUGAAACUUUUAUCUAAAGAAAAUAUGGUGCUUUGCCUUUUUGUAAAGCAUGUUGAUGAAAUCCAUGAGAAUUGUGUACUUGGGAAGCAACACCGAGAUGACUUUUUUUUUUUUUUUAUAAUAUUGUUUGUCCAAAUUCCCUACAAAUUAGGCCACCAGAUGUUCAUAAUUCUCCCUUCUUGAAUUUGAAAACUCGGACAAUUGGACAAUGCGACACCUAAGUCCGGUUUCUAAAUGCUAAAGUGAAAGGGUAGGUAUGGACCAUUGAAAUGUGAUCACAACUUUUCUCUGUAGCCAUGUUGUCUCUUUUUUCUUUUGCAUGAUUUUCUUACCUUAACAGAAUCAUAGACUUGUUUAGUCUCUAAAUGGGAUUAAUUUCAUCCAGCUUUAAGCUACUAUAUUAUAUCUAGGUGGAGGACUUUUAAGAGUGCAACCGACAUAGAGCACAUGGAAGUGGGUAUAUGGGACAUGAAAUUUCUUCUUAUAAAGAUUGCAUGAUUUUUAUAUUAGAGUUGUUGAGGCGCUAUGUAUUUAGCUUGUUUUGCAGUUAAAUUAAUUGGAUAAGUAGACAUUGGCGUUUCUAAAUCUACUGUGAAGUGCUUCAUGUACGUGUGAAGUAUUAGAAAUUUCUUUCUUGGCAACUUGUUUUUCUUUGCGGUCUACUGAUAGGUUUGACUAAAAUUAUAUUCCCUGUCAUGCUAAUUAAUUUUCACGUGCAUGCUCAAAAGAAAAGUAUGACCUUAGUGCACCAAAAUCACUUUGAUUAAUUUGUGAUAGGUUUUUGUGCAUCAUGACAUUAGCCUUAUUCAUUUAGAUAAUGUUUAGUUUUUAGAAAGUAUUAAGAAAAGGAAAAUAAAUAUUAAGAAAAAUAUUCUUAUAUUUGAUUGUAUUAUGAAAAAUAUCAUAAAAAAAUCAAAUAUAAUUUAAAUUAAUUAAUAAUUUAUACAUUUUCAAAUUAUUUAAUCUUUAUAUUGAAGAUAUAAUAUAAAUGAAAUGAGUUUUAAGUAUUAUAUAAAAGUGAUUUAUUGAUCUUACAUAUAUAUAUUUCUUUUUUUUUUCCUUCUAUUUUUUCUCUUUAUUUUAUUUUCCUUAUGUUUUCCUCAACAUUUUCCGGAACCAAACAUAGCCUUAGGAAAUCCACAAUUACCUUCAACUGAGUAGAUUCUGUUGUUUUAGCAAUGUUAGGCUGCUAACUUGUGUUGGUACGAACCUAUUAAGCCUAAAGAUGUAAUUAGUUAGGAUAUUCUUUUCCCUCUAGUCUUGUAGCUCCACGUGUACAGUUGGUUAGGACCUCAUUGUAUAUAAUGCUUGCCCUGUUAUUGUAGAAGACAACAAAGAUAAAUAAUAUUAACAUUUUUCCUCUCAUCUCUCUCUGUUUCCCUCUGUUUUCAUCUCCUCUCUCAUCUUGGUAUCAGAGCCUCCAUGGCUUCUUUCAAAGAAACCUCCGAAUCACCUUCUGCUAGCAUUGUUAAUGUGCAAAACCCAUUAUCUCAAUCAAACAACCUUCCUUCACCAGUAGCCACACCCUCUUUUUCUUUCUCGUCUAUGAAUCAACCUCUCACAGUGAAGCUGGAUAAUGGGAACUACCUCAUAUGGAAGAAUUAGCUUCUAAAUGUCAUCAUUGCUAACGGACUCGAUGAUUUCAUUGACGGAUCUCGACCCUGCCCUCCUCGAUUUCUCGAUCUGCAACAACAAACCCUCAAUCCAGAGUACUCAGCUUGGCAGAGAUACAAUCGACUUCUGAUGAGUUGGCUGUACGCAUCCUUGUCCAAAGAUAUAAUGGCUCAGAUUGUUGGGUAUUCAACAGCUAUGGAGAUUUGGAAUGCCCUUAAUCAGAUUUACUCUGCCUCUUCUAUGGCGCGGUUUACUGAGCUUCGCACCAAGCUUCAAACGCUCAAGAAAGAUGGACUCUCAGUUGGUGAAUAUAUUCAAAGGCUCAAAUCCAUUUGCAAUAGUCUUGCAGCAAUAGGAGAACCAGUUUCUGAGAAAGACCAUCUUAUCUAUUUGUUCAAUGGAUUAGAUUGUGAGUAUUAUUCUUUUGUUACCUCCAUUCAAAAUCGAUCUGACCAACCAACUAUUGACAAAAUCCAUAGCCUAUUGCUUAGCUAUGACUUCCGGCUUGAACAACAAAACUCUGUUUCUCUCCAUUCUGCCCAAGUCCAUAUGGCUCAUCUGAACAAGAAACCUUAUAAAUCAACUCCUCAACCUACAUUCAAUCAUAUUCACAUUCAACCUAGAUACUCUUCUCCACCUUUUAAGCCAACCACUAGUCAAUAUCAACCCAACAUUUUGGGCAAACCACAACCACAACCAUGACAGCCUCAACCUCAAUGGAAACCACAUUUUUCAAUCUAAAAUCAAAAGCCUCAGCGCCAAAUUUGUGGUAAAUUUGGACACACUGCUCUUAUUUGCUUCCAUCACACAAAUUUGAACUAUUCACCCCAACCUUCUCCUAAAUCUUUCAAUACUGUUCUCACCACAAAUUCCCAGCUCCCUAAUCCUCCAAAAUUUUCUUACCCUACAAUGGCUCAUCCUGCUGCUACGCAUAACACGGUUCCCGAUACAAAUUGGUACAUGGACUCAGGUGCUACACAUCACUUUACUCUGGACAUCAACGUGCUUGACACUGUGACACCAUUUAGUGGUUCAGAACAGGUGACAGUUGGGAAUGGUAAGCAACUCUGUAUCUCACAUCUUGGUACUGCAAAACUACCAUCUUCGUAUUCUCCUCCUGUUCUACAUCAGGUAUAUCACACUCCAAAAAUUUCAAAUAAUCUUAUUAGUGUUAAAAAAUUGUGUUCUGAUAAUAAAGUUUUUGUUGAAUUUUAUGCCACUCAUUUUCUUGUCAAGGAUCAGGUUUCGAAGAGAGUUCUCCUUUAGGGUCAACUUGAUAAUGGCUUAUACAAAGUUCAGUCGUCAUGCUCUCCUUCUGCUGUUUCCUUUCCUCCUCAAGUUUUCAUAGCCAACAUCAAGUAUCCAAAUCUGUGGCACAAGAGACUAGGCCACCCAGCUUUAUCUGUUGUUAAUCAAAUCUUGGAUUCUUGUAACAUUGCUCGAACACAGAAAAUUUGUUUUAAUUUUUUAAAUUCUUGUCAAUUAGCAAAGAGCCACAGGCUUCCUUUUUCUCUGUCUCCAUCCAUUGCAGAAAAACCUUUUGAGUUAAUUCAUACAGACCUAUGGGGUCUUUCGCUCGUUCGCUCUAUUUCUGGUGCUCUUUAUUUUUUACUUUUCAUUGAUGAUCAUACUCGUUUUACUUGGUUUUAUUUGCUCAAAACAAAAGAUGAAGCAUAUCCUACUUUUCUCAAGUUUCAAGCUCUCAUUGAAAAUCAAUUUAAUACCAAGAUUAAGGCUGUCCAAUCUGAUUGGGGAGGUGAGUUUCGAUCUCUCUCCAUACCGUUUUCAAAUAUGGGCAUUGUCUAUUGUUUAUCGUGUCCAUACACCUCACAACAGAAUGGGCGAGUUGAGCGAAAAAAUCGCCAUGCGAUUGUCCUUUCUUGCUUGCUCUAUGCCCUUAUCUUAUUGGCCUUAUGCCUUUCAAACUGCCACUUACCUUAUUAAUCGUCUCUCUACCCCUGUGCUGCAUCAUCAAUCCUCUUACUUCGCACUCUAUCACAAACUCCCAACUUAUACUCAUCUUAAGGUCUUUGGUUCCUCUUGUUUUCCGUAUUUGCACCCUUAUAAUACCCAUAAACUCCAAUACAGGUCACUAGAGUGUGCUUUUCUUGGUUACAGUUCACACCACAAAGGUUAUCUAUGUCUUGACAUUCAUUCUAGCAGGGUGUAUAUUUCUCGCCAUGUGAUUUUUAAUGAAGAUUCUUUUCCAUUCAAGAAUUUGAAAUCUUCUCUCUCUCAGUCUAUUUCUUCUUCCUCUUCUUUAUAAGUUCCUCUGUUCAUUCUCUUGCCUCCCCUUUCCCCAUCUCCUCUUAUUUCUUCAUCUAUACCUCAUUCUUUUCCCUCUUCUUCUUCUACCUCUAGUACUUGUUCCCCUCUCGUUGCUCCUACCUCUCUUCCUUCCUCUUCACACUCUGUGUCUCCAUCUAUUCCACCUCCUUCUCCACCUUCUCCGAGUGUGGACCUGCUUGCACCUUGUGUGAAUACAAAUUUACAUACUUCUUCUCGCACUCACAAUAUUCAUCCUAUGGUGACUAGAUCUAAGGUUUGUAUCUAUAAACCUAAGUUGUUGUUGAGUGUCUCCAUAGGUUCUCUCACUAAGCCUACUUCCUUUCUUCAAGCUAUUAAAGAUCCUUCAUGGAAGCAAUCCAUGGAAUUCGAGUUUGCUACCCUUCAACACAACAAGACCUGGCAUUUGGUUCCUUCACCUUCCUCAGGCGAAGUAAUCGGUUGUAAAUGGGUCUAUAAGCUAAAGCUUCAGCCUGAUGGCUAAAUUGAGAGAUACAGCCUGCUUAGUAGCUAAGGGUAUCAUCAAAUUGAAGUAUGGACUACUUCGAAACAUUCAGCCUGAUNNNNNNNNNNNNNNNNNNNNNNNNNNNNNNNNNNNNNNNNNNNNNNNNNNNNNNNNNNNNNNNNNNNNNNNNNNNNNNNNNNNNNNNNNNNNNNNNNNNNAGCUUCAGCCUGAUGGCUAAAUUGAGAGAUACAAGGCCUGCUUAGUAGCUAAGGGUUAUCAUCAAAUUGAAGGUAUUGACUACUUCGAAACAUUCAGCCUGAUUGUCAAGCUUUCUACUAUCUGUAUUGUGCUCAGUCUUACUUUUUCCCAGAAUUGGUGUAUUAGACAGCUGGAUGUUCAUAAUGCCUUCUUACAUGGUGACUUAGCUAAAGACGUUUUCAUGGAACAACUGCCUGGAUUUGUUGAUCCUCUCUAUCCUACUCAUGUCUGCAAGUUGGAUAAGUCUCUCUACUGUCUUAAAUAGUCACCUCGGGCUUGGUAUACUAAGCUGAGUACUUCUCGCUACACUUGGGAUUUGUUACUUCUAAGAAUGACUCUUCCUUAUUUAUUUGUCAUUCGUCUCAUGGGUUACUUCUUGUUCUUGUCUAUGUGGAUGAUAUAAUCGUCAUUGGGAGCCACUCUCCUCAGGUUACUCACCUUAUCCAACAGUUGCAUCAUUAGCUUUCUUUAAAGGAUCUUGGUCCUUUACAUUAUUUUCUGGGCUUGGAGGUUCAUCACACCCCUACUGGUAUUCACCUCAGCCAAGCAAAGUAUAUCACUGAUCUCCUUACCCGGGCGGCUAUGUUGGAUGCCAAGCCAUGUCCCACUCCUAUGUCCUCCAACACAUAUCUCUCUUUUCAUGAUGGAGUGGCUCUUGAAAAUGGUUCAGAUUAUCGAAGUUUUGUUGGUGCCCUUUAGUAUUGUACCAUGACACGCCCAGAUAUAGCUUUUGCAAUAAAUAAAGUGUGUCAAUUCAUGCACCAUCCCUCUAAUGUUCACUGGCAGGCUAUAAAACGUAUUCUCCGGUACUUAAAGGGCACAUCUCAUUUUGGUCUCUUCCUACAGCCUUCCUAUGACUUCAACAUCACUUGCUAUACAAAUGCCGACUGGGCUUCCUGUCCUGAUGACAAGUGUAGCACCAGUGGCUACUGCCUCUUUCUUGCCUCUAAUCUGGUUUCUUGGUCAUCUUCCAAACAAAAAGUGGUCUCCCGCUCCAGCGCCGAAUCAGAGUACCGAGGGGUAGCAAAUGGGGCUGCUGAAAUUGCUUGGACUGAAUCUCUUCUUUGUGAACUUUCCAUUACUCCCCCUCCCCUCAUUCUCUGUGACAAUAUCAGUGCCACGUACUUAGCUGCCAAUCCUAUUUUGCAUGCCCGCACCAAACAUGUGGAAAUCGACUAUCACUUUGUCACGGAACGUGUUCUUCAAUGCUCUCUUUUUGUCCAGUUUACACCUUCUGAUGAUCAACUUGCUGAUUGCAUGACCAAGCCUCUCUCCACCCAACGUUUCAUCACUCUACGCUCCAAGCUCACUGUUCUCACUAGACCAAUGAGCUUGAGGGGGGAUGUUAAGCCUAAAGAUGUAAUUAGUUAGGAUAUUCUUUUCCCUCUAGUCUUGUAGCUCCACGUGUACAGUUGGUUAGGACCUCAUUGUAUAUAAUGCCUGCCCUGUUAUUGUAGAAGACAACAGAGAUAAAUAAUAUUAACAUUUUUCCUCUCAUCUCUCUCUCUGUUUCCCUCUGUUUUCAUCUCCUCUCUCAUCUGAACCAAAUGAUCCAUGUUAACCUUGGCUUGGUUUGAUUUGGCUCUAUCUUAGAGAGCUCAAGGAUCACGUCAACUCUGGUUUCUACUAUUCAGGUCCAUUCCCAUAUGAACUGGUUCAAAUUUGAGAAAAUGGUAACAGACCUUUAGUGAUGUUGGUUUGGAGCCAGUUGCCAAACCCGCCCUGAGCUUUACCACUAAUGUCAAGGGAGAAAGCCAUUUGAACAAAAACAAUAGCUUCAAGGGACUGAAUCGUGGAUGAAAUCUGAUCCACAUUUCUUCUCAUUUUGGAAACAAAUGAGAACUUAACUAAGAAGAUUCUACGGCCUCAUAGUGCUUUUCCUGAUCUAAGGUUGGUUCGUUUCCCAAACUGUGAGAUGCACGUGCCAGACUUCAGAACUCUCACGCUCAGGAGUGUAUCCACGUGGUGGACAUAAGAUGGUGGCUUAAGAUCUGGUGUCGGUGGCUUUACUUUACUAGGAGAGUAGUGUGUCUUCAUCUCAUUCACUGCCGGAGGGUGGCGUAAGCAGUGACGCUAAGGUGGGGCACAGUCAAUAUCAUUUGCAUUUGACCAUUAUAGUUUUCUCCCGGCUUUAAAGUAACCUUAUCGUGAUAAAGGAUUACUAGCACUAGUUCAGAUGAUAGUCAUGUUAAAUUCGGACCAUGUUUGUGUCACAUUAUCAGCAACCAUGUGUUUAUGGUUCAUGCUUUCUGCAACUAAAAUUGAUAUAUAACCAGGUGAACUUCAAUCUAAAUUCUGAAAGUACUCAUGUGAUAGAUGGUGCCCGUCUGCAGAGUCCAUCAAUUGAAAAAUGGAGUGAGUGUAUCUAUAAGAGGGAAGGCUUGGAAAAUGUUCAGUUUUCUGGGAAUUCAACAAGGAUCUAAAAUAGAUUGUUUUCUUUGCUGAUUUCAAUGGUUGAAAUUUGAGAAGAUUGUGUCCACAUAACACAACUAUUACUGGUCCUUCUGUUGCAAUUUAUCCUCUAAAGCUCUAGCAUGUCUUCCAAUUCCCACUUCCCUGUUACUCCAGGAAAGCUAUUUCUGUCAUUGUGAAGAAGAAAAGAGAAUGUACAUAUCGAUGCUUUUAAGUGACUGGAGCAUUUAUAUCAGGUGGUCUGCAGCCAUAUAUGCCACUUUGUGAAGAUUGGAACAGUCAAUCACUAGGCUAUAUAUUAGUGUGGCCCAGCCACUUUAAUCAAGGACAAGUCUUCAUACUUAAAGUCAAAUUCUGCCUUUAGUCUCAUUAUAAAUUUCUGUUUAAAUAUUAAGCAAACAUUUGUUUAAUGCGAUUAAGACAGUACUAACUCAAUACCUGUUCUAUUUUUGGAUGCAAAUGCUUGAUGGUUUCAUCAUUGGAUGGGAUAAAGGUGCAUUCAUGAUUAGGAAUACUAGUAGUUAUAUUUUAAUUCUCUUUUUUCUCAAUGAGACUUGUUGGCACAAUUUUGCUGUUGAGAAACCUACCUCUCCAUGGAAAAUAAGUUGUGAUUGAUAGUACUGGAUAUAUUCAAGAAAUCUAAAUAUAGAUAGCACAAAAUAUUAUCGACAUAAAUAGCAUUAACAGCGUACGUAUGUCUCAGUGCUCAUCAGCUAUAAGCAUGGGGCAAACACUUACUAUGAGCAACUUACGUCAAAAUUCCAGAAUAGGACAUAGAAGUGACAGAUAUAGAACAUUGCAUAUGAGUCACAAGAAAGGAAAUUACGGGUGCAUAGCAGCUCUUAUUUUACAUACUACUACUCAUACUGAUCAAAGUCACUCAGUUGGGAUGGGUGGGAGUAGGAGGUUUGUGGGGUGGCUUGUGCGGAGGAGUUGGCAGCUUCUUUCCAGGACCUGGUUGCUUCUCUGCUGGAGUUGAAGGAGGCUUAAUCUUCCGAGGUGGCUUGUAUGAGUCUUCAGCAUUCUCAGCUGGAGGGUGACCAGGGUUGUGACCAUAAUGUGGUGGCUUCUCUCCCUUAGGUGGUUUGCCAACUGGGGUUGGUGGCUUGUAUGAGUCUUCAGCAUUCUCAGCAGGAGGGUGACCAGGGUUGUGACCAUAAUGUGGUGGCUUCUCUCCCUUAGGUGGUUUGCCAACUGGGGUUGGUGGCUUGUGUUCUGGGAGUGGCUUCUCCCCCUUGGGAGGUUUUUCCAAUGGGGUUGGUUUGUGUUCAGGAGGUGGCUUCUCCACUGGAGGCUUGUGUUCAGGAGGUGGCUUCUCCACCGGAGGCUUGUGUUCAGGUGGUGGCUUCUCCACCGGAGGCUUAUGCUCUGGUGGUGGCUUCUCGAAUGGGGGAUGCUUAGGAUAAUCAGCAAGUGAGGGGGCGGUGAGAACCACCAGGCCAAGCAACACCACUAGCAAAUAUGUAGGAGACAUCUUUGGGUUUGGGCUCAGAUGGUGCAAAACUAGGAGAAUUGGCUAGCCUUUUAUAGCGGAUCGUACCCAAUAAUGAAAUGACACGUGUCAUUAUGACCCAUGUGUAAUGGGGUCGAUUUGGGUCCUACAGUGUUGAAAACUUCGACAUCCACUUUUGGCCUUUUGCUUUCUCUACAGCCGCCUUGCUUUUUCCCUCUUUCCUUUUGUUUUCCUCCUGCCCCAUUCUAUCAACUAAACACAAUUAUGUAGUUGUUUAAUUCUUAAAUGAGAUAUUAUCCGUCAAUCGUAUUAUAUUUUAUCAAGAGAGAACGGAGUGCAAUGUGGCUGUAAUUUUAUCGUUUAGUUUUAUCUCUUGGACCACUGCAUUUUUGUUAAGAGGUGCAAUAAUACACGUCUUUAUCUGCCAUUCAAUAUUUACAGUAAAGAGAGGGCACAAAACUCUUCACUUCGCACCAUAAUUAUUUUGUUUUCUGGACACCCCGGGGCCCUUUGGUUGGUUUGGGGGUCAGAAAGUGAACAUCAUAGGGGGUUUUUCCCUUAUGUGCAUUUGUAUCUGAUGGCUUUAACUCGCCUUGUUACUACAAAGAAACUGUCACAGAUAGGAACUUAUUCCAGGCUGAGUAUCUCCUCAUAGACCCUAUAAAAGAAGACAAGUCAUAAUGAACAUCUAACCUUUGUUCAAUUUGAUUCAAUGCCCCCAUUGUGUCCAUCUCACAAAUCUGAAUUAUUAUAUCCAUUGAAUACAUAAAUUAAUGAAGAAAAUAUGAAACCCAAGAUACAUCUCUGCACAACCUCAACCCUGGUUGCUAUGUUUCCCUUCUAUUCACAUGAUUUGAUGCUAAUUGCCAAACUUGCAACAAGCCCUGAGUUUGACACCUAGUAUCGAUGGGCGAAUUUAAAGUCUCCUCCAAACAUAUAUUCCACAGCUUGAAGCUCACAGAAGAUGUUACAGGCAGGGAAAAACCUUCAGAGUUCGCUACCAAAGAUAAUUAUUAAGGAGAUAUCACAAAGAGAAUUCCAAGGGGUCUGAAUCAAAGACAAAUUGGUCGUUCGUGGGGGUUCUUACUUUCUUUUGGGUAUAACUCACUGAGGGCACUGUCUUUGUUAUUUGCAUUUCACAUUUAGAGUUCUGUUCUGGAAACAUAUAAAAGGAGCAUCAUUUUGUUCUUGGGUAACCCAUAGUCGUGAGUGGGUCCAUUUGCAUGCUACUUAGUUGAAAAGUUGGACCAUUUGCUCCGACGCCUACCUCCCGGAUUCCAUGCUCGGAUAAAACAAGAAUAAAAAAAAUAUUUAUAAUUUACAAAUGGGGGAAAGAAAAAAAUGUCAACAACAAACCAGGAAAAAAGAGUAGUAAAAUUCAUGUCACAUGCUAGUGAGAGAAGGGGUUGUUACACUCACUCGAAGUUCUUUCCAAAAUAUCGCAUGGUAUUUUAUUUUAUGUGUCAGCGCAGUUGUGAAUGGAACGUGCAAAAGUCCAAAUUGGCGUUUUUCCUUUUCCCGUGUAGGAUGGCGACCUUUAAUAAAUAUUUAAAACAAAAAACGAAAAAAAGGAGGGAAAAGGGAUCAGAAAAGAUAAAACAAUGUGUACAAGAGCUCAAUUAGUUUGCAAAUUACUGUUUGGAUUUUGAUAGUAUUUUAUUUGUCCAUCUAUAUUUGAUGGAAAAGAGAAUUUAAGAUAUUUCUGAAACAAAAGCAUUAGUGUAAAACUAAAUUAAGGUAUAAUUAAGUUAGUUCAAUGCAUUAAUUUAAGAAACUUGAUCUAUCCAAAGUACAAAAUUAGAUGAAAUCCAUUUCAAUGGUUAAAAUGAUCAAAAUCAAACUUUUUCUAAGUAUUUUUUAAAAGCAUCAAUAUUAAAAGACAAUUUUAUAUUUAGUCGGAGUUUGGACAAAACCAAAAAGCACACAAAAUCCAAGCGACCAUCUCUAGCUUGGAUAGUCACUUGAUCCCACCUAGAGAUGUGCAUGAGUAAAAGGAUUUGAAAAUGGAAAUUGACUAAAUAUUUAGUUGAUCAAUUAAAUUUGCAAUGUCAUAUGCAAUCCUAAUAGCUAGUCAUCUAAUCAAUUAGGUAGUCAAUCAAGUGUUUGUAAUGACUAUUUUGUACAAAAAACCACAUGUAUAGUUAAAUAUAAUGCAUUUCAUUUAUAAAUCUUCUAAUUCUUGAAUAACGAUCCUAUCAUCCUUUGAAAAUUUUUAUUACACCUUUUUUACUUUUGUUCUAAAACUUACAUAUCACCCUUAAUUGUACCAUGAGAACCUAGCUAUUUUUUUUUUUUUUGUAAUUCAUCAAAGUUAGCUUUUGUAUUCAUUGUUGUAUUAUUUUUAGUAUAACUUAGAAAGCUAGUGUUUUCAAGUGAGUAAAAUUAACUUGUAAAUAUUGUAAAGAUUCAUUGAUAUGUAUCUUAAACUAAGUGUACAAAUUAAAACAUUUGCUAGUAGAUUUUCUCAAAAUUUAGAAUAGAGCUUGAGGCUAUUGAAAUAGGUGGGGUUACACCAAACCACAUCACAUCGUUGUUUGCACCUUUUUUCACUCUCUUUUACUUAGUUUCUCUAUAUUUGUUGUCUAGUAAUAUCCUAUAGGCUUGAUGGGUUAGGGAGCAUCCCUUUGUGAAAAAAUUUCAUUCAAUUCUUAGUUGUAUUACGCAUAUAUAAAAUGCCUCAUUGUUUUAAUGGUAUUCAGUCGUGGCAUCACAGAUAUGGGCAUCUAAAUUUUAAAAGUUUGAAACUUUUGUAAAGCAUGUUGAUAAAAUCCAUGAGAGUUGUGUACUUGGGAAGCAACAUCGAGGUGACUUUAUUUUUUUUUCCUUUUAUAAUGCCACACCUAAGUCCGGUUUCUAAAUGCUAAAGUGAAAGGGUAGGUAUGGACCAUUGAAAUGUGAUCACAACUUUUGGCCUUUUCCUUUCUCUGCAGCCAUGUUGUCUCUUUUUUCUUUUGCAUGAUUUUCUUACCAAAACAGAAUCAUAGACUUGUUUAGUCUCUAAGCUACUAUAUUAUAUCUCGGUGGACUUUUAAGAGUGCAACCGACAUAGAGCACAUGCAAGUGGGCAUAUGGGACAUGAAAUUUCUUCUUACAAAGAUUGCAUGAUUUUUAUAUUAGAGUUGUUCACGUGCAAUGUAUUUAGCUUGUUUUGCAGUUAAAUUAAUUGGAUAAGUAAACAUUGGCAUUUCUAAAUCGACUGUGAAGUGCUUCAUGUACGUGUAAAGUAUUAGAAAUUUCUUUCUUGGCAACUUGUUUUUUCCUUGCCAUCUACUGGUAGGUUUGACUAAAAUUAUAUUCCCUGUCAUGCUAAUUAAUUUUCAUGUGCAUGCUCAAAAGAAGAGUAUGACCUUAGUGCACCAAAAUCACUUUGAUUAAUUUGUGAUAGGUUUUUUUGCAUCAUUUAGAUAAUGUUUAGUUCUAAGAAAAAUUUAUAUAAAAAUGGUUUAUUUAUCUUACAUAUAUAUAUAUAUAUAUAUAUUUUUUUUUUUUUCAUUUUUUUUUCUUCUAUUUUAUUUAUUUAUUUUAUUUUCCUUAUGUUUUCCUCACAUUUUCCGGAACUAAACAUAGUCUUACGAAAUCAACAAUUGCCUUCAACUGAGUAGAUUCUGUUGUUUUAGCAAUGUUAGGCUGCUAACUUGUGGUGGUACGAACCAAAUGACCCAUGUUAAUCUUGGCUUGGUUUGAUUUGGCUCUAUCUCAGAGAGCUAAAGGAUCACGUCAACUCUGGUUUCUACUAUUCAGGUCCAUUCCCAGAUGAACUGGUUCAAAUUUGAGAAAAUGGUAACAGACCUUUAGUGAUGUUGGUUUGGAGCCAGUUGCCAAACCCGCCCUGAGCUUUACCACUAAUGUCAAGGGAGAAAGCCAUUUGAACAAAAACAAUAGCUUCAAGAGACUGAAUCGUGGAUGAAAUCUGAUCCACAUUUCUUCUCAUUUUGGGAAAAAAUGAGAACUUAACUACAAAGAUUCUACUGCCUCAUUCAUAGUGCUUUUCCUGAUCCAAGGUUGGUUCGUUUCCCAAAUUGUGAGGUGCACGUGCCACUCUCACGCUCAGGAGUGUAUCCACGUGGUGGACAUCAGAUGGUGGCUUAAUAUCUGGUGUCGGUGGCUUUACUUUACUAGGAGAGUAGUGUGUCUUCAUCUCAUUCACUGCCGGAGGGUGGCGUAAGCAGUGACGCUAAGGUGGGGCACAGUCAAUAUCAUUUGCAUUUGACCAUUAUAGUUUUCUCCCGGCUUGAAAGUAACCUUAUCGUGAUAAAGGAUUACUAGCACUAGUUCAGAUGACCGUCAUGUUAAUUCGGACCAUGUUUGUGUCACAUUAUCAGCAACCAUGUGUUUAUGGUUCAUGCUAUCUGCAACUAAACUUGAUAUAUAACCAGGUGAACUUCAAUCAAAAUUCUGGAAGUACUCUUGUGAUAGAUGGUGCCUGUCUGCAGAGUCCAUCAAUUGAAAAAUGGAGUGAGUGUAUCUAUAAGAGGGAAGGCUUGGCAAAUGUUCAGUUUUCUGGGAAUUCAACAAGGAUCUAAAAUAGAUUGUUUUCUUUGCCGACUUCAAUGGUUGAAAUUUGAGAAGAUUGUGUCCACAUAUCACAACUAUUACUGGUCCUUCUGUUGCAAUUUAUCCUGUAAGGCUCUAACAUGUCUUCCAAUUCCCACUUCCCUGUUACUCCAGGAAAGCUAUUUCUGUCAUUGUGAAGAAGAAAAGAGAAUGUACAUAUCGAUGCUUUUAAGUGACUGGAGCAUUCAUAUCAGGUGGUCUGCAGCCAUAUAUGCCACUUUGUGAAGGUUGGAACAGUCAAUCACUAGGCUAUAUAUUGGUGUGGCCCAGCCACUUCAAUCAAGGACAAGUCUUCAUACUUAAAGUCAAAUUCUGCCUUUAGUCUCAUUAUAAAUUGCUGUUUAAAUAUUAAGCAAACUUUUGUUUAAUGCGAUUAAGACAGUACUAACUCAAUACUUGUUCUAUUUUUGGAUGCAAAUGCUUGAUGGUUUCAUCAUUGGAUGGGAUAAAGGUGCAUUCAUGAUUAUGAAUACUUGUAGUUAUAUUUUCAUUCUCUUUUUUCUCAAUGAGACUUGUUGGCACAAUGUUGCUGUUCAGAAACCUACCUCUCCAUGGAAAAUAAGUUGCGAUUGAUAGUACUGGAUAUGUUCAAGAAAGCUAAAUAUAGAUAGCACAAAAUAUUAUCGAUAUAAAUAGCAUUAACAGCGUACGUAUGUCUCAAUGCUCAUCAGCUAUAAGCAUGGGACAAACACUUACUAUGAGCAACUUACGUCAAAAUUCCAGAAUAGGACAUAGAAGUGACAGAUCUAUAUAUAUAGAACACUGCAUAUGAGUCACAAGAAAGGAAAUUACGGGUGCAUAGCAGCUCUUAUUUUACAUACUACUACUCAUACUGAUCAAAGUCACUCAGUUGGGAUGGGUGGGAGUAGGAGGUUUGUGGGGUGGCUUGUGCGGAGGAGUUGGCAGCUUCUUUCCAGGACCUGGUUGCUUCUCUGCUGGAGUUGAAGGAGGCUUAAUCUUCCGAGGUGGCUUGUAUGAGUCUUCAGCAUUCUCAGCUGGAGGGUGACCAGGGUUGUGACCAUAAUGUGGUGGCUUCUCUCCCUUAGGUGGUUUGCCAACUGGGGUUGGUGGCUUGUAUGAGUCUUCAGCAUUCUCAGCAGGAGGGUGACCAGGGUUGUGACCAUAAUGUGGUGGCUUCUCUCCCUUAGGUGGUUUGCCAACUGGGGUUGGUGGCUUGUGUUCUGGGAGUGGCUUCUCCCCCUUGGGAGGUUUUUCCAAUGGGGUUGGUUUGUGUUCAGGAGGUGGCUUCUCCACUGGAGGCUUGUGUUCAGGAGGUGGCUUCUCCACCGGUGGCUUGUGUUCAGGAGGUGGCUUCUCCACCGGAGGCUUAUGCUCUGGUGGUGGCUUCUCCACCGGAGGCUUAUGCUCUGGUGGUGGCUUCUUGAAUGGGGGAUGCUGAGGGUAAUCAGCAAGUGAGGGGGCGGUGAGAACCACCAGGCCAAGCAACACCACUAGCAAAUAUGUAGGAGACAUCUUUGGGUUUGGGCUCAGAUGGUGCAAAACUAGGAGAAUUGGCUAGCCUUUUAUAGCGGAUCGUACUCAAUAAUGAAAUGACACGUGUCAUUAUGACCCAUGUGUAAUGGGGUCGAUUUGGGUCCUACAGUGUUGAAAACUUCGACAUCCAGUUUUGGCCUUUUGCUUUCUCUACAGCCGCCUUGCUUUUUCCCUCUUUCCUUUUGUUUUCCUCCUGCCCCAUUCUAUCAACUAAACACAAUUAUGUAGUUGUUUAAUUCUUAAAUGAGAUAUUAUCGGUCAAUCGUAUUAUAUUUUAUCAAGAGAGAACGGAGUGCAAUGCAGCUGUAAUUUUAUCGUUUACUUUUAUCUCUUGGACCACUGCAUUUUUGUUAAGAGGUGCAAUAAUACACGUCUUUAUCUGCCAUUCAAUGUUUACAGUAAAGAGAGGGCACAAAACUCUUCACUGCUCUGCAUGUGUCCCAAAAAUGCGAUUGGACAAAUUAUGAUUUGCAUGCUAAAAAGAGGCAAAUGAGGUUAAUUCGCACCAUAAUUAUUUGGUUUUCUGGACACCAUAAAAAGAUGUUAUACAGGCAGGGAAAAACCUUCAGAGUUAGCUACCAAAGAUAAUUAUCAAGCAGAUAUCACCAAGAGAAUUCCAUAGAGUCUGAAUCAAAGACAGAUUGCUCGCUCGUGGGGGUUCUUACUUUCUUUUGGGUAUAACUCACUGAGGUCACUGUCUUUUUUAUUUGCAUUUCACAGUUAGAGUUCUGCUCUGGAAGGUUUGUUCUGGAAACAUAUAAAAGGAGCAUCAUUUUGUUCUUGGGUAACCCAUAGUCGUGAGUGGGUCCAUUUGCAUGCUACUUAGUUGAAAAGUUGGACAAUUUGCUCCGACGCCUACCUCCUGGAUUCCAUGCUCGGUAAAACAAGAAUAAAAAAAAAUAUAUAAUUUACAAAUGGGGGAAAGAAAAAAUGUCGGAAAAAAUAGUAAAAUUCAUGUCACAUGCUAGUGAGAGAAGGGGUUGUUACACUCACUCGAAGUUCUUUUCAAAAUAUCGAAUGGUAUUUUACUUUAUGUGUCAGCGCAGUUGUGAAUGGAACGUGCAAAAGUCCAAAUUGGCGUUUUUAUUUUUCCCAUGUAGGAUGGUGACCUUUAAUAAAUAUUUAAAACAAAAGACGAAAAAAAAAAGGAGGGAAAAGGGAUCACAAAAGAUAAAAUAAUGUUUACAAAAGCUCAAUUAGUUUGCAAAUUACUGUUUGGAUUUUGAUAGUAUUUUAUUUGUCGUUCUAUAUUUGAUGUAAAAGAGAAUUUAAGAUAUUUCCGAAGCAAAAGCAUUAGUUUGCUCUGUGAUGUCCCACAUCGAAUAGGGGAGAAAGUUUCUGGCGCUAUAUAUGUAGAGGCUCCUCUUAACCAAGUAGAUGCGUUUUAAAACCAUGAGGGCCCCCUUAGGUCCAAAGCGGACAAUAUCUACAUGAUUGGGUGUAAGUCAUUACAAAUGGUAUCAGAGCCGAUCCCCGACCCCGGUGUGGGGGUUUGUUUGGCCCUGUAAGGGGUGUUUGUCUGUUUGACCCCACAAUCCCAUGGGACACAACGAGGACGUUGUGUCUGCAUGGGGGGGCGUUUGUGAUGUCCCACAUCGGAUAGGGGAGAAAGUUCCUAGUGCUAUAUAUGUAGAUGUUUCUCUUAACCAAGUAGAUGCAUUUUAAAAUUGUGAGGGCCUCUUUGGGCCCAAAGCGGACAAUAUCUACAUGGUUGAGUGUAAGUCAUUACAUGCUCCAUGUCAAUUUCAGCAUUUCUCAUAUGUUUCACACAUACACAGAAGAGCAUCGUUUUUUAAAGCAUGCAUUUAUGUUGGAUUAAUUUGGAUUUUGUGGGAACUGGGGCAAGGAUCACAUGGAAGAGAGGUUGACUUUUUUCAGUACUUCAAUGGUUGAAAUAUGUGAAGGCUUGAUUGAUACUAAAGCUUGAAAUUGCGACUCUGUCAUUUGUAAAAAAAUAUGACAGCUUCCAUGCUCUCGUUUGGUUGCAUUGUCCGGUCGAGAGGUGCAAAAAGCAUUCUCUCUCUUCUAAUAGUCUUUUCGUUUAAAUCAAGGGAUUUGCCUUCCCGGUCGAGGUCCAAUAGAGGGUAACGGUCACCUACUAAACAUUAAAUGCUCCAACAACUAGUGAACUGAUCGACCCCAGCUCGACUAGUUGAGGUUACUUUUUGGUUUUCUUGUCUCCCGAGGUUAGAAACCUAUAAAUAGAGAGCUUCACUUCAUUUAUGAGUAAGAGAACACCUAAAUUUAUUUGUUUACCUACUUGUUUUUGCCAUAAAAGCUCUCAUUUCUUUUCUUGGUGUAUUAAAUCUCCAUUUGCAUAUCCUUUAGUGCACCUUUGUGAUUCAUUCUAGCCUUGAGUUGUAUUUAAGCCUUUGUUGAGCUAGGUUGAGAGUUUCAUACUUGUUUAUUGAGUGUUAAAGCCUUCAAGUGAGUUAAAACUUGAAGAGAUUGUGUAAGAGCCCAUUGGAGUCGGAAUCCAAGUGUAAAGGUGAUUAAAAGCUUGGUUGAAGCUUCAAGUUAGUGGAACUCUCACUCGGUUAUGAGCUUGAGAAGAGUGGACAUAGACAAGGCAGUGUCGAACCACUAUAAAAUCUGAGUUUGAUUUCUCUAACCUUAUCUCUUUAUAUUUGCUUCUCUUGUGCUUAAAUUUUUUGUGUUUAAAAAGAAUUUUUAAAAACUCAAUUCACCCCCUUCUUGGGAGUUUUUCUCUUUUAAGAUCAGCUUUUAUUUUCUCAAUUGGUAUCAGAACUAUGCCUCUUGUUUAAGACUUAAUCGUCUAAGAGGAAAUGGCUAAUCCAUCAAGUUCAUCUCACAUUGAAAGUUUUGCAACCAAUAGACUUCUUUUUUUUUUUUUGCGGGAACUGAUUAUCCCUAUUGGAAAACUAAAAUGACUUGGUUUUUACAAUCAAUUGAUUUAGAUGUAUGAGAUGCCAUUGAAGAUGACCUAACUUUUCCUUCAAAACUAGUUGAUGGAGUCAUGGUUCCAAAACCUAAGCAAGAAUGGGAUGAGCGUGAUUGAAGAAAUUUUCAAUUAAAUGCUAAAGUCGUUUAUACUUUGCAAUGCUCUAUGGACAGAAAUGAAUAUAAUAGAAUAUGUCAAUGCAAAUCGGUUAAAGAAAUUUGGAGAUUGCUUGAAAUAACUCAUAAAGGAACAAAUCAAGUUAAAGAGUCAAAAAUCAAUUUACUUGUUCAUAGAUAUGAAUUGUUUUUUAUGAAAGAUAAUGAAACUAUUGUUAAGAUGAUCACUAGGUUCACCAACAUUGUUAAUGGUCUUAAAGCCUUGGGAAAGACCUACAAGGAAUCCGAAAACGUGAUGAAGAUCUUGAGGUCACUUCCAUCAAAGUGGCAUACCAAGGUCACCGCAAUUUAAGAAGCAAAAGACUUGAUCAAGCUACCUUUGGAGGAGUUCAUAGGGUCAUUGAUGACAUAUGAAAUCAAUUUGGCAAAGAAGUAACAAAAAGGUGAAGACAAAAAGAAGAAGAACAUAACUCUCAAAGCUACAACUAAGGAAGAAGAAGUUGAAGAAGAAAAACAAAUUGAAGAAGAUGAAGAUUUAGCCCUCAUCACAAGAAAGUUCAACAAAUUCAUGAGGGGUGAAAGGUUUAGAAGAAGAAGGUUCACUUCUAGAAGAGACUUUUCUAAAAAGGAAUCUUCAUCUAAUGGUGACAAAAAGAGAUGGGAAGAGAAAAGAGACUUGGUGUGUUUCAAGUGCAAGAAACCGGGACACAUUAAAUAUGAUUGUCCUCUCUACAAAAGUGAAGUCAAGAGGAAAAAGAAUAAGGCAAUGAUGGCCACUUAGAGUGAAAGUGAAGAUGAAUCAUCCGAAGAAGAAAAUGAGAAAGAAGUGGCAAACAUGUGUUUCAUGGCAAUAGAUGAACUUGAUGAGGUAAAAUCUAACCUUAGUGAUUAAGAUAUACAUGAUGCAUUUGAAGAAUUGUAUGAGGAUUUUUAAAAACUUAGUUUGAAAAAUAUUUCUCUUAAAAAGAAAGUUCAACAACUUGACAAAGAACUUAGAGAAGUAAAAGAAAAAUUUUCAAAUGUUAAAGUUUCUAAAACUCAUCUUGAAAAAGAAAAUGAGAUUCUAAGAAAGAAAAAUGAAUAGUUGAACUCCUCUCUUUCAAUCUUUUCUUCUAGACAAAAAUCUUUUGAAAUGAUUCUAACUAGCUAAAAAUGUGUUUUUGACAAACAAGGGUUAAGAUUUAAAUCUUCAAAAAAUCAAAAGUAUUUUAAAAACUAUUUUGUAAAGGAAUCCACAAGUGCAAGUCCUUCCACUACUUGCAACUUUUGUGGAAGAGAAUGGCACAUUAGUAGUACGCCCUUUAAGAAAUGGUUCUCAAAAGAAUUUAAAUGCAAAAACUAAAAAAGAUUUGGAUUGAGAAAUCCAAGGUCACUAACCCUCAAGGACCCAAAAAGAUAUAGGUACCUAAAUCAACUUGAGUUUUAUGUUGUAAGGUUCAAAGAAUGAUAAGUGGUUCUUAGAUAAUGGUUGCUCAAGACACAUGACCGGAGAUGAAUCCAAGUUUGCUUUUCUUAAAAAGAAAAAUGGAGGAUAUGUUACCUUUGGAGACAAUGCAAAAGAAAGGAUGAUUGGUCAAGGCAACAUUGGUAAUGGCACAUCCUCUCUCAUUGAAAGUGUUUUAUUAGUAGAUGGUUUCAAACAUAACCUUUUAAGCAUUAGUCAAUUUUGCGACAAAGGUUUUUAAGUGAUUUUUUAAGCAUCUCAUUGCAUCAUCAAGGAUAUUCAAAAUGAUAAAACCAUUUUCAUGGGCCAUAGAUGUGAUAAUGUUUAUGCUAUAAAUAUUUCAAAAUAUGAUGGCCAUGAUAGAUGUUUUUCAAGCAUGCAUGAUCAAAGUUGGUUGUGCCAUAGGAGAUUGAGACAUGCUAACAUAGACCUCAUUUCCCAACUCAACAAAGAUGAACUUGUUAGAGGCCUUCCCAAAAUAAUUUUUUAAAAAGAUAAAGUUUGUGAAGCUUGUCAAGUGGGAAAGUAAAUCAAAAACUCUUUUAAAAACAAAAACUUCAUUUCCACAUCUAGGCCACUUGAGUUGUUGCAUAUGGAUUUAUUUGGUCCCUCUAGGACACCAAGUCUUAGAGGAAAUUCUUAUGCAUAUGCUAUUGUGGACGACUUCUCUAGAUACACAUGAGUCUUGUUUUUUAGUCAAAAGAAUAAAGUUUUUUAUGAGUUUUCAAAGUUUUGCAAUAAGAUUCAAAAUGAAAAAGGUUUUUCAAUUACUUAUAUAAGAAGUGAUCAUGGGAGAGAAUUCGAAAAUAUUGAUUUUGAAGAGUAUUGCAAUGAGCAUGGAAUUGACCACAAUUUUUUGGCUCUUAGAACUCCUCAACAAAAUGGGGUAGUUGAAAGGAAAAAUAGAACUCUUCAAAAAAUGACAAGAACCAUACUAAAUGAAAACAACUUACCAAAAUAUUUUUAGGCCAAAACGGUUAACACUUCUUGUUAUGUUUUAAAUAGAGUAUUAUUGAGGCUCAUACUUAAGAAAACUCCCUAUGAGCUUUGGAAAAACAAAAAACCCAACAUUAGUUAUUCCAAAGUCUUUGGAUGCAAUAUUUUAUAAUAAACACCAAAGACAAUCUUGGAAAAUUUGAUGCAAAAUUGGAUGUUGGAAUUUUCCUUGGUUACUCAACUUCAAGUAAAGCUUUUCGAGUUUUAACAAAAGAACCAUGGUUGUAGAGGAGUCCAUCCAUGUUAUUUUUUAUGAAUCUCCAAGAAAGAGAGAGGAUUGAUGAUGAUUUAGGUUUGAAGACCUCUAUAGGAAGAUUGCAAAUCGAAGAUAGAAGACAACAAGAAGAAAAUGGAGAGAAUCCAAAGAAAGAAGGAUCACCAUUGGCACUACCCCCUCAUCAACAAGCGCAAGGUGAAUCAAGUCAAGAGCUUCCUAAAGAAUGGAAGUUUGUCAUCAAUCACCCACAAGAUCAAAUUAUAGGCAAUCCAUCUAGUGGGGUAAGAACUAGAUCCUCUCUUAGAAAUAUUUGCAAUAAUCUAGCUUUUAUCUCUCAAAUUGAGCCUAAAAAUAUAAAUGAUGUUUUAGAUGAUGAAAAUUGGAUAAUUGCAAUGCAAGAAGAGUUAAAUCCAUUUGAAAGAAGUGGAGUAUGGGAAUUAGUACCAAGACCUUCAAAUCAAAGUGUUAUUGGAACUAGAUGGAUCUUUAGAAAUAAAAUGGAUGAAAAUAGCAUAAUUGUUAGAAAUAAAGCAAGAUUGGUAGCCCAAGGUUUUAAUCAAGAAGAAAUGAUAGAUUAUGAAGAAACCUUUGCCCCCGUAGCUAGGUUGGAAGCCAUUAGGAUGCUACUUGCCUUUGCAUGUUUUAAAGACUUUGUUUUAUAUCAAAUGGAUGUGAAAAGUGCUUUUUUAAAUGGUUUUAUAAAUGAAGAAGUAUAUGUUGAACAACCACCCGGUUUUCAAAGUUUCAACUUUCCUAACCAUGUUUUUAAACUUAAAAAGACACUUUAUGGUUUGAAACAAGCACCUAGAUCAUGGUAUGAAAAAUUGAGUAAAUUUCUUUUGAAAAAAAUGUUUUAAAAUGGGAAAAAUUGACACAACUCUUUUUAUAAAAACCAAAGAAAAUGAUAUGCUCUUAGUUCAAAUAUAUAUUGAUGAUAUCAUUUUUGGUGCUACUAAUGUCUCUCUUUAUGAAGAAUUUUCUAAGUGCAUGCAUAGUGAGUUUGAAAUGAGCAUGAUAGGAGAACUCAACUUCUUCCUUGGACUUCAAAUCAAGCAACUAAAGGAAUGAACCUUCAUCAAUCAAGCAAAGUAUAUAAGAGAUCUUCUCAAAAGGUUCAACAUGGAAGAAGCCAAAACAAUGAAGACUCUAAUGAGCUCAUCCAUUAAGCUUGAUAAGGAUGAGAAAGGUAAAUCCAUUGACUCUAUUAUGUAUAGAGGCAUGAUAGGUUCUUUGCUCUAUUUGACCACUAGUAGACCUUACAUUAUGUAUAGUGUGUGUUUGUGUACUAGAUUUCAAUCUUGUCUUAAAAAAUCUCACUUAAGUGUCGUGAAAAGAAUCCUCAAAUAUUUGAAAGGGACAAUGGACAUAGGCUUAUGGUAUCCUAAGAGUGAUAACUUUGAAUUAAUUGGUUUUUUGGAUGCUGAUUUUGUCAGUUGUAGGGUUGAAAAAUAAAACACUAGUGGCACUUUUCAUUUCUUAAGACACUUACUUGUCUCAUGGCAUAAUAAGAAGCAAAAUUUGGUAGCUUUGUCAACAGCAGAAGCUAAAUACAUAGCAACUGGUUUAUGUUGUGCACAAAUCCUUUGGAUGAAAUAAACACUUAGUGAUUUUGAUUUAUCUUUUGAGCAUAUUCCUAUUAAAUGUGAUAAUAGUAGUGCCAUAAGUAUAUCAAAAAAUCUCGUGCAACACUCUAGGACUAAGCAUAUAGAGAUUAGACAUAAUUUUCUUAGAUAUCAUACACAAAAGGAUGAUAUAACACUUGAAUUUGUAAGCAUAAAAGACCAACUUGCCGAUAUCUUUACAAAACCUCUAAGAACAUUUUGUUGAUAUUAGAGGACAAUUAGGAGUGAUUUCUUUAUGAUCUAAUGUGAUGAAUUCUUGAUGAAUAUACUUUUUGAUUGCAUGAAUUUCAUGUCAUAUAUGCAUCAUAUAGAAAUAUACUUAGAUAAUGGUCAAAUUUCGACCAAAAAUCAAAAUUCCCAUGGCAUUAGGCAUAAAAAUUUUGGAAUUUCAACUGAAAAUGGUAGGAGGAGGAUCACAAAAUGAGAAAGUAUGCAAAAAUUGAAAAAUCAAAACGUUGACCAAGCGGUCAAUCGGACUAGACCGAUCGACUAGUUUGUCGAGAUUUAGGAUUUUUAAGAGACUCCAACGCUUCAAUUUUUGCACCGUUCUCCUCUAUUUCUUCACGGUUUCUCUGAUUUUGUCUUUUAGAGACUAAUUUGAGUGCGUUUUGGAUCAAUUGAAGCAUUUUGGAUUGGAUUUUAGGAAGAUUGAAAGUUAAGGUUUCGGAUUUGGGUCGCCUUCUCUUCCUCUCGCGUGUCACAAUCAGCUUUAGCAUUGUUCUCUUUCCAUUUUCACACACCUAGGGUUUCAGUUGUGAGCAUCUCUCUCUCUUUACCAACCACUACUCCCUUGCUUCUUCCAUAUGGCUCCUAGGCGAGAGUCCGCUACUUCUAGGGCACAAGGCAAGCACCCAACUGAGUCGUCUCAGUCAAAGGCACGUCGAAAAGUGAGAUUUGACAUUGCCUUGUUCAGUUCCAUGGAGGACUACCAACUAUACAAGCAACACUUUGCUUAGAGACGAGUAGUUCCCAAGAGAAAUAUUAAUUUUCCUCAACUUCAGCAUUUCGAAUUUAAGGGUCUAUUUACUAGGAUGGUUGGUUGUCUAUUGUCACAAUUUCGGAGCCGGUUUUCCUGACCUUAGUGCGAGUUUUUUACUCGAGGGCGACUUAUGGCAUGGGUGGCAUGAUCAUUUCUACUGUUGGAGGAGUUGAGAUCUGUCUGGACCCAGAGAGCAUCUGCCAUAUUUUCGAUAUUGCUCUGGUUGGACUCAAAGUAUACAAGUCCAAAAUGUGGCCCAUUGUGCCAGGAUUUGAGCUUAGAGAGGUCAUUCAGAGGAUUUGUGAACUUCCAGACGCCCAGGAGAUGGGCAAACCAUUGCCACACAGUUUGACGGUCAUCAACAGGGUGCUACACCAUAUAUUGUGCUCUAUCUUUCUACCACGAAGUGGACAUUGAGAUGAGGUCUCUUAUUAUGAGGCAUUCCUUAUUGACUCCAUUCUAACGGAGAGACGAAUUCAUCUACUAUGUCAUCAUUCACUAAGCCUCCUCACAGUGACAUACCACCUCAUCAGGCACCUCUUGCUCCUGACCAUGCUCCAUUGAUGGAUUUAUUUACUCAUAUUAGCUCUCUAGGCACUCGCAUGAAGGAGUUUGUUGUAGUUAGUGAUACAUGGUUCUACUCCAUAGAGGAUCGCAUGGAUCAGUAUCAGACUGGCUUCACGUCACAGUUUGAGUAUCUCCAAUAGAGGAUUGAGCAUAUUGAGGAUCACUUGAGCAUGAGAAGAUGAUGGCUUUUCUAUGCUCUGUGUUUCCACCUCCACCUCGUCAACCUUGAUUUCUUAGAGACCCAUUGUUUUCAUUUUGUAAUGUUGCCAAAAGGGGGAGAUAUUUAGGAUCUAGGACUCUAUAGGAGACUUACAUGCAUAUCAUUUUCAUAUCAUUGUUUGGAUCGUACAUAUUGGAUAGUGAUACUUUUUACUUAUAUAUGAUAUGCCUAUAUGUUUCAUGUCUUACAUUGUUUCUUAUUGCAAAUUAUCUCUAACAUGUCUUGAUUAUCUUUUUUUUAACUUCAUAAAUUUUGAUUGUUAACCCAUGAUUGGUUUGAGGGGAAGAUUCUUCUUCUCCUAGAUAACCAAGGUUUGUCAUCAUAAAAAAAUUGGAGAUUGUUAGCCCAAGGGUUCUCCUAAUCAUGUUUUGAUGAUAACAAACCAUGCUUAAGUUACUAAUUGGUUUGAAUUAUAAAGAAUUUCAAGUGUUAAUUUGAAAAUUCAUCAAAGAACCUAAUGGAUGCAAGAUCAAGAUUUUUGGAAGACCUUUAAUCAUAAGAAACAUAUGUAAGAUGAAUGCAUGGGUGCACUUAAGAUUUGCAUAUCAUUUCAUGCAUAUUUGGAAAACACGGUUUAUGCUUUAAAGUUACAUUUCCAUCAAAAUUUGAGAUCCAUCAAAUGAACCUUAGGAAAAAUGUUUUAAAAUUGGCAUAUAAUUUUACCUAAAGACCUUGCCUAAGUGUUAGAAGCAAAAGGACAAAAAAAAUAUAGGUUUUCUGGUCAAAAAUGGUGAACCAGUCAAGGCAUUGUCUAAAUCAGCUCAAUCGGCCAAGGUACCGGUCGAUCGGUUUCCCUUUCCCUGUCGAGAUCUAGUCAAGAGGUACAAAAAUCACAAUCUCUGUCUCUUUCUCUCUUUGUCUAUCUUCCAGUAGUCUUUCCUUCCCGGUCGAGGGAUUUGCCUUCCCGAUUGAGGUCCGAUUGAGAGUAAUAGUCACUUGCCAAAUAUUAAAUGCUCCAACAGUUAGUGAACUGGUCGACCCCCACCUUGCCCAGUUGAGGUUACUUUUUGGUUUUCUUGGCUCCCGAUGUUAGAAACCUAUAAAUAGAGAGUUCCACUUCAUUUAUGAGCAAGAGAACACUUGCAUUUAUUUGUUUACCUACUUGUUCUUGCCUUAAAAGCUCUCAUUUCUUUUCUUGGUGCAUUAAAUCUCCAUUUUGAUAUCCUUUAGUGCACCUUUGUGAUUCAUCUUAGCCUUGAGUUGUAUUUGAGCCCUUUUUUUAGCUAGGUUGAGAGUUUCAUACUUGUUAAUUGAGUGUUAAAGCCUUCAAGUGAGUUGAAACUUGUAGAGAUUAUGUGAGAGUCGAUUGGAGCCGAAAUCCAAGUGUAAAGGUGAUUAGAAGCUUGGUUGAAGCUUCAAGUUAGUGGAAUCCUCACUCAAUUAGGAGCUUGAGGAGAGUGGACGUAGCCAAGGAAGUGUCGAACCACUAUAAAAUUUGAGUUUGAUUUCUCUAACAUUGUCUCUUUAUAUUUGUUUAUCUUGUGCUUAAAUUUAUUGUGUUUAAAAAGAAUUUUUAAAUACCCAAUUCACCCCCCUCUUGGGUGUUUUUCUCUUUUAAAAUUAGCCUUUAUUUUCUCACAAACUAUUGUAGUAUAGUGGUUUUUAGGUGUCAUCCAUUAGGAUGAAUUGUUCUCGGUAAUUAAGGCGUGAAUGAGAGGAGAAUUAAUGAUUGUGAUUAAGUAAAAUUGAUUUGAAAAUUCAUGGUGAAAAAUCAAUUUAACAAUGGUUUCUAAUUGAGAAAAACAAUGAAAUGUGAAAUAAAAUAAAAUUAAUAGGAAAUGAAAUUCUCGAAGUUAGAAUUUUCUAAAAAACAAAUUCCAUGGUGAAUGGAUGUUGAGAUCUAAUUUUCAUCAAGUUAGAUUGAAAACCGAAAUUUUCAUAUAAACUGAUUUUUUAUUUAGUUUUAGGUCUAGAUUUAAUUUCCCUUAAAAUUAGGUUAUUUAAUCCAAGAAAUCAAUUCAAAUCAUAUAUUCAAUUCAUCUUAAAUUAUCUUCCAAUUAUUCACACAAUGCAACUAUUCAAUCUCAUCAAAUCUAGCUUUUAAGAAUUUAAUGAAUCUACCUAGUUUGCAUUGUAAUAGUCAUCCAUGACAAUUUGAAGAGAAAAAUAAUUCAAUUAAUCAAUCACUUGGAUCAAAUUACCUUUGCAAUUAAAGUUCAUUUCUCUAAUUCACCACAGAUUUUGUCUCUAGAUCCUCCUUUCUCAAAGAAAAAUGAGAUUUAGCCACACAUGAUUGGAGAUUUGGUCUCAUAAGGCAUGUUUAGCUAGUGAUAAAAUGAGAGAAAAUAAAGAAAAAUAGAGAAUUCGAUUAAGAAAGAAAAUCUAAAAAAUUCUACAAUUAGAAAUGUCCAAAAAGCUUUUUCAUGAGAAAAUCAAGUUUCUAUUUAUAGGCCAAGGUCAAGUGGACACUUGACAUCAUCUAAGAGGUCUUCCGGAAGCUUCUUCAUCAAGAAAUCUGGAGUUUAAUAAUAAAAUGGUCAUUUCACAAGAGCUCAAACAAUUUCGCAUGAUUAUGUGAAAUAAAAAAUGCAACAACAGCAAUUUACAUCUUCUUGGAGCAUUUCGCAUGACUGUGUGAAAUUUUCACAUGAUCAUGUGGAAUCGACUUGACAACUCUCAUUUAGCCUACAACAUAAUUCCACCUUUUGGUCCAUUUUUCAUAGUCAUGCGAAAUGGAAAUAUUUGAUUUUUAAGUUUUCUUUUGUCAUUUCUUUCAUUUCCUUCUCUUGAUUCCACUUCAACUACCUCCGAAUCCUGGUCCAAACCAAUUGCAUUACUUCUUUCAUUAUGCAUUUGGAUCAUCAUCAACAUUAUUUGUUCUCUUCAAUUUGAUUCAUCUCUUUUGUCACCAAUUUAUCAAAAUCAUACCUUGAAAUGACUCCAAAACUUCAUAAAACUUGUUAGUAACUCUUGCAAGGGCAACAACAUAUUAAUUAAGUGUUUUAGGCAUAGUUACUACUCAAAAGAUGCGAAACUCAUGAUAAUUAUUAUAUAAAAUAUGCUCUUUUUGAGUAGUAAUCAACUUUCUUGCAUAAGCAGACCUUUUAGGGUGGAGUACUAAAGACCAAUAUGCUUGUCCUUGUUGUAAUAAAGAAACUUGCUCUUAUUGAUUGCACCAUGGGAGAAAAUUUUGCUACAUGAGUUAUCAUCAAUUUCUUCCCACCAAUCAUAGAUUUAGACGUGACAAGAGGCCUCUUAAUGGCAAGGAGGAACUGACACUCACACUUAUACAAUUAUCGGGCAUUGAUGUGUUGCAACAAUUAGAAUAACUUACACCAAUUAUGUUGGGGAAGUCACAAAAGGCAAACAUGAAAACUAAAAGGAAAAAAGAAAAAUGUUACAUAUCACCACAACUGGAAAGAAAAAAGUAUUUACUUUCAUUUGCCAUAUUGGAAAGCACUUAUUUUACAUCAUAAUAAUUUAGACAUAAUGCAUAUUGAGAAAAAUGUGUGACAAUAUAAUUGAGACAUUGUUCAGUAUUGACGAAGAAACAAGGACAACCUAAAUAGUCAUCUCGAUUUACAAGCUCUAACUAUUAGAAAUGAGAUUCACCCAAUAGAAAGCAGGACCAAAUUUAUUUUGCUUGCAACAUGCUACUCACUCACCCCAAAUGAGAUUAAGGAAUUUUGCAAGUUUUUGAAAUCAAUAAAGGUCCCCAAUGGCUAUUCUUUCAAUAUCUCUCGUUAUGUGCAACUCAAUGAAAGGAAGAUAUAUGAGCUCAAAUUGUAUGAUUGUCAUGUCCUAAUGCAACAACUUCUCUCACUUGUAGUUCGUGGAGUUCUACAUAAGAAUGUUUGUGGAGUUAUCAUAGAAUUGCGUAAUUUUUUCAAGCAAUUGUGCUCAAAGGUGUUAGAAACAAAUCACUUACACCAACUUGAGAACAAUAUUAUUGUCAUACUAUGUAAAAUGGAGCAAAUAUUUCUUCCAUCAUUCUUUGAUAUUAUGGUGCAUUUACUUGUGCAUCUAGUAAGGCAAAGGUUGCAAGACUUGUGCAAUAUUGUUGGAUGUACCUAAUUGAACGAUAUUGUUAUAAUUUCAUAUGAAUCAUUUAAUUUUAUUUUAUAUUAUGUUCAGUUCAUUAACAUGUACAUUGGUCUACAUAUGGAUGAUGAUAGGUACCUAAGCACUUUAAAGUCAUAUGUGCGUAAUAGAACUUUUCUAGAAGGUUCUAUUGUAGAAAGGUACCUUGCAAAAGAAUGUACAACAUUUUAUUCUAGGUACUUGAAUGAUGUGGAAAUAAAGUAUAAUCACAAUGAUAGAAACUUUGUUGGUUUCAACACUAGAGGAGAUGAAAGGGGUUAUCUUUAAACAUAUUGGACAUGCAUUGGGAAAGCCCAUAUUUCAUUAACUUAGUUCAAAAGAGUGGUCACAAGCACAUUUAUAUGUGUUGACAAAUUGCGAAGAUGUCAUACCAUUCAUUGAGUAAAAAAUUUAUUUGAAUUUUAAUUAAAGCUCUAGUUUAUAUCCUUAAUCAAUGUUUUUUAAAUUCACAAGGAGCACAAGCAAACCAUCAAGGCUAGACCACAUAUACGUGUUUGAGACGUAGAUUUAAUUCAUAACAAGGAAUUUAUCAAGUGGUUUGAAAGACAUGUAAGUAUAUUCCUUAUUAUAAGGGAUUUAUUUCACAUUAUGUUUAUAUUGAAUCCAAACCUAUUAUUGAAUUGUAGGUUGAACAAUUACAUAAUGAAGGUCAUAUAUCUGAACACCUUCUCACAUUAUCAUGUGUUCCAAAUUCAUUAGUUACAUGCUUCAAAUGAUAUAUUGUCAAUGGAUUUAGAUCCCACAUUAAAGAACGUGAUAAAAAAGUUUUUAAAAAAAGACUCAGAAUAAUGGAAUUGUUGUAGUUGCAAAAACGUCAAGCUUUACAAGUGCAUGUGAUAUGAGUCCAAUUAUUAGUGAUGCUCUCUACUAUGGUGUUCUAACUAAAGUUGUUGAGUUACAUUAUCUUGGUGAAAAUAAGGUUGUUUUAUUCGAGUUUGAUUGGUGGGAUGUUACAAAUAUUGGAAAAUUGAUAAAAGAUGAUGAGUACAAUUACACAUUUGUUAACUUUGCAUGAAUUCUAACCACGAACGAACGAUUUGUACUUGCAUCUCCAGCAAAGUAAGUGUUCUAUGUGAAGAAUGCGAAUGAAUCAGAUUGGCAUACUAUCAUGGAGAUGCAACCUCAAGACCUCUAUAAGAUGAACGGGAUAGGAUCCAAUGGUGAUUUUGAACCAUUUCAACAAAGUGAACUACAUGAUCACUAAUAUAUCUCAGAUUUAGUUGAUGAAGAUAUAAUCAAGUGGAACAAAAGUGAUGUUUUAGGACUAAUCAUCCUAAAAAAUAUUGUAGUUUCUUAAAAAAAAAAUGAAAAUGAAGAAGAUAAUUGAACCUUUGUCAUACUUUAAAAAGCAACUAUGCAUUGUUCAUUUUGUAUGUUUUGGUUUUCUUCAUUUAAUUUCCUGAUUUUUGUGAUUCAAUGUCAUAUUAUUGAUCUUGAAAUAUUUUUCUAAUUUUUCAUUCUACGAUGGUUUCAACAAGGAUGACAUCAAGUCAAAAAAGGAAAUGUGGUCCCACACACAAUAUUGCAUUACAGGGAUUAAGGUCAGGGAAGAAGGUAAAAGUUGCAUUUAAUGAGUACAAUCAAUUGGUUAAACAGAAAAAUGGAAAACACUUAUCGAGCUACAUAGGGACACUUGUAUCUAACCAACACAAUGUACCUCUCCAAGCUAGUGAUUGGAAAAAUGUUCCAAAUGAUGCAAAAGAGAAAGUAUGGCCUUUGUUUUGGUAUGUUGUAUUUCUCACUAUAUGAUGUCAUUUCACUGUUAUUCUAUUUUGUGACUAACGUUUGAAUCAUAUGUAAGAAAAAUUUGAAGUAGAUAAAGACUGAAAAGAUUACAUGUUGGGUAUAGCCUCAAAUAAAUAUAGAAGCUAUAAAAAUAUGAUGAAUGCAAAAUACUAUGACCCUUGGCAUAAGGAUGCAUGAGGAGAGGUUAAUACAUAAAUCACCAUUUGUCUCUGAUGUUGAUUGGAAGUGGCUUGUCUCUGAUGCAUAAACCAAAUCCCCCACUGAAUGUUUGAUAUUUGAUAGCAGGAAAAACACACCCGCAGCUAUACACCUCCAUCAUUCAGAUAAUUAUAGUGGGGGAGAUGAUUCAUGGUUGCCCUUAUACCCUUUAUUUGCACCAUCUAUUGAGAUUCUUUAUCAUGGCCAGGUUUUACUGCAGCAAUAAGAUAUGGUGGCAACAAUUUUAUCUAUAGGUGCGGUUCCAGACCGCCUCCAUAGGUGCGGUUCCUGACUGCCUCCAUAGGUGCCUCUUCUUGUAAUGUUUGUUCUGGGAAUUACACUUGAAAGCCUUAUCGUGAUAAGGGAUUACAAACACUAGUUCAGAGGACAGCCAUGUUAAACUUCCACUAUGUUUGUGUCACAUUAUCAGCAGCCUAGUGUUUAUUGGUCAUGCUAUCUGCAACUAAUAUAACCCGGUGAACUUCAAUCUAAAUUCUGAAAGUACUCAUGUGACAGAUGGUGCCUUUCAGCAGAUAUCAUCAAUUUAAAAGUAGUGUGUGUGCCUAUAGGUGGGAAGGCCUUGGCAAAUGUUCAGUAUUCCGGUAAUUCAAGAAGGAUAUAUCUAAAAUAGAUUUUCUUCUUGCCCAUUUCAAUAGUUAAAAUUUGAGAAGAUUGUGUCCACAUCACACAAAUAUUAUUGGUCCUUCUGUUGCAAUUUACCUCUGAACAUGUCUUCCAAUUCCCACGGUCCUGUUACUCCAGGAAAACUAUUUCGGUCAUAUUGAAAAAAAAAAUAUUAAAGAAGGUACACAUGCUUUUAAGUGGACUGGGGCAUUCAUAUCAGGUGGUCUGUAUCCACAUAUGCCACUUCGUGAAAGGUGGAACAGCCUAAUCACUAGGCUAUUUAGUGUGGCCCAGCCACGUUAAUCAAGCACAAGUCUUCAUACUUAAAGUCAAAUGGUGUCUUUAGUCUCAUUACACAUCGCUAUUUGAAGAUUAACUCAUCACUAGUGUAAUGCGAUUAAGACAGUCCUAACUCAAUAUUUGUUCUAGUUUUGGAUGCAAAUGCUUGCUGGUUUCAUCAUUGGAUGGGAUAAAGGUGCAAUCAGGACUAUGAAUACGUGCAGUAAUACUUCAUUCUCUUUUUUCUCAAUGAGACUUCUUGGCACAAUUUUGCUGCUCAGCAACCUACCUUUCCAUGGAAAAUCAGUUGUGACUGAUAGUAAUGGAUAUAUUCUAGAAAGCUAAACAUAGAUAGCAUUCAAUAUUAUCGAUAUAACAUUAACAGCGUAUGUCUCAAUGCUCAUCAGCUACAAGCAAUGGACAAACACUUUGAGUAACUCACAGCAGUCAAAAUUCCUAAACAGGACAGACGUGACAGAUCUAUAUAUAGAACACUGCAUAUGAGUCACAGGAAAAGAUAAUACGGGUACAUAGAAGCUCUUAUUUUACAUAUUACUCAUACUGAUCAAAGUCGCUCAGUUGGGAUGGAUGGGAGAAGGAGGUUUGAGGGGUGGCUUGUGCGGGGAAGUUGGCAGCUUCUUUCCGGGAGCUGGUUGCUUCUUUGCUGGAGUUGAAGGAGGCUUAAUCUUCCGAGGUGGCUUGUAUGAGUCUUCAGCAUUCUCAGCAGGAGGGUGACCAGGGUUGUGACCAUAAUGUGGUGGCUUCUCUCCCUUAGGUGGUUUGCCAACUGGGGUUGGUGGCUUGUUUUCUGGGAGUGGCUUCUCUCCCUUGGGUGGUUUGCCAACUGGGGUUGGUGGCUUGUGUUCUGGGAGUGGCUUCUCCCCCUUGGGAGGUUUUUCGAAUGGGGUGGGUUUGUGUCCUGGUGGUGGCUUCUCUCCCUUGGGAGGUUUACCAAUUGGGGUCGGUGGCUUGUGUUCUGGGAGGGGCUUCUCUCCCUGGGGAGGUUUAGUGGGUGGCUUGUGUUCUGGAGGUGGCUUCUCCACCGGAGGCUUAUGCUCUGGUGGUGGCUUCUCGAAGGGGGGAUGCUCAGGGUAAUCACCAAGUGAGGGGGUGGUGAGAACCACCAUGCCAAGCAACAACACUAGCAAGUAUGUAGUAGACAUCUUUGGGUUUGGACUCAGACAGUGCAAAACUACGAGAAAUCGCUAGCCCUUUAUAGCGGCUCGGACCUAAUACUGACAUAAUAUAAAAUAAAUAUUAUAUUUUAUCAAGAGAGAACAGAGUGUAAUUUUAUCAUUAAUACCGAUCGAGGCCAAAGAAAGAAGACCCAUAAUCCAUUUCCCACAAGCAUACACAAUGCAGCUGUAAUUUUAUCAUUUACUUUUAUCCCUUGGACCACUGCAUUUUUGUUGAGAGACACAAUAACACAUUUUUAUCUGUCAUUCAACAUUUACAGUAAAGAGAGGGCACAAAACGCAAUUAGAUAAAUUAUGUUUUGCCUGCUAAAAAGAGGCAAAUAACUUUAUUUGCAACAUAAUUAUUUUGGUUUCUAGUGACCCCGGGGCCUUUCGGUUGGUUUGGGAUCGGAAAAUGAACAUCAUAGGGGGGGUUGUGCCCUUAUGGGCAUAUAUAUCUGAUAGCUUCAACUGGCCUUGUUCCUAGAAAGAAAUUGCCAAAGAUAUAAACUUAUUCCAGGCUGAAAGUAGAUGAGAGUCAUAAUGAACAUCAACCUUUGUUCAGUUUGAUUCAAUGCCCCCAUAGUGUUCAUUUCACAGAUCUGAAUGAUUAUAUCCGUUGAAUACAUAAAUUAAUGAAGACAAAUAUGAAACCCAAGAUACAUCUCUGCAUAACAACCCCAACCCUGGUUGCUAUGUUUCCCUUCUUCUAUUCACAUGAGGAUACUGGUUAUAAUUGUCAAACUUGCAACAAGCCCUUUGACACCUAACGUCAAUGGACGAAUUAAAAGUCUCCUUCAAACGUCUAUUUCACAGCAUGAAGCUUAUAAAGGAUGCUGACAACCUUCAGAGUUAGCGACAAAAGAUAAUUAUCAAGGAGAGAUAGUUCCAUGAGAAUUCCAAGGAGUCUGAAUCAAAGACAAAUUGCUCACUCAAGGGUUCUUAUUUUCUUUUAGGUACAAAUCUCUUGAGUGUUGUUAAAGAAACACGUCACUGUCAUUUUGAUUUGCAUUUAACAUUUCACUUUUGUUCUGGAAGGUUUGUUCCGGAAACAUAUCAAAUGAGCAUCAUUUUCUUCUUCGGUGACACAUGGUCGCGAGUACGUGGGUCCAUUUUCAUGCCACUUAGUUGAAAAGUUGGAAAGAAAAAACAUGCCAACAAGAAGAUAGUGAGAGAAGGGGCACUUCAAGCCUUUAACAUGAACAAACAGUAAAUAAAAGAUGUUUCUCCACUCAUAAAAGUGUGUUAGAUAGCAAUAUAACGAAUCACAUCCAAAAUCUUUACUAGGCUCAAACAUAAAGAAGACUCAUUUUUAAGAAAAGAUAAAAAUGGCAUUGUCUGAUAGUAUCCAAUACACGAGAUGGCACUUAAUUUGUACAAGAUCUGUCAAUGCUGACGCACAUUUUCUGAUUAAAAAAAAACUGAUCAGUCAAAAGCAAUGAAGAGAAGUGAUGACAAUGAAUGAUGCUUCCAAUAUUUUCACCCCUUAUAGUGUUCUUCAUGAUUCAGAUAUAUAAUUGGAAAUAGAACAACCCUAUGCCAUACAUUCGUCUAAGUAUGGUGUCUAAUUUUUUGUGUCAGCGGUUGCGAAUGGAGCGUGCAAAAGUCCAAAUUGGCGUCUCUCCAUUUCCACAUAGGAAGGUGACCUUUAUUGACAAAUACCCAAUAUUUGUAGACAUUCCUUAAAUAUCAUAACUUCUUGUUGAUUUGAAAAUCAUUUUUCAACUACCAUGUUUUAAUAAAUAUUUUUUAAAAUGUAUUUUUAUCAAAGUCCACCAUGAUGGAUAAUAUUCACCAUGCAAUAAUUAAUAAAGUACAAACUAAGCGAAAUGAAAAGCAUUUUCUUUGCUUUGAGUUGAUUUUGGUUGCAUUGAGUUGAUUUUGGUUUCAUGGUUUUUUCAACUCUUAUUUUGAUUGGAAGAUGUCAAGAAAAGAAAACAUAAAGAAAAAUUAAAAGGGAAAAAAGAAGAAAAAUAAAAAAAAAUAGAUUUAAAAGUUAAUAAAUUAUUUUUUAUAUUUAUUUUAAUUCAUUUCACUUAUUUUUCUUUUACUAUAUAAAAUUUAAAUAAUUUAAAUUUUAUAAUUAAUUUAAUUACAUUUCAUUUUCUUCUAUAUUUAAAUAUUGGAAAAAUAUUUUACUUAAUAUUUUUUUCUUUAAUUUCUUUGGCAUUUUGGGAACCAAACUUAGCCUUUAAAAUAAAAAACAAAAAAAAAAUGAAAAUAAGGAGGGAAAAGUGAGAAAAGAUAAAAACAAUAUGUAAAGGAUUUGAAAAGUAUUAGUUUGUAAUUACUAUUUGGAUUUCAAUAGUAUUUUAUUUGUCUUUCUAUAUUUCAUGUAAGAGAGAAUUUAAGAUAUUCCCCAAGGCAAAGCAUUAGUUACCUGCAAUCAGUGGUGAUAAGGCUCCAAGCCAAUUUUGGGCCCCAUAUCUUAAGACAGUACAAUUUCCAUUUCAACAUUUCUGAUUUCUCAGAUGUUUCACAUACCACAGAAGAACAUUGUUUGUGAAAAUAUGCAUUUAUGUUGGAUUUUGUAUGCUGUGGGGACUGGGGCAAGGAUCAUAUGGAAGAGUGGUUGACUUUUUCUGUACUUUAACGGUUGAAAUAGGAUAAGCACGGGCAUUUGUGAGGCUUAAUUGAUUUUGAAGCCUGAAAUUGCGUUUCUGUCAUUUUGUCAAAAAAAUGGCAGAUUCCAUACUCAUAUGUUUGGCCUGUGGCCAUGUACAGAUGCCAUUUAGUGACCAGUUUGUAACUGUCAAUCGUUGCGUUUUGACUCUGCCUCAACAACAUCUGCCAUUGACGGGUUUUCAUACUUGCAAAUCAAAUAGUCUUUCGUCCCAUCAGGAAUUUCGGUUUAAAUAUUAUUAAGCAUACGUUUGGCUGACAAUCAUUAUCCAGUUCAUGAUUUGGUUUCUUACCCUUAAUCAAUGGUUUCUAAGUGAAUAUAUGUAGAAGGAAAUCCGAAGUGUAGACAGUAGUAUCGAUAACUCUCAAUAUUCUCUAUAUAAUAGAAUAAACAGCGUCAUAGUGAUCGUCGCCUACAAGCAAGGUACAAAUACCAAAACGAGUGACUCACAUAGACAUCUCCCAACAAGAUGUAGUAGUGACUGACACAUGGACACAAUUAACUCGUAGAAAAGGAUAAGACCAUUGCACAGCAGCUCUUAUUUUACAUACUACUUAUGCUAACCAAAGUCAAUUAGUUGGGAUGGGUGGGAGAUGGAGGUUUGUGCGGUGGCUUGUGGGGCGGAGUUGAUGGCUUCUUUCCAGGAGCUUCUGGCUUUUUCAUCGGAGCUGAAGGAGGCUCAAUCUUAUGAGGCGGCUUGUAUGAGUCUUCUUUACUCUCGACAGGAGGGUGGCCAGGGUUGUGAUCAUAAUGUGGUGGCUUCUCUCCCUUAGGUGGCUUGCCAACUGGGGUUGGUGGCUUGUGUUCAGGAAGUGGUUUCUCUCCCAUGGGAGGUUUAGCAAUUGGGGUUGGUGGCUUGUGUUCUGGGAGUGGCUUCUCUCCCUUGGGAGGUUUAGUAGGUGACUUGUGUUCUGGAGGUGGCUUCUCCACCGGAGGCUUGUGCUCCGGUGGUGGCUUCUUGGUUGGAGGGGGCUUGGGGUAAUCAGCAAGAGAUGGGGUGGUGAGAACCACCAGUCCAAGGAACAACACUAGCAAGUAUGUGGGAGACAUUUUUGAGUUUGGGCUGAUCAGAUGAUGCAAAACUAAAGCAUUACGUGACCUUUUAUAGCAUGUAGCUCCCAAUACCCACUAAGUAUUGUGGGGUCCAUUUGUGCCCUACGGGGUUGAAAACUUAGACAAUUGGGCAAGGACCCACCUGACUAUGGAGGACUAGUGAGGUGUGAUCAUAGCUUUAGGAUUUUUCUUCCUCUGCAGCCGUCGUGCCGUUGGCAUGAUUUUCUUAAUCUUAAAUAAAGGCAUAGUUAUAGAGUUGUUUAAUCUCUAAAUGGGAUUUUAUAUAUAUCUUCAGAUAGCCAUUAAUAUAUUUGAUGAAGAAAGAAAGACAAGUGCAUACAACAUGUAUACGACUAGCUUUCAUGGAGUUCAUUUAUGAUCAGUUUUCCUGUACAUGUAAACCAGGAUCAUAUAUAUGUUUCUGUUCCACAACUAUUUUGGAAUCUUGUUUAUCAGUUUUUAUCAUUAUAAUGUCACAUAGGCUGCCAACUUGGGCGCUAAAAGAACCAGUUGGGCUAGUUCGUUUCAGAAUUUCAAUGUGGAUUCAGGAAUUGUUUUGUAAGAUAUGCGAAAUAGUAGAGGGAUGAAUAGUGUUUCAUUAAUAAAAGUGUCCUGUAAAUUAGAAGGUGUCAUAGAAACUAUAAUCAAUAAAUAACUUUUUUUCCCCACGGGUGGUGUUUCUUGUGGGGAUCAGUGACUGGUUUAGGUUCACCCAAAAUGAGUUCAGACUAAAAUUGGUUUGAGUCAAUGCCGUGUCUCUUUUUUCCAGAAAUCAACUAUUUUAUGCAUUGAAUAAAUCAUACAAAGAAAAUAUGAACGCCCGCAAAACCUAAACCCUGGUUGCUAACUUUCUAUGUUUCAGUUCUAUUCACGCAAGAAUAUUAGUUUAAGUUUGGGAAAAAUGGCAACUUACCUAGUGAUUACUUGGUUUUGGUUUGCGACUAUUUACGCAACCAACCAUGAGUUUGACUUUAACGUCAUGGGUUGAAGCCUCCUACAGGAAGGGAGAAAGCUCCACAGCUAGCUCCAAAAGAGAAUUAUCACAUUGAUAGCUCCAGAGAUUCCCAAGGGGACUGAAUCAAAGACAAGUUCCUCACUUUUUCUUCUUUUGAGGCCAAAUAUGAACCAAGGAUCACACAACCUCAUUCAACUUCAUAAGUUUGAUUUCAUGCAGUUGAACACUGGGUGAAGGCCAUGACAAGAAUUGAUUCAAAAAUUCUAUCACUCUUUUAAGUAAUGGAAGAUUAUUAUCUCUGAUUGGCAUCACAACAGCACAUGCUCCUAGAUCUUUCUAGACACUCCAUGCAAUGAAAGCACAAUGGAUCUUGUAACGAUAGAAACUAAGCCAUGCUACAGUACUAGAUGAUGAGGUAAAACUAGUAGACACGGGUGGCAGCCUAUAUGGGAGGGACACAAGUCUAAUUGAUUUGCAUUUCAGCAUUAUAGAUAGGUAUGUUUUGGAAGAUUUGUUCUGGAAAUACCGCACCAAGUAGGAUUCUUUUUCUCUUUAGUGGGUCCACUUGCAUGCCAAUUAACGAGUUGAAAAGUAUGAGCACCUACCUCGUGCUCGUGGAACCGAAGGUCAGUGAAGUGGGGCUCCUUUUGGCCUCGUGUAAACUUGAUUCAGAAGUGAAGUUAAUAGUCUUCCAUUCAGAUGGAUACAUGGGAAUUUUUCUCUUUUAUUUAUUUAUUUAUUUUUUUUUUGUGUGUGUAUGUCAAAGGAUAAUGAAUGAAGCGCGUUAGCUUGUUUUCUGACUGGAACCGCAGAUGUCCAAAUUGGAGUUCCUUCAUUUCUUACUUAGGAUUGUUACAUGUAUAAACAAGGUAUAAGAAAUAUGCCAACGUGUCUUGAGGAGUUAUUGAUUAGAAAUAACAAGUCACCCGACUGUAGAGUUCCAAGAUUUGAAUCUUCAGACCCUAUAGCAGCCUCUGGGGUACGUGGCAUCCUAUAGCAUAUUAAUGAAGGCUUUUUCGAUUUAGACUUCACAAUACCAAUUAAUAUGUAUGCACAAAAUGGAGAUGACCCCAAAAAAAACAGAAUCGCCAUAGUUUAUGAGGUUAAGGUGAUUCUCCACUUAAUAUCUACAUUAGCUAAUUAUGUAAAUCAAAUGAACUUCUAUUUUUCCUUUUUUUUUUUGGUUUAUGUCAAAUAGUAGCCCAUAAUUAACCCAACCAUUAGCCUGUUUGAAUUGAUUUCACAUGCACAAUGUUGUAGUAGUUCAUAUUUUGAAUUUUAUUUUUACAAAGGUAGUUAAGGAAAAUGAAGUAUAAUAAUUAUAAAAGCAGACUAUAUACACUACAAUAAUUGUUAGAAUGGUAUCUCAAAUUCUAAUUUAAAAUAUUAUUUUUUGUAAAAGAAAUAUUAUAUAGAAUAUUUCCUAAUUUUAUAAAUGAUUAUAAUUAGAUCUUUAUAAAAUAAGGAAAGUUGGUAAGAAUAUCUUUAUAAAUAUUUUAGGUCAUGAGAGAAAGAAAUGGGAUAAAAAUGUGAUGAAGAGGUGAAAUAAGAGAGUUGAUUAGGAUAUAGAUGUGAAGAAGAAAGGGAUUCAAUAUAUAUAUAUCUUUCAAUUACCACAUUAAAACCCUGUGAACCUUUUAUAUGGUUUACUUUAUUUUUAUAUUCCUCCUUUAAUAUAUUUACAUUAAUGCUUCCAUUGGCACAACAAUAACGAAUUACAAAUACAAGCAACAAGUCCCAUGUUUUAUUACCAAAAGCAGGUAAAAUCCACCUAAUAUAUUACAAUAUAUUCAUCCAAUAUUUUAGACCAAUUCUUCACCAUAAAUAUCAUAAUGUGGCUUUUGUUCUUUCUUAAAUUUAAAUUGAAUUGUCUUAUAUCAAUUUGUUUGUGAUUUUUUCAUUAACUUCACUUUCAUUUGGUUAUCUUUGGUUUUUGAAAAGUAUUAAGGAAUUAAUUAACAAAAUAAUGUUAAGAAAAAUAAUUUUCUCUCUUUUGAUUUUGAUUUUGUAGUAGAAAAAUAUAAUUAAAAUUAUUUAAAAAGUAUGUAAUUUUAAAUUAUUUAAUAUUUAGAUAAAAAAAAUAAGUCUAAUGAGUUUAAAAUAACAUAUAAAAAUAAUUUAUUUAUUUUAAAUUUAUUUUUUAUUUUCCAUUAUGUUCUCUUUCUCUUUUACUUUUUCAUAUUUUUUCUUACGAAGAAUCAAACACAACCUCAUAUUAUAUGUCAAGUGUUUGUCUAUAUUUGAGCAAUGUUAGAUACGGCCAUGGAUUCAUCAAACUAAACUGAUUUUAAUAGAUACUUCACAAAUUGAUUUAUACACUAAAUCAUUGGAUAGCAAUGAUGCAUUGGAAUUAAACGUAGGAUGAAGCUCGAAGAACACUGUUUGUGUAACAACAUAUUUAUGAAAUUAUGCAAAGGAUGAGCUUCGGGGUAGUAGUACAAGGUCAUUAAUGGAGAGCCGUGUUAAACCUUGAUUGUGAUUGGAUUCCGUUAUCAGCAACAGCAACCUUGUUUGUAACCUUGAAAGUCAUUCUGUCCACAUCGAAACUCCAAUUUGACGUUUGUAAUUACCAUUCCUGGAGUGUUCCUUGAUUGAAAUUUAAAUAAUAAUUGCGGCCCACAAGGAAUAUUUUCGAUUCUGUGGGAAUUUGACAAGGUUUGUUAGAGAAGACUGGUGACAUGUUGACUUCAAUGGUUCAAAUAGGAGACGUAUGUGGAUUUGGGGGGUUUAAUUGAAACUGAGUCCCUAUGGCUUUUUAAUAUUUGCAUUGAGCAGUCUCCAUGUGACUUCCUAAUUCCCACCAACCCUCCUGUCCAUGCUGUGAAACUAAAUUGUAAUUUAUCAGCCUUUGUCAAUGGUUUCUAAAUUAAAGAUAUAGACCAUGCAUGUACUUUAAUAAAAGCAAAUCUAAAGUGUAGAUAGCAGCAAUGGUGACACCCAAUAUUCUCCAUAAAAUAGAAUUAGAAUAAGCAGUGUUACAUUGUUCAUGAUCACCUACAAGCAUACAAGAACUUCCAUGAAUAACUCAUAGCAAUUGCCAACAGGGCGUCGUAGAGACUCAUACAUAGAACACUAUCCACCCAGAGGAAAGGACAAGACCAGUGCGCUGCAGCUCUUAUUUUUCACAUGUAUACCACCACUCGUAAUAACCAAAUUCACUCAGUUGGGAUAGGUGGGAGAUGGUGGUUUGUGGGGUGGCUUGUGGGGAGGAGUUGGAGGAGGCUUUAUUUUCUGAGGCGGCUUGUAUGAGUGUGCAGGAGGAUGCCCGGGAGUGUGACCAUAAUGUGGUGGCUUCUCUCCCGUAGGUGGUUUGCCAAAUGGGCUUGGUGGCUUCUCUCCCUUAGGAGGUUUACCAAUUGGGGUUGGUGGCUUGUGUUCUGGGAGUGGUUUCUCUCCCUUGGUAGGUUUGCCAAUUGGGGUUGGCGGCUUAUGUUCUGGGAGUGGCUUCUCUCCCUUGGGAGGUUUGCUAAUUGGGGUUGGCGGCUUAUGUUCUGGGGGCGGCUUCUCUCCCUUGGGAGGUUUGCCAAUUGGAGUUGGCGGCUUAUGUUCUGGGAGUGGCUUUUCUCCCUUGGGAGGCUUGCCAAUUGGGGUUGGCGGCUUAUGUUCUGGGGGUGGCUUCUCUCCUUUAGGAGGUUUGCCAAUUGGAGUCGGCGGCUUAUGUUCUGGAAGUGGCUUUUUUCCCUUGGGAGGUUUGCCAAUUGGGGUUGGCGGCUUAUGUUCUGGGGGUGGCUUCUCUCCCUUGGGAGGUUUGCCAAUUGGAGUCGGCGGCUUAUGUUCUGGGAGUGGCUUCUCUCCCUUGGGAGGUUUUGUUGGUGGCUUGUGUUCUGGAGAUGGCUUCUCCCCUGGAGGCUUGUGCUCCGGAGGUGGCUUCUGAAAUGGCGGGGGCUUGGGGUAAUGAGCAAGAGAUGGAGUACUG